RNAcentral lists this transfer RNA (104048 nucleotides) under Trichococcus ilyis. The stretch from base 16757 to 17122 matches the Rfam family "Bacterial RNase P class B". The record is from RNAcentral. Lineage: Bacteria; Bacillati; Bacillota; Bacilli; Lactobacillales; Carnobacteriaceae.
CUGUCACUGUUGAACAGAGCAGCGUACUUAUCUUCAAUGACUGACCAGGGAAUCGAAGCUGCCUUUUUGACCCAACGGUUUUCUGGAUUCAUUGUGAGGCCCAAUGGCUGAUCGAAGUCAUAAAUGGUCAAUUGCCGAUUCGUCUGCUUUUUGUACAUUUUCAUCGCCUCUUCGUAUCAUUUUUGAAAAAAGUGCACGGGUUUUUGGUGUUUUCCCCUAGAUUCCAUGCAUCUAUUAUACCAAAAAACAUCGAAAAACGCUGUCACAAUAAGGUUUAUAAAUUAUUCAGUAGACAUUAUUUAUACCGGUUGCGGACGAUGGCGCAGCUGCGGAACGACAAAAAAAUGGAAUGAUACGGAGAUCAUCCCAUUCUUUAUUGAUUAGUCUCUAAGAAUUUCAGAAAGCAAGCAUCCGGCUGUUAGAAUUUGCGUUUUCUGGCAGCUUCAGAUUUUUUCUUGCGUCUCACACUUGGCUUUUCAUAAAAUUCAUGUUUACGAGCGUCUUGUAGAGUUCCAGUUUUUGAAACAGUACGUUUAAAGCGACGAAGAGCAUCAUCAAGAGAUUCGUUUUUACGAACAACUGUUUUUGACAUUAAAUAUUCCCUCCCUCCGAGCAUUAAAAGUAACGUUUCCUUUUGAAAGCUAGCAAUCAAAAUGAAAUUGUUCUUUUGAUAUUAUAUCAUAGGCGAAAGCAAUUGCAACGGUUUAUUGAAAACAAAUACAGGAAUUGUAUCGGAAUUGUAUCGGAAUCUUUUUUUCAGGAAAAAAUUGCUUGACGUCCGGUAAGGUACGCUAUCCGGCAGCCAGGCAAUCCUUGCAGAUCCCGAAUAUUUCGAAGCGAUGGGAAGAAAUUUGGCAUCCCUCCAACUGUUGCUCAAAAAAAUCCAUCGGACACAUCUGCAAAGCAAUCGUCAUCCCGCACUGCUGACAGAUAAAGUGGUGAUGGUGGUGCCCCUCAUGCAGGCAAGUGAUCCUGAACAAUUUUUCAUUGUUCAACUCGGUUUCUUCCAAGAUCCCCACAUCGACAAAAGUGUACAGAUUGCGGUAUAUAGUGUCGUAGCUGAGUGUCGGAUACUCAGCUUCCAAAGCCUGAAGAACAGCCUUUGCGGACAGAUAACGGUUUGCUUCCGCAAAAACCGUUAUGAUAUCUUCUCUUUUUUGGGUGUAUUUGUAACCAUGCUUUUUUAAUUUCUGCAACGCAAUUGUUACGGUAUCGACCGGCAUCAUUUUCCCUCCCGACUCUAUCAAUUUCAAAUUGACUAUAGUAUAUUAUUAGUGAGAUUGCAAUCAUUAAGAUUCAGGGAGGACGAAUUAUAUGGAACAACAAGCGCACGAGGACCUGCAUUUUGUCAUCAUAUCCGAUUCGGUUGGGGACACCGCCAGGAAAGUACUCCAGGCCGUUCUGGCCCAAUUCCCGUCGAUCACCGUUCAUAUGUACCAUUACCCGUUCAUCAGGAAGAUGAAAGAUCUGGAACCUGUUUUGAAAGAAGCCAAAGAAUUGAAGGCAUUUGUGAUCCAUACUCUGGUCGUCGAGGACUUGAGCGAAUUCACGGACAGUUUCUGCGCUGCAGAAAACCUGCCUUGCUACAAUAUUUUAAAAGCACUGGUGAGCGAUAUUUCCGAAAAAACCGGACAGCAACCCCUCCGGCGAGCCGGCGCUUUGCACCGUUUGGAUGACGAAUACUUCAACCGCAUCAGCGCCAUCGAGUUUGCCGUCAAAUACGACGACGGCAAAGAUCCGAAAGGCUUCUUGGAUGCCGAUUUGGUCCUGUUGGGUGUUUCCCGCACUUCGAAAACGCCGCUUUCCAUGUUUUUGGCGAACAAAAACAUCAAGGUAGCCAACUUGCCGAUCAUGCCGGAAGCGGCUGUGCCUGACGAGAUUUGGCAAGUCGAUCCGAAGAAAAUAGUCGGACUGACAAACGAUGCGGAAGUACUGAACAACUUCCGCAAGGAGCGUAUGAUUGCUUACGGUUUGUCACCGGAAACCAUCUACUCGGAUAUGGAUCGCAUCCGGGCAGAAUUGGAAUACGCCUAUGAAUUGUACAACAAGUUGGGCUGCAUCGUCAUCAACGUAUCCAAACGUUCCAUAGAAGAGACGGCCGCCAUCAUCAUGAGCAGCAUCGAAAUUUCCGACACAACCAUCAUCCCUUAACAACAAAAGAAGAGGACGCGGUUUUUAAAUCCGCGUCCUCUUCUUUUGUUGUCCGCUAGCGCAUCGGCCGGGCUAGAAACCUCGGCUGGAUCCGCCGCCUCCGGAAGAUCCUCCACCGCCGAACCCGCCGCCUCCGCCAAAGCCGCCACCAAAACCGCCGCCGAAUCCGCCGGAACCGCCGCGACGGUUGUUAUCCCGAUAACCGCCGCUCCCCAGGAGCAACCACCACAAAGGGUCCAUUCCGCCGCCUCGGCCACCGCGUCCACCUCUGCCCCGGCCACCGAAAAAGUAGGACAGCAGCAAAAGAAUGAACAGGAAUUGGACCAGUUCCGCAAUGAAUGAGGAAUCGUCUUCUUUGUAUUGGUCAGCAUCGACAGGAUAGCCGGAAAAGAUGACAGCAUCGUCGAAUUGGUAUUCUUCAUUGACGACGACAGCAGCCUCGGUGAAUAUUUGCUUGAGCCCGCCGUCGAAAUCAUUGGCCGAAAGAUAAUCCAGAUGAUUGUCCAGAAUCCGUCCGGUCCUGCUGUCGGUCAGGGCGCCUUCAAGGCCAUAUCCGAUUUCGAAGCGGAUUUCCCUUUCCUCGAGGGCCAACAAAAUCAGCACUCCGUUAUCGGUUUCCUUCUGGCCAAUUUUCCACUUUUCGAACAGGUCGACGGAAUACUCUUCGAUUGUCUCACCCUGCAGCGAAUCGACCACUGCCACAACGAUUUGAGGCUUUUCUUCCGUCAAUUCAUAUUGCUCAUUCACGCUCAUGAUGAAUGUUUUCGUUUCUUCGGAGAGCGUGCCGCUUGGAUCAUAGACAUAAAAAUCGCUUGUCGGUUCAGGCAACGUUUGCGCCUGUACUGAUGGCGCGGAAACCAUCGAAAAGAAAAACGCCACCAAAACCGCAAGCAAUUGCCAUCGUGCCUUUUUCCUCAUUUGAAACAAAGCAUCAUCAGCCCCUCAAUUAUUCAUCGUCUGUAUUCAGGUCCACGCUAGGAGCGGUUUCAGCGCCGCUGACCGCUUCAAAAUAAGAUUUUUCAUCAAAUCCGAAAAGGCCUGCCAUGAGCGAUCCCGGGAACCGUUUGACUUUGUUGUUGUACUGUUGCACCGCUUCGUUGUAGCGGUCCCUUUCGACCGAGAUCCUGUUUUCGGUGCCGGCCAAUUCAUCCAUCAAGGCUGUAACUUGUUCGUUCGAUUUCAGUUCCGGAUAGUUCUCGACAAUCACCAACAGACGCGAAAGUGCGGAUUCCAUCUCGUUGCUGGCCGCCACCUGUUCUUCGGUCGUCUGGGCACUGCCGAUUUUCGCGCGGGCAUCAGCGAUCGCGCCGAAAACUUCCUGUUCCUGUUCCAUCGCACCUUUCACCGAUUCGACCAAGUUAGGGAUGAGAUCGUAACGUCUUUGGAGUUUGCUUUCCACAUUCGCCCACUGCACGUCGACAUUGCUUUCCUCCGUCACCAAUCCAUUAUAGGAACUGAUCAAGGGCACUCCCAGCAGCAACACCGCAAUGAACACCCCGAUUAAUCCUUUCAACCAACUUUUCAUCUUUCCCCAUCUCCUUCUUUAUGCUUUUAUUGUCGCUUGCAUUCCAUUAUCCCUGAACGGAAACAAAAACGCAUCCAUCCAAAGAUGUAUUUCUUACUGAUUCAGUAUGUCUUCCAAUAAUCUCGGAUUGAAUGUCUGCGACUUCAGCAUAUCCAAUUCGAAUUUGUAAGGGGCCUUCUUGUUCUUUUUGUCCUCGCCCACGAACGGUGUCUCCAAUAUUUUCGGCAAAUCCUGCAGCUGCGGAUGGUGCACAAUCUUGUUCAAUGUCCCGAAUCCGAUUGUGCCGAAGCCGAUGUUCGCAUGUCUGUCCUUGUGGGUGCCUCUUUCGUUUUUCGAAUCGUUGACAUGCACCACUUUCAGACGCUCCAACCCGAUGACGCGGUCGAAUUCCUCCAGAACGCCAUCAAAGUCCUCCUUGAUAUUGUAUCCUGCAUCGUUAGUAUGGCAUGUGUCCAGCGUUACGGAAAGCUUGUGAUUGUAGACUACGCCAUCGAUGAUGGCCGCCAACUCUUCGAACGUUCGGCCGAUUUCGGUCCCUUUUCCCGCCAUCGUUUCCAGUGCGAUCUGUGCUGUCUGGCUGGGCUCAAGCACUUCGUUCAAGCCUUUGAUGAUCUGUUUGAUUCCUGUUUCAGCGCCGGCGCCGACAUGCGAGCCAGGGUGCAACGUAAUCUGUUUGGCGCCGAGCGCUUGCGCCCGCACAAUUUCAUCGCGCAAAAAAUCGAUCGCGAAUUCAAAAUGAUCCGGUUUCGUUGUGUUGGCCAGAUUGAUGAUGUAAGGCGCAUGAACGACCAACUCGAGCAAUCCAUGCUUUGCCAUAUAGUCCAUGCCCUCCGGAAUAUUCAUCUCGUCUACGCUUUUUCUGCGGGUAUUCUGCGGAGCCCCUGUAUAGAUCAUGAAAACGGAUGCCCCAUAUGAGGCCGCUUCCUCCGCUGAACCCAACAACAUUUUUUUGCCGCCCAUGGAAACAUGUGAACCUAUCUUUAACAUAUCUUCACCCUUUUAUCGUAUAUUAUCCUAAUAGUCCGUUUCGCCUGCAAUCAAAUGAAGGACGAAAAAACAGCCUUAUGAUACGGUUAUUGUAUCAUAAGGCUUGUUUUUCUUUCUAUCAGAUGCUUUUUUUGGCCCUGAUGUCAGUCCAAUGAAGCAAUUCUUAAGCUCAGUUCUUUCAACUGCGCUGCGCUUACUUCGCUUGGUGCGCUGGUCAUCGGAUCGAAAGCUUUCCCGUUUUUAGGGAAGGCGAUCACUUCGCGGAUGUUCGACUCGCCGGCCAGCAGCAUGACCAGACGAUCCAAGCCUAAAGCGAUUCCGCCGUGCGGUGGAAAACCGUAAUCGAAGGCAUCAAGCAAGAAUCCGAAUUCUUCCUGGGCAUCCUCUUUGCUGAAGCCCAGUGCCGCAAACAUCUGCUCUUGCACUUCUCUUGUGUGGAUACGCAGCGAUCCGCCGCCGAUUUCAUAGCCGUUCAGGACGAUAUCAUAGGCUUGGGCAUAGACUUCUUCCGGAUGAUCGGCCAAUUUGGAAAGAUCCGCAUCAUUCGGACGAGUGAACGGAUGGUGCAUGGCAGUGUAGCGUUUUGCGUCCGCAUCGUACUCAAGCAAUGGCCAAUCCACGACCCAAACGAAGGCAAAUUGGGAUUUGUCGAUCAGGUCCAGAUCGCGGCCGAACUUCAGACGCAAUUCCCCCAGAGCCUGAUAGACGAUCUCUUUUUUGUCGGCAACGAACACCAGCAAGUCGCCUGGUUCUGCAUCCAUCAACCUGAUCAAUUCUUCGCUGUCUUCCGUAAAGAAUUUCGCAACGGCGCCUUUCAGGCCGUCUUCUUCAACUUUCAUCCAAGCCAUGCCCUUAGCGCCGUAUUGCUUGGCGUAUUCGAUCAGGUUAUCCAUGUCUUUGCGCGAAUAAGCAUCGGCUUUGCCUUUGACGUUCAGACCGCGGACUUGGCCGCCCUUUUCGCUCGUCGCUUUGAAUACAUUGAAGGAUGAUGUUUUCGCAAACUCAUUCAAGUCGAUCAGCUCCAGGCCGAAACGGGUAUCCGGCUUGUCGCUGCCGAAACGGUUCAUCGCUUCGUCAUAGGAGAUGCGCGGGAACGGAACCGGAAUGUCUUUGUCCAACACAUCCUUCAUGACUUUCUGCAGCAUGUUUUCGGUGAUUCCCUGAAUUUCCUCAGCGGAAAGGAAGCUGGUUUCGAUGUCCACUUGCGUGAAUUCAGGUUGUCUGUCACCGCGUAAAUCCUCAUCACGGAAGCAGCGCACAAUCUGGUAAUAACGGUCAAAGCCAGCGCCCAUCAGCAUCUGUUUGAACAGUUGCGGGGAUUGCGGCAAUGCGUAGAAUUCGCCUUGGUGGACGCGGGAAGGGACGAUGUAAUCGCGCGCGCCUUCAGGAGUCGACUUCGUCAAAUAUGGCGUUUCGAUGUCCAUGAAAUGCAAGUCAUCCAAAUAGUUGCGGACAGUGCGUGUCGUUUGGUGACGGAUUUUCAUGUUGUUCAUCAUUUUGUCUCUUCUCAGAUCGAUGUAACGGUAUUUCAUUCUCAGUUCAUCGGAUACGUUCACAUCACCUUCAACGUAGAACGGCGGUGUUUUCGCUUUCGCCAAAAUCUCCACGGAUUCCGCUUCGAUUUCGAUUGUGCCCGUGCCGAUGUUUGGAUUGAUUUGAUUUUCUUCCCGAAGGACGACUUUACCUUUUACCUGCAGGACAUAUUCCCCACGGAUUGUUUCCGCGAUACGGAAAGCUUCUUCGCUGAACUCCGUGUUGAAGACGACUUGAACGAUACCUUCACGGUCACGCAGAUGGAUAAAGAUCAAUCCGCCUAAGUCUCUUCUUUUGUUUACCCAGCCGUUGGCGACGACAGUCUGCCCGACAUUUGCUUCCGUAAAUAAUCCGCAAUACUCUGUUCUUCUUUCCAUGUUCACUACCCUUUUCUGUAUGAUCUAGUCUUCUUUUCCGAAAAAUUCAUUGAACGCCGUCAUAUCGGCGGUCUGUGUUUUGUACACUUUAUCAAAAUCCGCGUAAAUUUCAGCCAAAGACAAAGUCUGCUCUUUGCCUGUCGCCAUCACUUUGAAUUGCACUUGCCGAUUCUUCAGUUCCUCUUCCCCGAUGGUCAUGACCACUUUGGCGCCGUUUUUCGUGGCUGUCUUGAACUGAGCCUUCGCUUUGCGGUCGUGGAAAUCACGGUCAGCCGAAUAGCCCGCUUGGCGCGCAUUUUGGACCAAUUUCAUGACUUCGAUGUUCGUUUCUUCGCCCAAACCUACCACAUAUACAUCAAGUUCCGACAAUUUUGGAACAUCGACUUGCUGGUCUUUCAUCAAAAGGAUCAAUCUCUCCAAGCCCAUCCCGAAACCGAAACCGGGCACUUCCGGUCCGCCGAUUUCCUGGACCAAACCGUCAUAGCGUCCGCCGCCGCAGAUGGUCGUUUCCGCUCCGAAGACUGCGGAGGAUGUCAUGAUUUCGAAAAUGGUAUCCUGAUAAUAGUCGAGCCCGCGUACCAUGUUGCUGUUGAUCGUGAAAGGGAUCUCCAAUACCUUCAGCAUUUCCUGGACCGCUUCAAAAUGCUGCUUUGAUUCUUCCGAAAGGAAAUCCAGAAUGCUCGGUGCAUGUGCCACAAUCUCUUUAUCGCGCUUAUCUUUGCUGUCCAAUACGCGCAGUGGGUUUUUGUGCAGACGGGUCUGGGAAUCUUUGCUCAAUUCAUCAUGGAAAGGCUCCAGGUAGGCGAUUAGCGCUUCGCGGUACCUGAUCCGAUCCGCUGUUUUGCCCAACGAAUUGAUGACCAAUUUCAGAUCGCUCAAUUCCAGUUCCUUCAACAGGUCCCAUGCCAAUGCCAUCGUUUCGACAUCCGUCGCCGGGUUGACGCUGCCGAAUACCUCGACUCCCAAUUGGUGGAACUGACGCAUUCUGCCGCCUUGUGGUCUUUCAUAGCGGAACAUCGGGCUGAUGUAGUAUACUUUCAAUGGUUUCGGGUGUUCAGGUCCGAACAGCUUGUUUUCGACAUAGGCACGGACAACCGGAGCCGUACCUUCCGGUUUCAAAGCGAUAUGCCGAUUGCCUUUGUCGUAGAAAUCAUACAUUUCCUUCGAAACGAUGUCGCUCGUAUCGCCGACCCCUCUGGAGAACAACUCGAAACUCUCGAACAUCGGGGUGCGGAUUUCCGAAAAUUGGUAAUCAUGCAACAAGAUGCGGGCUGUCUCCUCCACGUAUUGCCAAAUUUCCGCUUCCUGCAAAAAUAUAUCGGCAGUCCCUUUUGGCUUUUGUAUCAUUUUUUUAUCUCUCCUUUAAGCUUUAUCCUGUCUGUUCUGUCCGAAAAAAAGCAAAAAAAUAGCCCUCUUUCCAUCAUGGAAAAGGACGAUUGAUCAGACGUGGUGCCACCUUUAUUCGAAAGCACAGCUUUCCUUUGGCGAGUAACGUUCGCGGCGUAAUAGCUUUUCACUAUUAAUCCUCCAACCUGUCUUUCAAAUAAUCGUUUUGGGAUUGCUCUCAGCCGCGGCAACCCUCUCUGAUCAAACCGACCUAUUUUACUUCGAUCUUCACUGGACUUUUGUAAUUUCCUUUACGAUACAAGAUAAGCAACGAAUUGUCAAUACCGUUUUCAUCAAAUUCUAACUUUACGGAGCACUUUCCCUGCCGCAGCGCCAUGUCUGGCCGGAAAUGCAUCCGGGCAUAAUUUCUGAAAAGGCUUUGCAUUGGAUGCUGUAUCUUUGCUAUAAUGAAUAGAAGAAUUGAACAGUUUCUGUAAAUUAUUAUGCAUCCAAACCAGAAAGGAGACAGCUAGUGAAGACUCUCGCAAAAAAUAGACACCUGUUCUUCCUGACGAUUGUUUUGCUGUUUGUCGGAUUGGGCUCCUUCGGUACGGUAGCAUUGGCCAACUAUACCAGUGUCGGCAUAACCGCAAGCAUUGUAAAUGUCCGCUCCGGCCCUGGCUUAUCCUACGACAUCAUGACGCAGAUACAGGGUGGCUCAUCAGUCAAUGUUCUGAGCGAAAAGAACGAAUGGUAUAAAGUCCGGCUCUCGGACGGGAGAAUCGGUUGGGUGGCCAGCUGGCUGAUCAGCAACACCGAAAUCGCGGCAACCUCCGACCUGCUUGCGACCGUUCUGGUUCCGUCCGCCAACGUUCGCCAAGAGAAUAAUGAGGCUUCCGAAGUGGUCGGAACAGCCAGUCAAGGCGAAAAAUUCGCCCUGCUGUAUGAAGAAAACGGCUGGAGUCAAAUCCAGUUCAACAAUAAAGUCGCUUGGAUUUUGUCCGAACUGAUCGAAAUUUCCCCUGGCAGCAUCCAGUUGGCGCCCGAAACGGUAGACACCACAGCCACUGGGGCUGGGGCCGACGAGUCCGCUCCGAUGGUCCUCAUCACGAUGGAUGGCGUAAAUGUCCGCAGCGGGCCUUCGACGGGCAGCGAUAUCCUUUUCAUCGCCGAAAAAGGUGAAAAAUAUGAACUGAUCAGCGAAAGCGGGGACUUCUACAAAAUCCGCUAUGAGGGCAACAAAGAAGGUUAUGUCGCUUCAUGGUUGGUGGAAACUACCAAGUCGAUCAAUCAGCCAGUCACCGCCUCCUCUACCACGACGCUUUCCGAAGCGACCAUCGUGAUCGAUCCGGGGCACGGCGGGGAAGACCCGGGUGCUGAAGGUACUUACAUCUACGAGAAGGAAGUGACCCUCAAAACCGCUGAAGCGGUGGCGGAAAAAUUGCGCAGCGCGGGGGCGAAUGUAUUGUUGACCCGCACUUCCGACGUCUAUGUGACGCUCGAAGAUCGGGCAGCCAUGAGCAAUGCCAACAACGCGGAUCUGUUCAUCAGUUUCCAUUAUGACUCCACCGCGUCCGGUGCCUUAGCGACAGGCUUUACGACUUACUAUUACGCGGAUGCGGAUAUUCCGCUGGCGAAUCUGGUCGAUGAUCAUCUGGCCGACACCUUGCCGUUGCAGGACAACGGAUCCAAGUUCGGGGAUUUCUUGGUCACGCGCGAGAACACGCAACCCGCUCUGCUUUUGGAACUCGGCUACAUGAACAAUGAUUCCGAUGUCAAGACCUUCAAUUCCGAUUAUUAUCGCUCGUUGGUUGCCGAAAGCAUCUACCAAGCUUUGACCCAGUAUUUCCAAUAAACCAGCGCACAGCGCUCCAAAAUAACGGAGAAGGCGCCCUGAACCACGAAUGUUCAGGGCGCCUUCUCCGUUAUUUGUUUUUGGAAUCUAUAAGGAUGGUCACGGGGCCAUCGUUGUUCAAACGGACUUCCAUGUGGGCACCGAAUCGGCCGGAUGCGACAGAGAAGCCUUCCGCCCUCAGGAGUUCAUUGAACGCUUGAUAAAGGGUUUCUCCGGCAUCGGGGGCAGCGGCUCCGGUAAAACUCGGGCGGUUGCCCUUUUUCGUAUCUGCGAAUAAAGUAAAUUGCGAUAUCGAAAGGACGGCCCCCUCAACAUCCUUCAAAGAACGGUUCAUUUUUCCGUCCUCAUCUUCAAAAACUCUCAGAUUCGACACUUUGCGGGCAACGUAGGCGACAUCUUCCUGCGAAUCCUCUUUGCCUAUCCCUACGAGGAGCAGAAAACCUUUUCCGAUCUCCCCUAUUGUUUCUCCAGCGACCGAAACGGAAGCUUCGGCCACUUUCUGUACGACAACACGCAUAUUUUCCCUCUCUUCAUUUUGAUUAGGAGGUGACUCUCCUGACGGUGUAGACAUCCGGGAUAUUCUUGAUUUUAUCGACGAUUUUAUCCAAUUGGCUCAAAUUCUGGAUCCCUAUCUUCAACGUGAUCACAGCGAUUUUAUUGCUGUCGACUUUACCGUUCACGCUGCUCAGAUUCUUGGUCAUCGUGUUCACGACAUGCAAUAUUUCGUUCAGAAGGCCGGAGCGGUUGUAGCCUUCGACCGUCAGCUCCGUUUCAUAAUCGAUAUUGGACGUGCCCGUAUCUUCCCAUUCCACUUCGAUCAACCGAUUUUCGUGCUCUCCGGACACUUGGACAUUCGGGCAAUCUUUGCGGUGGACGGAUAUGCCCCGGCCUUUGGUGAUGUAGCCGACGAUUUCGUCCCCGGGUACCGGAUUGCAGCAAUGGCUGAUGCGGAUGAGCAGAUUAUCCACGCCUUGGAUGACCACGCCGCCUUCAUGGCGGAUCUUCAUUUUUGGAUUGUCUUUUUUGGUCUUUUGCUCGAUUGUGUCCAUCUGCUGUUCCGUUUUGUGCUUGUCGCGUUCGCGGCGGGCUUUUUCGGUCAAGCGAUUGGAGACGAUGAACGCAGACAGCUCGCCGAAACCGAUAGCGGCAUAGAGAUCAUCUUCCGAGUUCACAUUGAAGCGGUUCAAAAGAUCUUUGAUCGCCUGUUUGGUCAGGAACUCUUUUGGUGAGAAUUCCAUCUCCGUCAAUUGUUUUUCCAGCAUAUCCCGGCCUUUGAUGACAUGUUCGUCGCGGUCCUGCAGCUUGAAGUAGCGUUUGAUUUUGUUUUUUGCCUUGCUGGUGGAAACCAGGUUGAUCCAGUCCCUGCUUGGUCCGAAUGAGUUCGGGGAAGUCAUCACUUCGAUGAUGUCCCCGUUCUGCAGUUUGUAAUUCAACGGCACGAUUUUGCCGUUCACUUUGGCGCCGAUGGUUUUGUGCCCGAUUUCGGUAUGGAUGUUGUAGGCAAAAUCCAACGGACCCGCGCCGGAUGGCAACUCAACCACAUCGCCUUUCGGAGUGAAGACAUACACUUUGUCCUUGAAGAUGUCCUCUUUUACGCUUUCGACGAAUUCGCUGGCAUUCUUGGAAUCAUCCUGCAGGUCAAUCAGAUCGCGGAACCAAUCGAUUUGGUGGGGCAUCUUUUCGGGAUCGAUUUUUUUCGUGAUGCCUUCUUUGUAAGCCCAGUGCGCAGCAACCCCGUAUUCCGCGACCUGAUGCAUCUCGAUUGUCCGGAUCUGGAUUUCGACGGGUGUACCCUGGGUUCCGAUAACGGUUGUAUGCAGCGACUGGUACAUAUUCGCUUUCGGCAUCGCGAUGUAAUCUUUGAACCGACCGGGCAUCGGCUUCCAUUUUGUAUGGAUGGCCCCUAAAACGGCAUAGCAAUCCUUGAUGGAAUGCACGAUGACUCGGAUCGCCAGCAGGUCAUAGAUUUCCGUGAAUUGUUUCUUUUGGUCCUUCAUUUUCCGGUAGAUGGAGUUGAUAUGCUUCGGCCGGCCGUAGAUGUCGGCUUCGAUUUCCAGUUCAUCGAUCGAUUCCUUGAUUUUGCUGAUCGUAUCUUUGAUGUACAGCUCCCGUUCAUCCCGCUUGCUGUUCAUCAGAUGCACGAUCCGGUAAUAUUGCUGCGGGUUCAGAUACCUCAACGAAGUAUCCUCCAAUUCCCAUUUAAUCCGGUUCAUCCCCAACCGGUGGGCUAACGGUGCAUAAAUUUCCAUAGUCUCAUUGGAGAUGAUCCGCUGUUUCUCGGGUCUGUGGUAUUUCAGCGUGCGCAUGUUGUGCAAUCUGUCGGCCAACUUCACCAUGAUGAUGCGCAGAUCUUUUGCCAUCGCCAUCAACAUCUUGCGGUGAUUUUCGGCCUGUUGCUCCUCAUGGGACUUGUAUUCGAUCUUGCCCAAUUUUGUGACUCCAUCCACCAAGAUGGCCACGGUUUUGGAGAAUUCGCGCUCGAUGUCCGCCAACGUAUAUUCCGUAUCCUCUACGACAUCAUGCAAAAAUCCCGUUGCAAUCGUUUCCGGGUCCAGUUUCAAAUCUGCCAAUAUCGCUGCGACUUGAGUCGGAUGAACAAAAUAUUCCUCACCGGAUUUGCGCAUCUGUCCGCUGUGGGCUGCCCGGGCAAAAUCACACGCUUUUUGGACAAAUGCCACAUGGGUUUCAUUCAUAUACUCCGUGCAGAGCUGCACAACCUCUUCAGGCGAAUAGGUUUUGAUUUUCGGCAUGUUGUCACUCCUGACUCUUAAGUUUAUGUAUGUAUUUGCUGCAAUCCCGUCCGCGAACGGAAAAGCAGUUGAAUAUAUCAAAUUUUGCAAACAAAAUAAGUGCAUAUAUUUCCCUUUAUUAUACUUUAAAUCGGAACGAUGCGCCAUCAACAAUUGUCCCUUGUUUUCAGCCGCAAAGCUUCAAAAAAACCUUGGGGAAUACUCAUAAGAGGGUCCCCAAGGUUCUAUGGCCUAUGCGCUUGUAAUGAACGAAAAAGGAUCCGCCUUCAGCUUAUUUUGCCGCAAGCCAGCCUUCGACGAUUUUCUUGCCGCUGGAAGUGCCCAAACGCGUUGCGCCGGCUGCGAUGAAAGCCAGGGCAUCUUCAUACGUGCGCACGCCGCCGCUUGCUUUUACAUCCAUUACGGGUCCGACUGUCUUGCGCAUCAGCGCGAUAUCUUCCAAUGUUGCGCCCCCCGUUGAAAAACCGGUGGAUGUCUUGACGAAGUCGGCGCCUGCCUUUUGGGCCAAUUGGCAAGCGAGCACUUUUUCUUCAUCGGUCAACAGGCACGUCUCGAUGAUGACUUUCAGGAUUGCCUCGCCUUUAACGGCUUCAACUAAUGAGGCAAUCUCGCGUUCGACUGUUUGAUGAUCUCCAUCCUUCAAAGCCCCGAUGUUGAUGACCAUGUCCACUUCAUCCGCACCGUUCUGGACCGCUUGCUUCGCUUCGAAUGUCUUCACUUCGGCCGUGUUGGCGCCAUGCGGGAAGCCGACAACCGUGCACACCAGGACAUCCGUGCCGGUCAAAAACGCUUCCGCUUUUUUCAACCAGUAUGGCUGUACGCAGACGGAUUUGAAGUCAUAUUCCUUCGCUUCUUCGCAAAGGGCUUUGAUUUCCGACUCCGUGGCAUCUUGUCUUAAUAGAGUGUGAUCGAUGUAUUUGUUCAAUUUUUCAACCAUUUAUAUCCGCUCCUUUUCUUAAUUCCAAUUCAUAGGAUACUGCCGCCAAUGCAUACAAAGGGGCUGUCUCGGCACGCAGGAUUCUCGGUCCCAACGCGCAGCUCUGAUGGCCGGCUGACCUGAACGCAGCCAGUUCCUCCGGUGCCAAGCCGCCUUCAGGCCCGAAAACCAACAACAAAGAAUCGCCUGGUUCAAGCUUUUCCAAUGUGUGCACCAGGAUGCUGCCUUCACCGGCCUUUGCAUCUUCUUCAUAGGCAACCAGCACUUUGCUGUAUGUUGCAGCUUCGGCCAACAAUUCAUUGAGGUUAUGGACGGGGUGCACGACCGGUUCUUUCUGGCGGUGUGAUUGCUCUGCUGCCUCUUUCGCAAUUUUCUGCAGGCGCUGCUGUUUUUUUGCGGCUUUAUCCGCCGUCCACUUGACAACCGCAUUUUUUGCUGCGAAUGGGAUGAAGGCAGCCGCGCCCAACUCUGUGCCCUUCUGCACGAUAUAUUCGAGCUUGUCGCCCUUCGGAAGUCCGCAGGCGAUUGUGACACGGAUCGGCAAUUCCGUUGAGCGGUCCUCAUCGGCCAACCACUUCAGACUGACCGCGGUUGCGGAUAUAUCGGUGAUUUCUGCAACGAACGAAAUUCCGGAGUUGUCGGCUAAAUAGACGCGGUCCCCCUGUUUCAUGCGCAUCACAUGCACCAUGUGGUGAUGGAAAUCAUCCGACAGGUUGAUCGGCUGCUUUUGGUAAUCUUUUGUCAAGGGCGGGAUGAUGUAUCGCUGCAUGCUUCAGUCCUCCACAUUUUUUGUGCAGAUCAGGCAAACCCAAUCUUUCAUCUGCUUUUCCUGCUCGAUCUCGAAUCCAUUAGCAUAGAGAGCCUCGAUCAAUUCAUCCUUCUUCGAAUCGAUGAUGCCCGAGAGGAUGAAAUAGCCGUCAUCCUUGAGGUUUUUGUAGGCAUCCGGGAGCAAAAGCAACAAUAUUUCCGCCAGGAUAUUCGCAACGAUGAUGUCGGCUUCCUCGUCGGCGAUGCCUACCAAUAGGUUGUUCUCUUUGACGAUCACAUCCGCAGCAUAGGCAUUAUAAGCGAUGUUCUCUUUGGAAACGCGCGUUGCGAUUUCAUCGAUAUCAUAGGCAUAGACGGUGUCUGCGCCCAUUGCCUUGGCUGCGAUGCUCAACACGCCCGAUCCGGUUCCGACAUCGAUCACUUUUUCGCCGCCCCGCAUCACGGCUUCAAGCGCUUCGAUGGACAGGCGCGUAGUUGGAUGCGUGCCGGUGCCGAAGGCCAUCCCGGGAUCCAAUUGGAUCAGCAGCUCCUUUUCAUCUUCAGGCGUGUACUCUUCCCAAUAAGGCACAAUCGUAAGGAAACGCGUAAGCCUGAUCGGGUGGAAAUAUUCUUUCCAGGAGUUUUCCCAAUCCUCUUCUUUUACUUGAUUGAUCUGCAGCUCAUUCUUUCCGAUCUUCAGAUCGAGUUUUUCCAACUCAGCCAGCUGUUCUUUGAUGAACAACACGGUGUCCUGGAAACCCACGUUGUUCGGAUAGUAGGCCAUGAUGAAGACGGCAUGGCCUUCUUCAGGCAACGCACGCUCCUCUUUUAUCUGGCCGAAACCGUCAUCCUGCAGAUUGACGAAGUCCAGCUCGUCGUCUAUGGCGACGCCUUUCGCACCGGCCUCCAUCAAUAUAUUCGAUACAGCCUCAACCGCUUCUGUAGCAGUCACAACCUUCACUUCAUUCCAUUCCAUUUGCAAUCACCUUUCCUAUCAUUAAGGAUAACGAUAAUACGUUUCAUCAUAUCUUCCUAUUUCCUUCAGUGUUUCGAUUGUCUGGAUAAAAUUCACUUCAUUCCAAUGCAACUCGAAGCUGGGAUCCCCUUCAUUCUUCAGAAACCCUCUUAACCUGCUGUUCGCCUCGCCUAACGUCAAGCGUAUGCUCUUGAUCACCGCUUCGGCCAAACCGCCUUGGAUCCCUCUUUUCCGAUCGAAUGGAAUACUGGCCAAAUAUUCCUCUGUUUUUAUUUUUGCUGAUCCGCGAUCAUAAAACAAAACAGAAUCCUCAAAAAUGAACCGGUCUUCAUGAUUGGAAUGGCCAUAUACAUCCGAAAUACUAUUGUCUGGAGGAUAACUGACUUCUAAUAAUAACACAAUUUCAACCGUAUGGAAGGGUUUAUGCCACUCUAACCGCCAUUCGCAUGACAAGUUGUGUUCCUCCAAUUUUUCAUGGAUCAUAUCCAGCAUACUUUUAUUCAUAAUCUUCCUCCUCGUCGGGAUGGAUCUCAUCAUCUAUUGUAGCAAAAAAUGAGAAAAAGAUAUAUUCCCGACUGUACAGCCGCAACUCAUUUUCCGAAUAACGGCCCGCGACAUGCACAGAACCAUUUCUUAAAAGAGCAGUUUGUGAUAUAUUUAGGUCAGGCAAAAAGUUGGAGGGAUAUUUCAUGACAGAACAAUCAGAGAUCAGACAAUCCAUCGAUUACCUGGUGACACGCAUCGCCCGUGAUUACCGGAAAACAGAAUUCAAGGACAGCUUGAAAGUCCAGAUCCCUUUCGGCCGGAGGGCUGAGAUUCUGUUGACUGACGAUUACCUCGCACCGGAUGAAAAAAGCAUUUUCGCUGACAACAUCGAUCCGGUGGCCAAAAGCGAGCUUUUCAAAGAAGUCCUGCAAAGUAAAACGGAUAAGGUCUUCAAGAGUUUUUUGCUGGAGAUUUUCGGCAAACAGCCCGUUCUUAAUGAAAAUCUUUCCAUCACGACAAAAAAAUCCGGCAGCAAUCAAUAUAUCAUCAUCAAUUUUGAAGGAGCCUUGCCUUAUUGAGCUUUCCGUUCUUUUAUAGCCGGAAAGUUCUGCGGGAGCCAAGCAAAAAAAUCAGUUGAGUUUAUCCGAAAAGCCUGAUAUGAUGUUGAUUGGAAUAUUUGCUUAUUAAUAUUACUGUUUUAUGCUAUACUGAUUAGGUAACAAGGACAACUAACGAGGUGUGCAAAUAUGGCAGAAAAAAAUCUAACAACCAAAGAUAUUCUGCAAAAAGAAUUCAAGAGCGCUAUGAGAGGCUAUAAUGUUGCAGAAGUCGAUGAAUUCCUGGAUAUGAUCAUAAGAGACUAUGAAUCUUAUCAGAAAGACCUUUCUUAUCUUCAAAGUGAAAAUGAACGUUUGAUGAGCCGUGUUGAUGAGUUGACGAAGCAAGCCGUAUUGGCUAAGCCGACCCAAUCAAACACCGCUUCAGUCGGCAGCGGUGUGACGAAUUUUGAUAUUCUGAAACGCCUUUCCAAUUUGGAGAAACAUGUAUUCGGUUCAAAACUGGAUGAGACCAACGAAGAAGCAAACUAGCAGCAAAAGACAUUUGUAAAUUUCGGGUAAUUGCGGUCUCCUUUAUGGAGGCUGAGGAAAGUCCAUGCUCGCACAAGCUGAGAUGCUUGUAGUGUUCGUGCUUAGCGAAACAAUAAGCUAAGGCAAUCGAUAGAUUGACGGCAGAAAAAAAGGCUAAGGGCUCUACCUAUGCCUGAGUAUUCUUGAAAGUGCCACAGUGACGAAGCAGACGGGGAAACCUUUCUGGUGGAACGCGGUAAACCCCUCGAGCGAGCAACCCAAACUUUGGUAGGGGCACUCUUUCCAAGGAAAUGAACGAGGGAAAGAGGCAGAAAUGCAGAUAGAUAAUUACCUCCGCCAUCAGAGGCCUGGCUCCGAUGGCGCGACAGAACAUGGCUUACAGAAAUUUACAAAUCAGGCUUUUUUCUUCAAAAGAAUACGAUCAAGGAUGGGACAAGCUAAUUUUUGUCCCAUUUUUCGUGCAUUAUCCGGCAAUCUCUAAGGCAAAACAAUAAGGAGUUAUCAAUGAGAACAUAUCAAUUAGUGGCCACGGCCGCAAGCGGCAUCGAAGCCAUCACCGGCAAUGAGCUGAAAAAAAUGGGCUACAACGUCCAAGUAGAGAACGGCAAAGCCUACUUCACCGGCACGGAAACGGACAUCAUCAAGACCAACCUAUGGCUGCGCACUGCCGACCGCAUCAAGAUCGUCUUCGGCAAAUUCGAAGCAAAAACGUUCGAUGACCUGUUCGAGCAAACGAAGGCCUUGCCUUGGGAACAAAUCCUUCCGAUGGAUGCGGAAUUCCCGGUUUCCGGCAAAUCGCAGAAGUCGGCUUUGUACAGUGUCCCCGAUUGCCAAGCAAUCGUCAAAAAAGCCGUCGUCAACCGCCUGAGCGAAUAUUACCACCGCCGUACCCGUUUGCCUGAAUCCGGCGCACUCUAUCCGAUCGAAGUAGCCAUCAAUAAGGAUGAAGUGAUCCUGACGAUCGACACGAGCGGUUCCAGCCUUUUCAAACGCGGUUACCGUUCCGAAAAAGGCGGCGCUCCUUUGAAGGAAAACAUGGCAGCCGCUUUGGUGAUGCUGACCAAUUGGUACCCUGACCGCCCCUUCUAUGAUCCGACUUGCGGUUCCGGCACGAUUCCGAUCGAAGCUGCUUUAAUCGGACUGAACAUCGCGCCAGGGUUGAAACGCUCCUUCCCUUCCGAGGAAUGGAACAUUUUCGAAGAAGGCCAGUGGGAUCGCAUCCGCAGUGAAGCAAAAGCUGCAGCGAACUUCGAUGUGCAACUGGACAUCGGCGGCUCCGAUAUCGAUCCGCACAUGAUAGCCAUCGCAAAGAGCAAUGCCGCAAAAGCAGGCGUUGCGGAUUAUGUCACUUUCAAACAAUUACCUUUGGCUGAGUUCACGACAACCAAGGAAUACGGUACAAUCGUCUGCAACCCGCCUUACGGUGAGCGACUUUCCGAUCAGGAAGAGAUCGAAGUCCUCUACAAAGAGAUGGGCCAAGUUUUCCGUCCGAUGAAGACGUGGAGCAAGUACAUCCUGACUAGCGAAUUGCUUUUCGAAGAAUUCUACGGCGAAAAAGCCACGAAAAAACGCAAACUCUACAACGGAAGAUUGCGCACCGACCUGUUCCAAUAUUGGGGCACGCGCCCGCCGCGAAUAAAAAAAGAGCUUGACGCCGGCGAAACCAAAGAAAAAUAGUCGUUAUUGAAACAAAGCAGUCCGGACGAUCCCGCAUUAGCGGGCGUCCGGACUGCUUUGUUUUUUAACAGGAUACGCUCUUCGCAGCCGGGCUCCGGCUCAUAAUCCGAACUCAAUAUGCGCUUGCUGUUGCAUAGAUGAUUGUCCAAAUGCCGUUUCGCUUAAGGAACUCCAUUUCCAACUGUAGCCUCCAUGUAUUGCGGUAGCCGUUGAUGCGGGCAUCCACUAAAUUUCUCCCUGUGAUUGUAGCGGUAUCAUUACGUCCGGAUACCGUAACAUCUUUUUCGGCCGAUGAAUAAUAUCUCAUUGCUUCCGCAUCGAUUUGAUCUAGCCACUCAUUUUUCGUUUGCGCAUACCCCGUCAUAUGGACAAGUUCGAAUGCAUCGUCCAAAAGUACACUCAAAGCAAGUGUAUUUUUCUCGACCAUAUACUCAUGGUAUUUUCUGUAAACCUGCAAAAUCAUUGCUCCGUCUCCGGUUUCUUUCACAAUUUGCUCCCCUCUCCUGUAUCAAUGAACGCUUGCAUUCCCGGUUUGAUAAUUCAGUCAGUUGUUCUGCCAAACAUUAUUUUUGCAACAUACUAAACUGGCCAAGCGUUUUUUCUUCCGAACGGCCUGUUGCCGGUUCCGGGGCAAGCGAAAGUGAACUGAUUUCCGCCCGCAAUUCAGGCGUCACCUCAAAAUCGGUUGCAGCCAAUGAAGCAUCCAAUUGCGCCAAAUUCCGGGCACCGAUGAUUGGCGCAGUCACUGCCGGAUGGCUUUUUGCCCAUGCCACAGCUAAUGUCGCAGGACUGACACUCAAUUUUUGGGAGAAUGCCGUGAAGCGAUCGGCAAGUUCCAGAUCAUCUUGAUAACGCAAACGAUUCAGUUCGCUGUCGACGAGACGGCCGGAAUCCGGUUGUUUAGCCGUUCCGUAUUUCCCCGUCAGCAAGCCUGCACCAAGCGGGCUGUAAGGGAUGACCCCGAUGUUCUUGGAUUCAGCCAAAGGAAGCAAUUCCACUUCGGAUUGUCGUUUCGCCAAAUUGUACAAAGGCUCCAUAAUUUCAAAGCGACCGAGCAACUCCCUUUCCGAAAUGCCCAGUGCAUCCAUAAUUUGCCACGCGGCCCAAUUGCUGACGCCGGAGUAAAGUAUUUUCCCUUGUUUUUGCAGAUCAUCCAAAGUUCGCAAAGUCAGUUCAAUGUCAGUGCUCGGGUCGAAAUAAUGCAGGAUAUAGAAAUCGAUGUAGUCUGUAUCCAACCGUUUUAGACUGGCAUCAAUGCUUGUUAGUAUAUGUUUCCGGGAAAGACCGCGGUCAUUGAUUCUCGGUGUUUUUGAUGUCGGAAAGAAUACUUUGCUCGUGAUCACAAGAUCCUCCCUUUGUCCCUUCAUCAAUUUCCCUAAAAUUUCUUCGGAUCGGCCGUGCGAAUACAUAUCUGCUGUAUCAAAAAAAUUGAUUCCAGCAUCAAGACAGCGCUCAUACAAUGCUUUUGACGUUUCUUCAUCCGCAUCGCCUCCAAAAAACAUGGCACCAAAACAUAAUUCAGAAACUUUGAUGCCCGUUCUGCCAAUUGAUUUAUAUUUCAUAGUUUGUCAUCCCCUCACAGAUAAAUUAUGCAUCCCAAGGAUCAUUCCGGACGAUUGAUGCCUACACUUUCACGGACAUAAAGAUUCGGAUCGGAAGCAAGGCGUAAGACAAGAUCUGCGAUGCUUUUUCUGGAUACAUCGUGACCGCCGAAAGGCUCGCCCUUGACGGUGAUUUCAUAAUCCGUAUCGUUGCUGCUGUCGAACCAGCCUGGGCGGACGAUUGUAUAGUCCAGACCCGAAGCUUCAAUCACAUCUGCAGCGUCACGGUACGUCUGCAAAACCGGAUUGGAGCGAAGAUUGCCGGAAGAGCCCACUGAAGCCGGGAUUUCGUUAUAGAUACCCAUCGAAGUGAUAAAGAUCAAACGCUUAACUCCAACACGCUGCAUCGAUUCCACAAUCGCCUUGGCCAUUUUCCCUAGGUUUCCUGUCAACGAGGCAAACACGACAUCCUGGCCGGAAAUGGCCUUGUCCAGUUCGCCUGCUUUCAUCACAUCGCCCGAAACGGAGACUUCUCUUGUUGGAUCGAUUGGUUUAAGCCUUUCCGGACGCCGUGAGAAAAGCGUCAACUCAUCAUUUGUUUUUUCAAGGAACAGCUGUCUUGCAACGCGACCGACUGAACCAGUUGCACCAAUAAUCACUACUUUUGUCAUCAAUUCCACCUCAUAUUUCUGAUUGAUAUGAGUAUGGUAUCACUUGGAGUUCACUCUAAGUCAACCUUGAACGGUCAUUUAAAUUUUCACCGGUACGGAAUCCAGCUUUUGAAUGGUUCAAUCAGAGCUGUGAAGGUGUAAUGAAACCAAUCCAUAAUAAGUGCCAUAUAAUUGUUUUUAACAAAGCGCUUGACUUGGAGCCCACUCCAAGAGCUAUAGUCUGAAUAUAAGAUGGAAUGGAGGCAAAAAUGAUGGGCAAAACGUGGUUGAUUACAGGGGUGAGCAGUGGCUUCGGCUAUGAACUGACGAGACAAUUGUUGGAUAAAGGCGACAAGGUGAUCGGAACGGUGCGCAACAACGCCAAAAUUGUCGAUCUGAUUGCAGAAUACCCGACGCUGUUCGAUUGCCGGAUUCUUGAUGUGACCGAUACGCCAGCGAUCCAGCAGGUGGUGAAGGAGGCGUUUGAAAAACACGGAGCAAUCGAUGUCAUCAUCAAUAAUGCGGGCUACGGCCUGUUCGGCGCCGCAGAGGAGUUGAGCGACGAGCAAGUAGAGCUCAUCAUCGCAACCAAUUUGACCGGUUCCAUCCAGAUGAUCCGUUCCGCGCUUCCGUUCCUGCGCAAGCAAGGUCACGGCCGCAUCAUCCAAAUUUCUUCCUACGGCGGACAAGUCGCUUUUCCGGGCAAUUCCAUGUACCAUGCCACGAAAUUCGGGAUCGAAGGCUUCUGCGAAUCCGUGGCCCAGGAAAUGGCCCCGUUCAAUAUCGGCGUGACCAUCGUCGAACCGGGCGGCGCGCGGACUGAAUUCCGCUACGGCAGCGCGCAAGUCGCGGAACUUAUGCCUGAAUACGACGGCAAUCCAGCCCAUAGCUUUCUUGCGAUGCUUGAUGCGUCUAUUGUCCUGGCUCCAGGAAAUCCAGCGGAAAUGGCAAAACGGAUCAUCGAAAGCGCAGAAAUCACACCCGCUCCGCUGCGGAUGGUACUCGGCUCGCAAGCGCUGGCAAGCACAAUCGCCACGCUCGAGAAACGCUUAGCUGAUUUCAGGAUGCAAACGGAGCUGGCGGCCUCAACGGAUUACAAGGAAUAAGCGUGAUUUUUCGUCCGAAGCGAAAAGGCCACAGAACCGUCUCGAAAUUAGACAGUCUAAUUUUGUGCUGCUAUCUUGAUUGUCGGAUUAUUCGUUGUUAUCCGACAACUUUUGCCGUAAUCACGCUCCAGUUGUCAGAUUCUUCAACGAUAUUCGACAAUCUCGAUCCGUUUGCAAAUUCGGCACUCAAAAAGGCCAUUAGGCUGUCUCAAGAGUAGACAGCCUAAUGGCCUUUUUGAGUGCUGAAAUGUGUAUUUCAUAUUUCCGGAAAAGGUCAACCUUGCUCAUUUUUUCUUUUUCACAAGCUGAUAGAGCGCUUGUUUGGCGAGAUUAUCCGCACCUUUGUUUUCCUUUUCCGGAACCCAUUCCAAAUAAAAAUUGGUGAACGCACCCAUAUUCUGCAGGGCUUCUUCCAGAUACAGUCUGUGUUCCGCUUGUUUUGUGUACUUUUUCCGGAUCGAUUCGGCAACAAGUUUGCUGUCCGUGUAACAGAAAAUGAGCUGUUCCUGCUUAUUCUGUGUUUUCAGAUAACGCAAUCCAUACAGCAACGCUUCGAAUUCGGCACUAUGAUUAUCCAUUCUGUCCUCCAGAGGGAUGCCGAUCUGCUCUUGUAUGCCAUCCUCAACAAUCAAAAUUCCGAUGGCUGCAUAGCCUUCUUUUCCGGUGGCUGCCCCAUCCACGAAUAAUUUUAUCACCAGUUCCACAUCCUAAAAAGCAAAGGUGAGAGGAAAUCCUGAAUGGAUCCCCUUCACCUUUGCGGUUUGCUUGUGCUUUUUUAUGGCUCCGCCAAGACCAUCACAUUGGUGGCUUGCGGUCCUCUGACGCCUUCAGCGAUAUCGAACUGAACGCGUUGCCCUUCUUCUAGUCUUUUGAAGCCUUCUCCAGCUAUACCGGUAAAAUGUACGAAAAUGUCGUCUUCCUGCUCUUCGAGUUCAAUAAAGCCAUACCCUUUAUCAUUAUUGAACCACUUUACUUUGCCAAAUUCCAUUGUACAUCCUCCUUCAACACUCAAUUCUUUGGAACUGCUUUCACAAAGACGGGUUACUCUCAUUAUAGAGAGGAAACCCGACAGAGUCAAUUAUUCUGAUGGGUUCAUUCAAAAAAAACCAAAUAACUCGGUCAACCUUUUUUCCAAUCGUUCAAUUUGAUCACGGAUGGCCAAUUCCCCCGGUUCGCCAGUCCCGGCAGUUCCGCUGUAGAUGCGGCAAAGCACAUCCAGCCAUUCCGGAACGGAGGAGAUUGUCCUGUCCUCGAACGGAUACAGCAAGGAAAGUUGCAUGAAGAAGCCAUUUUCCACAGCGCCCGCCAAAGCAGGGUUCUUGUUGGCAAUCUCUUCCUGGAUGUAAGCCAUCCCUUCUUUGUAGGUUUUCGUCUCAAUCAAGGGGACCACCCUUGCCAGAUCCAAUUUUUCUUCGCUCCCGUCCAGUCUGACAGUCAGCGAUGGACGGAGCCCGCGCUCAAGAAAUUGAUGGAUGAUUUCAGUCUUGAGCAUCCGAUGAAGUUUGUUGUUCAGGAGCAACCGUUGCGCUAGUUUGCCGAAUUGGUCGUCCUCCAAUUCCUUCAGUUGUUGUGCGUAUACUUGUUGUUUGUGGAAAGGUUGGGUAUCGAUGUUUUUCUCUGCCCGGAGGAUUUCUGAACUUUUUUUCAGCUUCGUUUCCAACUUCUUGAGUUCCACUUUUUCAACAUCAGCUUCCAAUUGCUCCAAAGCGAAUUGAUGCUCCAUCGACAGCCCGAAAGUUUUUUUUCUGGCAUCGAUCUGUUCCCGGGCCAUGUCAAAGGCUCCGGAUUGAAGCAAACCUUUCAAAUACAGAAAAUCGAUAUCAUCCACUGAAACGGCGGCUGCAAUGUCCGGCCGGAUUUCUUUGAUCAUUUCCAAACUUUUUUCCGCCUGAUCGGUCUCCUGCAGCAGCAUGAGGUACAGCGGGAGGAUAUCGUCUGCUUGCUUGAUGGCUAUGGCUUUGCCGAUCCAUUCUUCCGCAAGCUGCAGAUUCCCCUCUUCGAAUGCAAACAGACCCUUUUUCAAGUAUCCUUCGUAAUUUAGUGGAAAAACAAUUUUUUCUCCCAUUUCAAUCACCCCAAUCUAAGCUGAUUUUCCUGUCAGGUCAUUAUAACAUAAAUGCAUACACUAAAAAAACCGCCCGCACAGUAUCGACUGUGCGGGCGGCCCCAUUGCUGCUGGUGGAUCAGUAGUUGCGGAACCUUUUCUGGCGUUGCGCGACCAGUUCGUCCGGAGUCAGUUGCUUCAGUUCUUUCAGCUUCGCACUUAACUCCCGUUUUAAUUCCUGCAUGACAUCUUCCGACUUGCGGGCCACUUUUCUGCGGCUUUCCAAAAUGAUCUUGUCGAUGACAUCCAAUGCAAACAAAUCAUCGGGCGUCAGCUUCAUUACUUUGGCCGCUUCAUCGGACCGUGAGGCGUCUUUCCAUAAAAUAGAUGCAAAACCUUCCGGGGAAAGGACAGAAUACAUGGUGUUCUCCAACAUCCAUACUUCGUUGCCCAUUGCCAGCGCCAAUGCACCGCCGCUGCCUCCCUCGCCGAUGAAGAUGGCGAUGAAAGGGACGGUCAGUUGACUCAUCACCAGGAGCGAUUCUGCGAUCGCUUCACCGAUGCCUCUGUCCUCGGAAUCGACAUCACAGAAAGCGCCUGAAGUAUUGAUGAAGGUCACGAUCGGGCGAUCGAAUUUUUCUGCCUGUUUCAUCAAGCGGAUUGCCUUGCGGUAUCCUUCCGGAUGCGGGGAUCCGAAAUUGCGAUAGACAUUUUCAGUCAAAUCGUGGCCUUUUUGCGUUCCGAUGACGGUCACCGGCAUGCCGUCCAAGAGUGCGAUCCCGCCGACGAUGGCGGGAUCAUCACCGAAUUUUCUGUCGCCAUGGAAUUCAAUGAACCCUUCACAGAUGGCAUGUAUCAUUUCUGUAGCCGUCAGGCGGGAAAUGCUUCUCGCAGCGGUGAUAAUGUCUUUGACUUCUUUCACUGCACUUCACCCGCCUUUUCUGAAGGAGCAUGCAACAGCAAGAUAUGCCGCAAAGUCCUUCUCAAAUCUUUUCUGGCUACAAUUUUAUCGAUAAAGCCGUUUUCCAGCACCUUUUCCGCCGUCUGGAAACCUUCCGGCAGUUUCGCUUUGAUGGUCUGCUCGAUAACGCGCUUGCCGGCGAAACCGACAGUUGCUCCAGUUUCGGCAAUAAUAAUAUCCCCUUGCAUCGCAAAGCUGGCCGUCACGCCUCCGGUCGUCGGAUCGGUCAGGACGGUGAUGUACAACAAGCCGGCUUUGCUGUGGUUGGAGACUGCUACACUGACUUUCGCCAUCUGCAUCAAGGACAUAAUGCCUUCCUGCAUUCUGGCUCCGCCUGAAGCUGUGAACACGAUGAUCGGAAGCUUUUCGGCAGUCGCCCGUUCAAACGCGCGCGUCAGCUUCUCUCCGACCACUUUCCCCAUGCUUGCCAUGAUAAAGUUCGAAUCCAUCACACACAAAGCAACUUUAUGCUUAUUGAUGAAUGCCGCGCCGGUUACGACCGCCUCAUCAAGUCCCGUUUUCUCCUUCGCAGCCUUCAACUUGUUCUCAUACCCAGGAAAUGCCAAAGGAUUUUCUUCAGGCAUGAGUGCGUUCCAUUCAUCAAAAGUGCCCUCAUCAACGAUAUUGGAAAUGCGCUCGUAGGCCGAAAUCCGGAAAUUAUAGGCACAGUGCGGGCAUACUUUAUCUUUUCCUAAAUCCUUGCUGUAGAUUGUCUUUUGGCAAUUCGGGCAUUUUUCCCAUAAACCCUCAGGAACAAUCGGUUUCUGACUGUCGGCUUUUGAAGCGGGAACUUGAGCUAUCGGAAUGUAAGGACGCUUACGAAAUAAUUUCAUUUCCUCACCUCUAGUGUGACUUCUUGACUAAUUGAUUUAUACACUUUCCUCUUCUUCAGGUGCCCAAGUUUUCAAGAACACGUUCUGAAGAUAUUCCGUAUCGUAAUCUCCGGAAAUGAAAUUAGGAUCCUGCAGAAUAUCUUCCUGGAAGAAUUGAUUCGUGUCGACUCCCUCAAUGACCAGUUCCUGCAACGCACGCCUCAUCUUGGCGAUUGCCUCGCUUCUGUCAUCACCUUUCGUGAUGAUUUUGGCGAUCAUUGAGUCAUAGAAUGGCGGAAUCAUAUAUCCGCCGUACAUGGCGCUUUCUACACGCAGUCCGUUCCCGCCGCUUGGCAAGAACAGGUAGUCGAUUUUCCCGGAUGAAGGGCGGAAGCCCAAAGCCGGAUUUUCAGCGUUGAUGCGGCAUUCGAUCGUGUGGCCGGUGAUGACGACCUCAUCCUGCGUAAAGGAUAAGGGCUCACCGCUGGCGAUGCGCAGUUGUUCCUUGACGAUAUCGAUGCCGGUUGCCAUUUCCGUCACCGGAUGCUCCACUUGGAUACGCGUGUUCAUUUCCAUAAAAUAGAAACGUUGUUCCGUAUCGACGAGGAACUCGAUUGUGCCUGCAUUCGUAUAGCCGACGUGUUUGGCCGCCCGGAUGGCAACUUCCCCCAUCGCUUUGCGUGUCUCUUCAGAAAUGAACGUGGAUGGACUUUCCUCCAGCACUUUCUGAUGAUUGCGCUGCAGCGAGCAGUCCCGCUCGCCCAGAUGGACCACAUUGCCGAAUGAAUCCCCUAAAAUUUGCACUUCGAUAUGGCGGGCCGGUGUGAUGAUUUUUUCAAGAUACAUGCGGUCAUCGCCGAAUGCCGCUUUAGCUUCCGCUUUAGCUUGGCUGAAGGCUGCCUCCAGACCGUUUUCCUGGUAGACUUUCCGCAUCCCUUUCCCGCCACCGCCUGCUGCAGCUUUCAGGAUGACCGGAUAACCGAUUUUCUCUGCUUGCGCCACUGCCUCUUCGUAUGAAGAGAUGUAGCUUUCGCUGCCCGGAGUGACAGGUACGCCUGCAGCUAUCAUCGUUUUGCGGGCAUUUGCUUUGUUGCCCAUCAGGUCGAUGAUCGUGGAAGAAGGUCCGAUGAAGCGGAUGUUCAUUUCUUCGCACAUCGUAGCGAAAGCGCUGUUUUCUGAUAGGAAACCGAAGCCGGGGUGGAUGGCUUGGGCUCCUGUAACGACUGCCGCACUCAAAAUGCUUGUCAUAUUCAAAUAGGAAUCGCUCGCUUUUGCAGGACCGAUACAAAUCGCCUCGGUAGCCAAUUGCGUAUGCAACGCUUCGCGGUCGGCUUCAGAAUAGACCGCUACCGUCUGGAUUCCUAACUCAUGGCAAGCACGAAUGAUCCUGACAGCAAUUUCUCCUCUGUUUGCGAUCAAUACCUUCGUAAACAUAUUAUCUACCAAUGAUGAAUGUCAUUUCAACUUCACAAACUUUUUUGUCUCCGACAAAAGCUUGCCCGUAACCGAUACCCGCAAAUUUUUUCAAUUUGACGAUAUCCACUUGAAGGCGCAAAACAUCGCCAGGGACAACUUUUUGACGGAAUUUAACUUUAUUCAAUCCGCCUAAAUAAGCUGUUUGUCCUUUGAAAUCAGGCAAUGUCAACAACGGAAUCGAACCCGCUUGAGCCAAUGCUUCAACGAUCAAUACGCCCGGCAUUACCGGUUCGCCAGGGAAGUGGCCUUGGAAGAAAGGUUCGUUGAUUGUUACGUUUUUGUAGCAGACGAUGUGUUCGCCUGGUGUCAAUUCUUCAACUUUGUCGAUGAAGAAAAUAGGGUAGCGGUUUGGGAUGAUAUCCAUUACUUCUUGUGCGCUUAAUAAACUCAUUUUAUUAGUCUCCUUUUUUUAGACGAUGCGGAACAACGGUUGAUUGUAUUCAACAAUCUGUUCGUUUUCAACCAAUACUUCAACGAUUUCCCCAUCGAAUUCGCUUUUGAUUUCAUUCAUUAAUUUCAUCGCUUCAACCAGGCAGACAACUUCGCCUUUUGAUACGGUCUGUCCUUUUGAGACAUACGGUUUGGCAUCAGGUGUCGGGGCCAGGUAAACAACCCCAACGAUCGGAGAAGUCACGAUUUUUCCUUCUUUGCGCUCAAUCGUUUCAGCAACAGCUUCUUUGACGGCUUGUAUCGGCGCAGCCGCUGCCGGUGCCGGGAUUGCUGCCGGAGUGUUUUCGGCCGCCUGUUGGUGAGUCUGAACCAGUUUGUUCUUCGACAACAAGAGCUGGAAAUCGCCUGUCUGAUAGUGCAAUUCAGUCAAUGAAGAUUGGUCUAUCAACGAAAUUAGGCUUUUUACAUCUUCAAUAUUCACGUAUUAAGCCUCCCAUUUUUUGAAACAUAGUACGGCAUUAUGGCCGCCGAAGCCCAAAGAAUUGCUCAGAGUAUAAGUCACUUCUUUUUCACGUCCUACAUUCGGAAUGUAAUCCAAAUCGCAGCCUUCAUCAGCCACUUGGAAACCGAUUGUAGGAGGCAGGAAAUUAUCCUGAAUGGCUUUCACACAGGCAACCGCCUCGAUACCGCCGGCAGCGCCCAACAGGUGGCCUGUCAUGCUCUUUGUACUUGAGAUAGCGACGUUGUAAGCUUCUUCACCGAAUGCAUAUUUGAUCGCAGCUGUUUCGCCGGAAUCAUUUGCAGGCGUGCUUGUGCCGUGAGCGUUGAUGUAGUCGACUUGAGCCGGUGUGAUCCCCGCUUCGUUCAUAGCCAGGAUCAUCGCUUUACCCGCGCCGCUGCCGUCAGCUGACGGAGCAGUCAUAUGGUACGCAUCACAAGUGACACCGUAGCCGACUACUUCAGCCAAAAUGGUUGCGCCGCGUUCCAGUGCGUGAUCAAGGUUUUCAAGCAUCAAGAUGCCCGCGCCUUCACCCAUGACAAAGCCGUUUCUUUCUUUAUCGAAAGGAAUGGAUGCACGGUCCGGAUCAGUGCUUGCGGAUAAUGCAGUCAGAGCCGCAAACCCAGCGAUGCCGAUUUCGCAGACUGUCGCUUCCGAUCCGCCGGCAAGCAUCAGGUCAGCAUAACCGUGCUUGAUGCUGCGGAACGCUUCGCCAAUUGAGUUUGUCGCAGAAGCACAAGCCGUUACGAUAUCCAUGCUUGGACCUUUUGCGCCGAAUUUGAUGGCAGUGUUUCCUGCCGCCAUAUUGCCGAUAGCCAUCGGUACGAACAUCGGCGGUACGCGUUUUGGUCCUUUUUCAUGCAUUUUGAUGAUGCCGGAUUCCAUCGUGAUGAAACCGCCGACCCCGGAACCGAUCGUAACGCCGAAACGGUCCGCAUCGAUUUUCUCCAUGUCAAUGCCGCUUUGUUCAACAGCUUGUGCUGAAGCUGCAACUGCAUACUGCGAGAACAGAUCCAUCCGCUUGUAUUCUUUACGGUCCAUAUAUAAGGUCGCAUCGAAGUCUUUCACUUCACCUGCAACCGAAAUGCCUGUUUCGGUUGCAUCAAAAUUGGUGAUGGCGGCGAUGCCGUUUUUACCGUUUUUGAUGCCGUCCCAGUAUUCAGUCACUGUAUUUCCUAGAGGUGUGAUAGCACCCAUACCUGUAAUAACAACGCGAUUCAUAUUUAUCCUCCUGUCUUACAUGUACAUGCCGCCAUUGACACUGAUGGUCUGGCCGGUAAUGUAAGUAUUCUCACUCAAGAAAACAGCGGUGUUUGCCACUUCUUCGGCUUUCCCAAAUCGUUUCAAUGGAAUUUGCGUCAACAUUUGCUCCUGAAUCUUAUCGGACAGUACAUCCGUCAUUUCCGUUUCAAUGAAGCCUGGUGCGAUCGCAUUACAAGUAAUGCCUCUUGCUGCCGCUUCACGGGCGACUGACUUCGUCAAUCCGAUGAUUCCUGCUUUGCUGGCCGCAUAGUUGGCUUGUCCCGUAUUUCCGGUUUCGCCGACCACACUUGAAAUAUUGAUGAUGCUCCCCGCUCUUUGCUUCAGCAUAAGCGGCAAGGCGUGUCGGAUCAUGUUGAAGGUACCCUUCAGAUUCACUUGGUAAGUAGCGUCGAAAUCCUCUUCAUCCAUGCGCAUGAUCAGUUUAUCGCGGGUGAUCCCGGCAUUGUUCACCAACACAUCCACGGAACCGAACAGUUCCUUGGCUUGGCUGAUGAUUUCUUUGGCCGUUUCAAACUCGCUGACAUCACCCAAGAGUGUUUUCACGGUGACACCAUAGGAUUCCAGAUGUGCUAUCUUUUCUUCAGGAAUCGGUUUGCGCGCAUUCAGAACGAUGUUGGCUCCUCGUUUCGCAUAGGCUUCAGCGAUGGCUUCCCCGAUUCCUCUUGAACUGCCAGUGACGAUGACUGUCUUUCCUUUUAAAUCCAAGGCUAUCCCUCUUUUCUUGUCUGAAUAUCUUAUUUUUGCAAUGCUUCAAGGGUCUUAUUGAGGGAUUUUGCAUCCUCUACGUUAUAUACGGCGACCUCUUUGUUGAUUUUUUUGAUGAACUUGCUCAAAGUCGUUCCAGGGCCGACUUCAACGAAAGUGUCCACACCCAAAUCGAUCAGUUUGCGGACGCUGUCUUCCCACAAUACCGGUGAUUCGAUCUGACGGACCAAAAGGCCUUUGAUGGCAUCUUUUGCCACGAUAUCAGCUUCCGUAUUGCCAAUGACAGGGAUCUUAGGCUCCUCGACAGUCACUUCGGACAAAGCCGCUUCCAGCCUCCCCGCUGCAGGGUGCAACAGUGCGGUAUGGAAUGGGCCGCUGACAUUCAGAGGAAUGAUGCGUUUCACGCCUUUGGAUUCAAGAAUCUCGAUUGCCUUGUCGACGCCUUCGAUUUCCCCGCCGAUGACGAUCUGCGUCGGCAUGUUGUAGUUGGCAGGCGCGACAUAAGCCGUCUCGCUUGCUUCCCGGCAGGAUUCUUCGAUAACGGAGCGUUCAGCGUUCAUGACCGCCGCCAUCUUGCCGCGGCCUGCAGGAACUGCUUCACUCAUGUAUUUUCCGCGUUUCGCUACGAGCGAAAUAGCCUCAUUAAAAGAAAAAGCAUUGGCUUUCACCAGUGCUGUAUAUUCCCCGAGGCUCAAUCCUGCAACAAAAUCUGGCUGAAUUCCCUUUUCAGCUAGUAAUUGAUCAAGGGCGUAGCUAACCGUUAAGAUUGCUGGUUGUGUGUAUUCAGUUAAAUGAAGCUUUCCGUUCUCCACGAAGCAAAGGUCUGCGACGUCGUAACCCAGAACAGCGGAUGCUUCAUCAAAAACAGUGCGCACAACUUCAAAUUCGUUAUAAAGUUCUUGGCCCAUACCGAAAUAUUGCGCCCCUUGACCACUAUAAACAAAAGCUGUUGCCAUUAUUUCACCUCUAUAUUUUUGUUAAUCCGCCCACAAUUUGGCUUGGGCCAGGAUAACUUCUUUGCAUUCCGUCAUAUACUCUUGUAUGAUAUCAUGACACGUUUGUUCCUUCGAAAUCAGGCCGGCAAUCUGUCCGGCCAUCAUCGAACCGUAGUCUUUAUCACCAUCAACAGUCGCUCUUCUCAGAGCGCCUUUGCCCAUUUCUUCAAGUUUUGCCAAGUCCGGAUUUUCCUUGCUUGUCUCUUCUUUUUCGACUUGCAGAUAUUCUCUGGUCAGUUUAUUGCGCAACACACGAACAGGAUGUCCGGUAAUCUGACCGGUAAUGACUGUAUCGAUGUCUUUCGCCUUUAGAAUGGCAUUCUUGAAAUUUUGAUGGGCAUUGGAUUCUUUGGCAACUACAAACCGUGUACCCACUUGAACAGCGGAAGCGCCCAGCAUAAAUGCUGCGGCCAUUCCACGCCCAUCGCCGAUACCGCCGGCAGCGAUGACUGGAAUGGAGACGGCGUCGACUACCUGGGGAACCAGGGCAAGGGUUGUUGUCUUUCCGAUGUGACCACCGGAUUCCAUACCUUCAACAACGACUGCGUGUGCACCGUCUUUCUCCAUCCUUCUCGCUAAAGCUACGGAAGCUACAACCGGAAUGACUGUGAUACCUGCUUCUUUGAAUUGGUUCAUAUAACGGGCUGGACUUCCGGCGCCAGUUGUGACAACCUUAACGCCGGCAGCGAUUACUGCUUCAACAAUCGCAUCGACAUGUGGAUUCAAAAGCAUGAUGUUUACACCAAAAGGCUUAUCAGUCAAUGCUUUCAUUUUCGAAAUUUUUUCAUUCGCUACAUCCACGCUAUCGUGGCCAGUCCCGAUCAGACCCAAACCACCAGCAUUGGAAACGGCACUUGCCAAAUCAGCAUCCGCCACCCACGCCAUUGCCCCUUGAAUGAUGGGAUAUUGAAUACCUAAUAAUUCACAUAAUUCUGAUUUCAUACAAGGCCUACUUUCCUUCUACUUCUUAUUCUGCUAAUUGAGCAUCAACGUAUUUGACCAAGUCUUCAACAGUGUUGAUGCCUUCGUCUGAUUCGAUUUUGAUAUCGAAUUCGUCUUCGAUGUCGUUGAUGAUUUGGAAUAAGUCUAAGCUAUCAGCAUCCAGGUCUUCUCUGAAGUUUGUUGCUAAUUGUACUUCUUCUACUUCUUUGUCCAAUUGGUCCACGAUAAUAGCUUGAAUUUUUUCGAAUGUCAUAAUAAAUUCCUCCAAAUAUGUUUUUUUAGUUUAAUGAUACUACGAUGGCUCCCCAAGUGAGGCCGCCACCAAAUCCUGUCAUCAGCACCUUCUCUUUGGUGCCGAGUUGAAUUUCUUUGGUUUGCACAAGCUGAUCCAACAGAAUCGGAAUGCUUGCUGCUGAUGUGUUGCCCGUUUCUGCGAUGUUUGUGGCAAACAAUGAAAAUGGCAUUUUCAAUUUUUUGCUGAUUGCCUCCAACAAGCGAACGUUUGCUUGAUGGGCCAGGAUCUUCUUCAGAUCUCCUUCAGAAAGAUUUCCUUUCUCCAUCACUUCGCGUAUGACGCUCGGCACACUCCGGAUUGCAAAGUCAAAAAUGGCUCUGCCGUCCAUCGUAAGGAAAGCUUGUUCCUCUUGCGCGGUGCUUCCAUACGGAUUUUUUACUUUCAUCGUGUUCGCCACUAAUGCCAUAUGGCGUCCACCAUCGGAAUGGAUCGCUUCUGAAACAAAGCAAUCGUCUUCCGUUCGUUCCAACAACACGCCGCCUGCGCCAUCCCCGAACAGGACUGCCGUAGAACGGUCUUCCCAGUUGACGGCUUUUGACAUUGUCUCGGCACCGAUGAUCAUACCAUAUUGAUAUAGACCGCUCUGCAUCAUAUGUAGACCGGUGGACAAUGCGUAGACAAAACCGGAGCAAGCUGCAUUGACAUCGAAACAGAAAGCAUUUACUGCGCCUAUCUGUUCUUGCACAAGGCAAGCUGUCGACGGGCUGAGAGCAUCCGGAGUCAUUGUGGCUACAAUGAUGAAAUCCAGCUGUUCGGCAGUGAUUUUACCGUUUUGCAAAAUCCGGCGGGCUGCUUCGCUGGCAAGAUCGGAAGUGUUCUCAUCCUUCGAAAUGUGCCGGCUGCGUAUGCCUGUCCUUUUGCUGAUCCACUCAUCACUCGUGUCCAUGAUUUUAGACAGAUCAUCAUUUGUGAUGACCUGUUCAGGAAGGUAAUGACCUGUUGCGCUAAUCUUUGAACCCAAUUCCAUCAACCCUGUUCCUUGAUAUUUUGAACUAAACCAAAUAAGAAACCGUGAAGAUUGUUUAGGCCUUUCAGCAAAACUUUCACUUCCUGAUCUUCCAUAUCGCGAAUGGUGUUCUUUACCAUUUCCCGAUGGAACUUAUCAUGAAGACGAUACAGUAAGCGUCCUUUUUUGGUUAAUCCUAGUUUUACGACUCUGCGGUCUUUCUCCAUCCGAAUGCGUUCGACAUACCCUUUCUUUACCAGAGCGUUAAUGGCCACCGUCAAAGUUCCCGCAGUUAUGUUCAAUUUCUUUGCUACUUCAGAAGUUGUAUGUUCUUGAUACAUACCGAUUGCUUCCACAGUAUGCAUUUCUUUGAUGGAUAAAUCCGAAAAUGAACUGACACGCAAUGCAUCCUCUUCGAUAUCCAGCACUUCAUUGAAGACAGCUACGAGAUAUGAGUUAAUUGUAUCUAUGGAAUGAUCCAAAGAUAACUCUCCUCCUUUCGAUGCCCGCUCAAACCACAUUAGUCUGAAGGUCAAAAUAGUUUGAUGUUCAAACCUUUCGACUUUCAAACUAUAUAAAAUUUUAUACACCCUGUCAAGCAUUUCGAUAAUAAUUAUUCUUCAGCUCCAAACGAUAUUGCAAAUUCCAUUCAUUUGUUUCCAUCCGCUUGCGCGCGGGCAUUUCCGUGCAGGUUCAAGGCCUAUUGCCCGGACUACGCCGCCAAAGAAAAGAAGCGACGAAAAACGCCGCUUCUUCAGUAUCUUUAUUAAUCGACCUUAACAAAUUCUUCGAUAUCUUUGAAAUUCACGAUCGUUUUAUCUUCGCAGAUAUCUUUCAUGGCACCUGAUGACAAAUCCCAAUAAAUUUCCACGACAGCGCUGUUUGUCAGUAAUUUCCUGAUUACCCCCACCAUCUCCUGUUUACGGAACGUGAAUUUGAUUUCAUCACCGAUUUCAGGCCGUAUAGAUUCCUUGAUGGCAUCGACGACCUCCAAAGCCUGAUCAUACGACACGCCAAGCAGAUUCGCAAUACGUGAGUUGCUCGUACCUUUACGUAAUUCGCUCUCAAUCAUGGUCUUCGUUUCUUUAGUAAUAUCCCUUACCAUUUCCAUUAUCGCCUCACUUUUAAGAACCAGGAACUACAACAGACUUACAAACAGUAGUAUACCAUACUUCUUACGAUUUGGCUCGAAAACACACUUAUUGUAAGCAAUAUCGCCACAUAUCUUUCAGAUUUCCGCUUUCAGCGUGCAAUUUCAUUUCAAAAUAGUGUUUAAUAAUUUGCCUGCGAUAAGGUAUAAUGAUGAUGUGAAGUGUUUAGCAUUCUGUUUAGGAGGGGUUUAAGAUGUUGAAUGACCUUAUUACGAUACUGAAGCAUGAAUACACGGUGCAUCCUGGUGAAUACUUCAACGUGGAUACAUACUGGGUAAAAAAUAUGUCUGAAGUGAAGACUGUGAUCAUCGAUCAGGAUCACGUAUUUACAAAAAUGGUAAGCUUCUAUCCCAAAAAUUUUGUGAUCUACUUGGAGCAGUUCCCCGAUCAGAGCAUUUACCGCACGAAUUUCCCAUUGCGGAAGAUCGAAAACAGCGACUCCCAUGAAGUUGUUUUUGACGAAGCGACCAAAGAUGUCUAUGAAUAUCUCGAUUGAUCACUAGGCUCGCAAGAAUCGGAUUCAGCAAGCAAAAAAGCUCACCGCAGUGAGCUUUUUCUUUUUUCUUCUAUAAUAUACGUCUCAAGAGAGAUUCGAACUCCCGACCGUUCGCUUAGAAGGCGAAUGCUCUAUCCUGCUGAGCUAUUGAGACAGAUUGGUAUUGGACAGGAAAGGUUGCAAACCGUUUUGACCUCGUCACAAGUAAUGAUUAUACAGUAAACCGAUUAAAUUGUCACCAUGAUUUUGAUUGUUUUCCCAAAAAUAUUUCAAUGACACAACAAACGGAUAUUCAUGCCGCUCCUCACGGGCGACAUUUGAUCCGGAAGAAAGUGUCGUGACAAAAAAAACGUCGCAUUCGUUUUGACACGAAUGCAACAGAGUCUCUGCCCUGGACUUGCCGUCCUGAAAACAGAUAUGACGUCUCAAGAGAGAUUCGAACUCCCGACCGUUCGCUUAGAAGGCGAAUGCUCUAUCCGGCUGAGCUAUUGAGACAAGGUUUUAAGCCAUUCGAACAACUCACAACAUUGAAUAGUAUAGGCGAUAACACGUCCAAAGUCAACACUUUCCUGGAAAUGUUUUGGCUAUUCCUUUUGCUUCUUUUGUUUUUGGGGGACGUUUUUUUACAAGCAAGCAAAUUUGUCGGCCGGGCUGGAUGAUUACCCGGCCAGCAAAUUCCGAUCCGUCAGGAGAAGAACGUAUCCUUCACCGCGGCCGUGACGGCCAAUUUGACGUGUUCAAAGGUCAGUCCGCCCUGGACGUAGAGCAGAUAGGGCGGACGGAUCGGACCAUCUGCAGUCAACUCCAGGCUGGCGCCUUGAAUGAAGGUUCCCGCGGCCAUGAUCACAUCAUCUUCGUAUCCGGGCAUGUAAGCCGGAAUCGGUUUGACGGUUGCAUUCACGGGAGAAUAUUUUUGGAUCGUCUGCGCGAAAGCGAUCAUGGCUUCCUUGCUCGGCAGAGCGACCAUUUGAAUCAGAUCCGUGCGCGGGCUGUUCCAGGCAGGCGUUGACGAUACGCCGCAUUCUUCCAACAAGCCUGCCGUAAAGACUGCGCCUUUCACUGCUUCUCCCACGACAUGCGGCGCCAAAAACAACCCUUGGUACAUUUCCAGCAGACUAUAGAGCGAAGCCCCAGCCUCGCGUCCGAUACCGGGUGUCGUCAGGCGGUAUGCGCACCUUUCGAUCAGGUCCUCACGGCCGGCGAGAUAACCGCCCAUCUUCACGAUGCCGCCCCCAGGAUUUUUGAUGAGCGACCCGGCGAUCAGGUCGGCUCCGACUUCAAUCGGUUCCAUCGUUUCGACAAAUUCGCCGUAACAAUUAUCGACAAAAAAGAUCGUUUCCGGCGCCACAUGCGGCCUGAUUGCCGCUAUCAUCGUUUUGAUCUCUGCGACCGUAAAAGAAGGCCUCGCCGCAUAGCCACGGGAGCGUUGUAUUGCGAUCAUUUUCGUUUUCGGGCUGACUUUUUCCAGUACAGCUGGGAUAUCCACUUCGCCGUCCGCACACAAGUCGACAUGCUGGUAUGCGAUAUUGUAUUCUUUCAGAGAGCCUAUCCCGUUACCGGUCAGACCGACAAUAUCCAGCAGGGUGUCGUAUGGCGUUCCGGUCACGUACAUCAAUUCAUCCCCGGGACGCAGAACUCCGAAAAGCGCCGUUGAUAUAGCAUGUGUCCCGGAAAUGAUUUGCGGCCGUACCAAAGCGGCUUCAGCCUGAAAAAUCUCCGCGUAAACCCUUUCCAGCGUGUCGCGGCCAUCGUCAUCGUACCCGUAACCCGUGCUCGGGUUGAAAUGGAAAUCGCUGACGCGGUGUUUGCGGAACGCCUCCAACACUUUACCUUGAUUGAAUAAUGCCUUUUCCUGUAUCGUCUUGAAAAUGGGCUGGAUUUUGUCAUCCACUUUUGCGACCAUACCCUCCAGCAUUUCCUCUUUAUUCAUCACUUGCAUCCGUUUUUUUGUCUCCUAACCACUUUGAAUUGCUUUUGGCAUACCCUCUCAAGCGGUAUGCAUUGGUUUCCUCUAUGUACUCGAUGGAUUCCACAAAGGUUUCUUGCUGCAUUUUAUUCAUCGUGCGGGCUUCAGGUCCGCUCGCAUCGAUAUCUUUCGUGUAUGGAACCAGCAUUUUUGCGAUUUCAUCCCAAAGGAAGUCCUUCAACCGAUUGAUAUCCGCAUCGUCCAGUGCUGAAAUGACGAUAUUCGGAAAAAGUCUGGGCUGAAAAUCCGGCCCGGCGAGAUCCCGUUUGUUGUAGAUUGUCAACAGCGGUGUUUUGUCCAUAUCCAGAUCCUUCAACAGCUCCAAGACGGUCUUUUCGUGCUGAUCGAUAAAGGAUGUCGAAGCAUCCACCACAUGCAGGAACACGUCCAUAUUGCGGCUUUCCUCCAAUGUGGAAUGGAAUGCAUGGAUCAACUGUGUCGGAAGGUCCUGGAUGAACCCUACGGUAUCGGUGAUGGUGGCUUGGAAUUGAUUCGGAAAAGUCAUUUUUCUUGUCAACGGAUCCAAAGUCGCAAAUAAUUUGUCCUCUUCCAACGUUCCCGCAUCGGUCAGGCGGUUGAUGAUCGUCGAUUUCCCGGCGUUCGUGUAACCGAUCAAGCCGAUCUGGAAAACCUCACUGGCGUGCCGUUUUUCCCUGGCUCUUUGUCUGUGCAACUCUGUCUCUUCCAAAGUUUUCUUGAUUUCCUGCAUCUGACUGUGGAUAUGCCGGCGGUCGGAUUCAAGCUUCGUUUCUCCCGGCCCCCGCGUGCCGAUUCCCCCGCCCAAACGGGAUAAAUUGACACCCUGUCCCAUCAGUCUGGGCAACAGAUAACUCAAUUGGGCCAAGGCCACCUGAAGCUUCCCUUCUUUGCUGCGGGCGCGCAUCGCAAAGAUAUCCAAUAUCAGCUGAACCCGGUCGAUCACUUUACAGUCGACAGACUCUUGGAUGUUGCGGACUUGUUUUGACGAAAGCUCCUGCUGAAAAAUGACGGUAUCCGCAUCAAGUUCCGCGCACAAAUUCACCAAUUCCUCCAACUUUCCUUUGCCGAUGACGGUUCGUGAAUCUUUCCGCUCCCUUUUUUGGGUCAAGACGCCGACCACUUCCCCCAACGCGGUUUCGGUCAAUUCAGCCAGUUCCCUCAAUUCAUAUUCAAAGGCUUCGUCCGUCUGAUCCGUCUGAACGUUUACCAGAAUCACUUUUUCUCUCGUAUUUUCCAUAGAAUUUCCAACUUUCUUUUUUCGUCCUUUUGCCGAUCAUCACUUCAGGAACGACUCGACCAACGCUGCGAUUUGCCGCAUUCGGGAAUCAUCCUGAACCAAAUCAAACCAAUGGAUGCCGCUCAUUCUGUUCCGGAACCAGGUAAGUUGCCGCUUGGCAUAUCGCCUUGAGUUCAGCUUCAGCAAUUCUUUGGCCUCUUCCAAGGUGAUUUCCCCAUUGAAGUAGCCGAACCAUUCCUUGUAUCCUAUGCCUCUUGUGGCCUGUGUCUUGUCAGGCAAAUGCAGGUCAAAAAGGGCUUUGGCCUCUUCGAUCAGCCCGCCUGCCACCAUCAGAUCCACCCGUCGGUUGAUGCGCUCGUAGAGGACGCUUCGAUCGGUGUCAAGUCCGAUCAGAAGUGCAUCGUAAUGCGGAGCAGCCUCCCGGUCAUUCUGAUCAGAAAACAAUUUCCCGCUGAAGUGGAUCAUUUCCAGAGCGCGGAUGACCCUUCGGCUGUUGUUCGGAUGGAUCUGUUCGGCGGCUCGGGGGUCCUUCUCGUUCAGGAGGUUCCAAAGAUGCAUGGCAUCAGUCCGUGCCAAUUCAGCCUCCAGUUCCCGGCGGUAUUGUUUGUCUUCAUUUGCGACUCCCCCGAACUGCAUAUCAAACAACAGUCCUUCGAUAUACAGCCCCGAACCUCCGACCACAAUCGGCAGUUUGUCGUUUGCAACAAUCGCGUCGAUCGCUUGUCCGGCAUCCCUUUUAAAAUCGGAGGCUGUAUAGUCCUGAUCGACCGGUACGAUAUCCAACAAGUGAUGCGGGAUCCCUUCCGCCUCUUCCGCGGUCACUUUCGCCGUUCCGAUAUCAAGCCCUUCAUACACUUGCAUGGAAUCCCCGUUGAUGAUUUCGCCAUUGAAUUGUUUCGCCAAUCGGAUGCUCAGUGCCGUUUUCCCGACUGCUGUCGGACCGAUAAUGACCACGAUUUUUUUUAACUUGCUCUUUGUUGUUUCAGACACCUUGGAUCACCUUUCUCAUUUGCAAUGCACGUUCCGGAUAAUCCGUGAUCAUCGAAUCGAUCUUUCUGCGCAGACAGACUUGCAUUUCGACCUUCCGAUUCACCGUCCAAACACGGAGGGGCAUCUUUGAUUGUUCAAAAGGAGGCAGGCUGCGCAAAAUCGAGAAUUUCGGGUGCCACCCCUCAACAGGGAUCCCGGCACCCAAGUCAAUUUGCUGUUUCCCCUUUUUGCUGAACAACAAAGCAAUCUCCGAGUCCCCGCGCAACGCCUUGAUUUUUUUCAGGGUAUCGUAAUGGAAACUGGAAUAGAUGACCGAAAAUCGAGCAAGGAAAGGUUCAGUCAAAACCAGGACCUUUUCUUCGAUCGCAGGAUAUUGGAAUACAUCCGUCUUCAAUUCAAUAUUCAGCACUCCGGUAAAGUGAUUCUCAGCCAGGAGAUCCAGCACCUCUUGCAGCGUCGGGAUGCGGGCCUGAUUGUAUUUCGGGUCGAACCAACUGCCUGCAUCCAAUUCUUUCAAUUGUUGCAGGGUCAAAUCUUUGACGAAGCCUUUUCCGGAUGUCGUACGGUCAACAGUCUCAUCAUGGAUGACCACGACCUCACCAUCUUUGCUCAGAUGGACAUCCAAUUCGAUGCCAUCGCUCGCUACAUCCAAAGCUUCCUGAAACGCCUCAAGUGUAUUCUCAGGCCGGUUGCCGCGGCUGCCUCUAUGAGCGAUGAUUUUUGUGUAUGCCAAUCUCCCACAAUCCUUUCAAAUGAACCUUAACCCGCCUUUUUCUCAUCUAUGCUUUAUUUUUUUCAGUGUCGGCCAAAUCCAACAAUUCCUUUGCAUGAGCCAGCGAAAGCUCCGUGAUGUCGGUACCCGCCAACAUCCGCGCAACUUCGUUGAUGCGUUCCUCGCCGAAUAGCGGUUUGACAUGCGUCUUUGUCCUGUCCGCGAUGAUUUCCUUUUCGAUAUACAGGUGCUGAUCCGCCAUUGCCGCCACUUGCGGAAGAUGCGUAAUGCAGAGGACCUGCGAGUAGCUGGCCACCAAAUGGAUCUUGUUGGCUAUCGCUUGUGCCACCCUGCCCGACACGCCUGUAUCGACCUCAUCAAAGAUGAUGCUGGUGAUGCCUUGCGUCUUGGUGAAGAUGGCCUUCAUCGCCAACAUCAUCCGCGAGAGUUCCCCUCCGCUGGCUACCUUUGCCAAUGCUUUCAGAGGUUCACCGACAUUCGUGGCGAUGUAGAAUUCAACUUGAUCCAACCCGUUUUCCGUUAUUGCGGUCUUUCCCUGCUGCUCAUGGAAGACCGUCUUGAAAAGCACUUUAUCCAUAUACAGUUCCUUCAGCUGCAAUUGAAUCUGUUUUUCCAAAGCAGCAGCGGAUUUUCCGCGGAUGACGGUCAGCUGUUUGCCGAUCCUCAAUACCUCUUCUUUUGCCUUGCUGUACCCCAGAUUCAACCGUUCGAGGUAGCUUUCUCGGUUUUCGAUCAGGUCCAGUUCUUUGGCGAUUUUCUCAUAGUGUACGAGCACCUCAGGGAUUGUGUUCCCGUAUUUGCGCUUCAACUGCCGGAGCAAUUCCAACCUGUUCUCGAUUUCAUUCAGCCGGCCCUCAUCAUAGGACAGUUGUUCGAUUUCCGAAAGGAUGUCACCGGCGCAUUCCUGCAAUUGAUAGUACGCUGCCGAUACGGAGGCGGCUAUCGUUUGAUAGGCGGGAUUGAUGUCCUGCACUUUUUCCAGCGCAGCCAUCCCGAGGCCGAUUUUGUCGAUGCCAUUCUCUUCGCUGUUCUGCAGAGAAUCAUACGCGCUUGUCAAAGCAUGCAUGACUUUCUGAUAGUUGACGAGGAGAUUUCUUUCUUCUUCCAACUUUUCGUCUUCAGCGGGAUCCUUCAGCUGCGCUUGUUCGAUUUCCUGGAUUUGGAACGUCAGCAGGUCGAUUCUUUGGACCGUUUCUUUCUCAUCUGUCCUGAGUUGGAUCAGCUGCUUGCGUUUAUCCGCAUAAUCGGCAAACGCAACAUGGUAUUUCGUUUUGACUUCUUUCAGUUCUUUUCCGGCAAAUUGAUCCAGCAAGUCGAUAUGCUUUUGCGGAUCCAUCAAUUCCUGGUGUUCAUUUUGCCCAUGGAUAUCGAUCAACGUUUCGCCCACCUCGCGCAAGGUCGCAACCGUUACGAUGGUUCCGUUGACGCGGGAAAUGUUUUUGCCGUUACGGGAGAGCUCCCGUUGCAGCAGAACCUGGUUCCCAUCGGCUUCGAUUCCGUACGCUUCCAGAACGGCCAUUGUCUUGGCGUUUUCCGGGAUACCGAAAAGCCCUUGGAUGACAGUUUUAUUUUCGCCGUAUCGGAUCAGGUCAUUGGAUCCUCUGCCGCCGGCCAGCAAACCGACCGCGUCGAUGAUGAUGGAUUUGCCGGCACCCGUUUCCCCGGUAAGGACGGUCAUGCCUUCUUCGAAACUCACUUGAAGAUUUUCAAUUAUUGCAAAAUUUUUAAUGGACAACUCUUGUAACAUUCGGCAUUCCCCUUCGCAACGCUUCCUUUAAAUAUUUGUCAUUUAUCGGAAAUUGAGAUUGCUUUACUUUUCAGCUGCUGAUAAGCCUCCUGGACCACUUUCGGGCUGUCGAUUUCAGGAGAAAUGAUGCCCGGCGCAUGGCCGUUGGCUUGUAAGUGGACCAAAAAUUCGAUGUUUCCGGUUCCUCCGGUGAUGGGGGAAAAGCUCAGAUUGUUCACAUCGAAGCCGGUCAAGGAUGCAAACUCCAGAAUAUCCUUCAACACUUCGUUAUGGACAGCCGGAUCGCUGACGAUCCCUUUUUUGCCGAUUUUGCCUCUUCCGGCUUCAAAUUGCGGUUUGAUCAGCGCCACGACGUCACCGCCGGUUGCAAUGAUGUCCUUCAGCACUGGCAAAAUCAGUUUCAAGGAAAUGAAGGAUACAUCGAUGGAAGCCAUUUCCGGCCUGCCUUUUUCGAAAUCCUCCAGUUUGCUGUAUCGGAAAUUCACCCGUUCCAUCACCUCGACCCGUUCGUCUUGGCGUAAUUUCCAAUCCAGUUGAUUGUAGCCGACAUCCAAGGCGUAACAUAAUUUCGCCCCAUUUUGCAGUGCGACAUCCGUAAAGCCGCCGGUCGAGCUGCCGAUGUCCAAAAAGAUUUUGUCUUUUGGAUCCAACUCGAACAAAGCGAUGGCCUUCUCGAGCUUCAGUCCGCCGCGGCUCACGUAUUUCAGGGUCUCGCCUUUGAUAUGGAGCGUUUUUUCAGUCGAAACCUUUUCCCCCGGUUUAUCGUAUCUUUGGUUGUUUUCAUCGUAGAUUUGCCCGGCCAUGAUCAAUCUUUUGGCUUUCUCGCGGGAAUCGGUCAAGCCCUGUUGCACUACAAGUAAAUCCAAUCUUUCUUUUUCCAUGGUAAUCUCCCGUUAUAUUCUGACGUAAUCCAAUAUUUCGCGGAAUACGUCUAUUUUAUUUUCCGCAUCGUCAAUGCGAGCUGCCAGUCGUUCCAAACAGCCUUCCGCUUGGCCGAUGACAGUGUUCAGUUCCUGGAUGGCUCCGGCGACCCCUAGCAGGGAUGGGUAUGUGUUUUUGUUCAAAUCGGCAUCGUGAUGGGUGGUCUUGCCGGUCUGUGCCUCAUCCAGCACGACAUCUUUCAGGUCAUUGUGGAUCUGGUAAGCCAAACCCAAGUGCCGCGAGAACUGUUCCAUUUCCCUUGCGAAUGAUCCAUCCGCUUCGGCGAUCAGGCAUCCGGCCGUAACGGAAAAUCGGAUCAAGGCACCGGUCUUUUUGUCGUGCACUUGCUUUAAUUCUUCGAUUGUCAAUCUUUUCUCUUCGCCUUCAACAUCAUCCAUCUGGCCGGCUAUCAUCCCGUCCGGACCGGCGGCUUUCGCCAAUAGGGCAAUCAGCCUGAUUUUCUUGUCAGCCGAUAGUGUUGGUGUUUCCGCGAGAAUUUCGAAUGCGGCCGUCAACAGGGCAUCGCCCGCAAGUAUCGCCGUGGAUUCCCCGAAAACUUUGUGCGAGGUCAAACGGCCACGCCUGUAGUCAUCGUCAUCCAUAGCAGGCAGAUCAUCAUGGAUCAGGGAGUAGGUAUGGAUAUACUCCAAAGCAGCUGCGGCAGCAAAGCCGUCGGAAAUCUCCCUCCCCGCCAACGCAAGGGUCGCCAAUACCAAAAGAGGGCGAAUUCUUUUUCCGCCCCCCAUUAAAGAAUACGCCAUCGCUUUAUGCAGAUUUUCUUGCUCAGGGACAGCCGCUCUCAAUUCCGAAUAGAGGUAAGCAUCGAACCGAGGCAUCCAUUCCGCUUGAAACUCUCUGAGAUUCAUGCUCUUCAUUCUCCUUCGCUUCGGGACGCAGGCUCUUCAAAAUCCACUUCAGAACCAUCAGCGUUCACGAUUUUUGUCAGCGUUUUUUCAGCAAUGUUCAGAGUAUCCUGGCAGUACUUGCUGAGGUCCAUUCCCACUUUGAAUUGCUCCAGUGCCUCCUCCAAGGGCACAUCCCCGGCUUCCAGCCUGGUCACGAUCGCUUCCAAUUGGUUCAUCGCUUCUUCAAAACUAACAUUUUUUUCGGCCUUCAUCACUUUUCCUCCACCACAUAUUUUACUUCCGCUUCGGCAUAACCGUCCGAAAAAUUCACUUUCAAUUUGUCGCCGCUUUGCAGCUCUUUGACGGACGAUACAAUCUCGCCGUCUCUCGUCGUAUAUGUGUAGCCUCGCGACAUGAUCUUCAAGGGACUCAGCAAAUCCAGCGAUUGCAUGGCCGUGUUCAGGCGUUGUUCCUGCUGUUUCGCAUAUCGCUCCAUGGCCCUCUUCAAUUGCUCACUGAGCUGCUGUCUGCGUUUUUCGGCCAAUGCGACUUCCCGUUCCGGGUUGCGGUUUUCCAGACGCAAUUGCAGUCGCUCCAAGUCAGUGGAGCGUAAUUGGAUCUGCUGCUGCAUUUGACUGAUCAGGCGCAGCUGAACCUGAUCCGCUUUUAUCGCAUAGCCCUCAUACAUCCUUUCCGGUUGCCUGAAGAUGUAGGAUUGCAUGGCGCGAUUCAGACGCUGUUGCUGCAGCGUGUGCAGAUGCCGCAGCUUCUGGUACAGCCGGUUUUCGAGCUGAUGGAUAUAGCGGUUGACAUCGUUCAAUACCGGCACUGACAAUUCUGCCGCUGCCGUGGGCGUUGCAGCCCUGACAUCGGCAACAAAGUCGGACAAGGUCGUAUCGGUUUCAUGUCCGACCGAGGAAAUCACCGGGAUAGUCAUGGCUGCGAUUUGGCGAACGACCGUUUCCUCGUUGAAGGACCAGAGAUCCUCGAUGGAACCGCCGCCCCUUGCGACAAUGACCAAGUCAUAGUCGCCUUUUUGCUCGAUGGUUUGCAGAUUCCUGAUGAUACUGCCGGCGGAAUCCUUCCCUUGGACAACGGUCGGAUAGAGCACCAGCUGGACAAUCGGAUAUCUUCUUUUCACGGUCGUCAUGAUGUCCCGGAUGACAGCACCGCUCGGACUGGUCACGAUGGCGAUCCGUUUCGGAAAAACCGGUAUUUUUUUCUUCGGCAAGGAAAAUAAUCCUUCCCGCGCCAAUUUCUCCUUCAGUUCCGAAAAAGCCUGAUACAGAGCGCCGAUACCGUCAGGUUCCAUAUGCUCGACCAUGAUAUUAUAGGUGCCGCCUGCUUCGUAGACGUUCACGCGUCCGAUCAGCAUCACCUUCAUCCCUUCCUUUGGCGUGAAAGUCAACUUAUCGAACCUGCCUUUGUACAUCACUGCCGAGAUGACAGCAUGGUCAUCCUUCAGGCUGAAGUACUGAUGGCCCGGACGCGGACGAUAAUUGGAUAUUUCGCCGGUAAGGUAGACGCGCUCGAGAUAAGGAUCGGCAUCGAAUUUUCUUUUGAUGUACUUGGUUAAAGCAGUGACGCUCAGAUAAAGAGGUUCCAACUUUAUGCCUCCUUGGUCAUUUUGCUUUGUCGAUCGUUUGCUGCAAAAGCAUCGUAAUCGUCAUCGGACCGACCCCGCCCGGGACAGGCGUGAUAUGGCUGGCGAUGCCCAUCGCAGCUGCCGUAUCCACGUCGCCGAUCAAUUUGCCUUCUGCACUGCGGUUCAUACCGACAUCGAUGACGACUGCACCUUCUUUGAUGAAAUCAGCUGUGAUAAAGUGGCCUCUGCCGAUCGCCGCAACAAGGAUAUCGGCUUCUUUCGCCAAUUCCUUCAGGUUUUUCGUGCGCGAAUGAGCGAUUGUCACCGUUGCAUUUUCGUUCAGGAGCAUGAUGGACAUCGGUUUUCCGACGAUGUUGCUUCGGCCGAUCACCAGCGCUUUUUUCCCUUCCAGCGCAAUGUUGUAUUCUUCCAAAAUCUUCAUGAUGCCGUAAGGCGUGCACGGCAAGGCUGAUUCGUUCCCCAGGAAAAAGUUCCCGACGUUCAUCGGAUGGAACCCAUCCACAUCCUUCUCAUAACUGAUCGCCCGCAGUACUUUUUGCUCAUCUAUAUGCUUCGGCAAAGGCAGUUGGACCAAAAUGCCGUGCAUGCUGUCAUCCUGGUUUUGCUUUUCGACUUCCGCCAGAAGAUCCGCUUCGGAAAUGUCUGCAGGCAGACGGACGACGCGCGAAUUCAUGCCCAUUGCCGCCGAUUGUUUUUCCUUAUUGCGGACGUAGACCUGGCUCGCUUUGUCUUCGCCCACCAAAAUGACGCAAAGACCAGGCGUUUUCCCUGCUGCCGUGAGUGCAGCCACCUGUUCCUUCAUCUGUUCCUGCAUUUUUUUUGCCAAUCCUUUGCCAUCCAUCAUGAUCGUUUCCAUUCAUCAAUCUCCUCUUCCUUGGUGUUACCGUCUAUUUUACCAUAUUAUCUUUGAUUACGGUUAGAAAAGCGGACUCGCCAGGUUCAAACCAGCCGACAAAAAAAGAAAACCCUUAUGCCGAAGCAUUAAGGAUUUUCCGAUUUAGGAAUGAGGUUGGACAAUACGCCAUUGAUGAAUUUGCUCGAUUGCUCAUCGCAAUAAAGCUUUGAGAUUUCGAUCGCUUCAUUCAGCGCCACCUUUUGCGGCACCUGUUCCGUAUCACCCAACAACAUUUCGUAGGCCGCGAUCUGCAUGAUCAAAGCAUCGGCUUUGGCCAAUCUGCCGACCGUCCAGUUCUUCAGGUAUGGUUGGAUUGCUUCAUCGAUAGCCGCUUGAUUAUCCAAAACGCCAUGCACUAGCGUGACCAAGUAUGGAUAAUCCUGGAGUUCGAUGUCGUCUUCGCUGUCCCAUUCCUCUGAAUCGCUCAAAAGAGCCUGCUUGAUGGCUUCUUCCGGGGUCAAUUCUUCGUUUGUUUUCAAUUGGAAAAGGGCUUGCAGCGCCUUUUCACGAAUUUCUCUUCUGGUUAAACGGGAAGCGCUCACGCAUUAUCCCCCAAUUCUGUAUCCAAAUCCAGAUAGGAAUUGUCUUCGGAUUUCGGUGCAACAAGCCCGACCACAUGAACGUUCACUUGAGACACUUCAAGGUUACUCAUGUACAGGACUUGUUCCUUUACUUUUUCUUGCAUAUCCAAAGCUACUUUGGGAACGGAAGCGCCGUACUUGAUGUAACAAUAAACGUCCACUCCCAAACCAUUUUCAUCGACCGUCAGAUGCACCCCUUUAUUGUGGGAAGUGCGUCCCAGCAAUUCGUUGACGCCGGUCUUGAAAGAGCCUUGCAUCGCAUAAACGCCCUCCACUUCGUUGGCGGCGAUGCCUGCGAUCACUUCAAUUACUUCGGGAGCAAUCUCAAUCUCCCCCAGAGGAGCCGGACCGUUUGCUAAAGGAAUGUUUGUUUCUUCCAUCAUCUGUCAUUCUCCUUUCUUGGGAAACAUUAUGCGCGGGAUACGUAUGAACCGUCCGUAGUAUUGACGAUCAGCAUGUCAUCCGCAUUUACGAAGAAUGGCACGUUGACCAUCAAUCCUGUUUCCAUUUUGGCAGGUUUUGAGCCGCCGGAAGCUGUAUCACCUUUGAUGCCGGGUUCAGUCUCUUCGACACGCAGGAUGACUGUGUUCGGCAGAUCGACGCCCAAAGUUUCUGAUUCAUACAUCAGGAUGUUGACUUCCAUGUUUUCUUUCAGAUAGUUCAAUUCAUACUCGAUUUGGCUUGCGCUCAAUUCGAUCUGUUCAUAGUUUUCCAUGUCCAUGAACACGUAGGCACCGGCACUCUCGUACAGAUAUUGCAUUUUGCGGUUCGCGAUAUGCGCUUUUCCGACUUUUUCGCCUGCACGGAAAGUUUUUUCCUGGACCGCGCCCGUGCGGAGAUUUUUCAGUUUGGAACGCACAAAAGCCGCGCCUUUACCCGGCUUUACGUGUUGGAAAUCGACAACUUUCCAUAACCCUCCAUCAAUCUCGAUCGUCAAACCUGUUUUAAAAUCAUUUACUGAAAUCAUCAAUAAUUCCUCCUGUGGCAGCUCAUUUGAACUAAGUUUACCAUUAUUUUAGUGCGGAUUCUAUUUUUUUAUAAAAUUAUCAGCUCUUUUGGCGAAUGUGUCAGAAUUUCAUUGCCGUUUUCCCUGAUCACAAGAUCGUCUUCGAUCCGUACGCCGCCCAGCCCCGCAAGAUAGAUGCCUGGUUCAUUCGUGAUGACAUUUCCCGGCACCAGCACUUUCCCGGCUUUCUGCGAUGUGUUCGGUCCCUCGUGUAUCUCCAAACCGAUUCCGUGGCCAUUGGAGUGGCCGAACGCUUCCCCAUAACCUUGUUCAGUAAUGUAAUCGCGGGCGACACUGUCGACUUCGAUGCCCGUCAUGCCGGCUUUUGCCGCCUCAUUCACGCGCAGCUGGGCAGCCAGCACAAUCCCGUGGAUUUUCUUCAAUUCCGGGUGGGGUUGCCCCACUGAAACUGUGCGGGUCAUAUCCGAAACAUAGCCGUUGUAAUAACAACCAAAAUCCAGCGUCACGAAGUCGCCUUUUUCGAUCAGCUUGGGACUCGCCACACCAUGCGGCAUGGCGGAACGCAGGCCGCUGGCGACUAUCGUUUCGAAAGAAACACCGCUCGCGCCCAAUUCGCGCAUGUGGAAAUCCAGGCGGUUGGCGAUUUCUAUUUCCGAAACCCCCGGACGGAUGUGCUCAAGAAUGAACAUGAAGCCGGCAUCCGCUAUCUCACAGGCCCGUCUGAUGGUCUUGAUUUCUUCAGCGUCUUUGACUUCACGCAAUUCCUCGAUGAUGCCCGAAGCCGGAAGCAGAUCGCACGUCACCAAGUCCUCCAAGUCCUCGACACUGCGGAAUGACAUGACGGCGUCUUCGAAGCCCAGCGAUGCCAGUCCCUUGCCCUCGACGAUUUUUUUGACUUCAUCAAAAAUCGGUCCUUUGUUCUGAAUGAUCUGAAAACUUUGCGCCUGUGCAGCAGCUUGCUGGGUAUAACGGAAGUCGGUCACAAAAAAAGCUUCCUCUUGAGUGAUGACCGCCAGACCGGUCGUACCCGUAAAAUUGGAAACAUAACGUAAGUUAUAUUGACUUGUCACCAGCAUUGCAUCCAUCUUCUUGGCUUUGAUGGCAGCCUGCAAUUUUGAGACUCUACUCAUUUCACAUACUUCCUUCCAAAAAAAUCCUGAUUGUUUGAAAACAUACUUAUCCAGUAUAUCAAAAAAAAGCCGGCAUAGAUAGGGGUGAAUUCGUGCCCGUCAAAGAUGCACGGCUCACAGCCGGCAUUCCCUCCGCUUGCAAUACGGGACGCAGCCGAAAAAAACGCACAAACCAAACCGGCAGAUUUCCGGCUUGUUUGCGCGUUUUGCUGUAUUUGCCACUUCCUGGCCCUUCAAUCCGGCCGUUCCUGCGUGAAGAUUUCCGUUACUUGCGUUUCGCUGUAGUUGUUUUGCAGCGUCACGGUUGCAGUGACUUUCCCGCCCGCGUCCACCGAGCACCGCACGGUUCCUUCUUCGAAAGACAGGACAGCCGGCACGAUUUGGUUUUCCGGAGUCGCGGCUUUGUUCCGGUCGCGAAGCCAGUAGUCGGUGUAGGCCAGCAGCGUUUGGGCUUUAUAAUGGUUUUCCGUCAAUCUGUACAGAUAGAGUUGGUUCUCGUACACCCGGAUGAUCCCGAAAAGCAUCAGCUGCGAAAGGAACAGGUAGAAUAUCGUGAUCGGCAAGAUGGAUCCGCCCUCCCCUAACGAAACAGGACGCCAACCCUUAAGCUGGCGCUUUGGAUAAAAGGAUAUGCGCUCUGCGGGUCCGGUUGUCCGAAAGUGUAGCCUGGAUAGUAACGCCUUCAUUGGUUACCUCAUAUUUCAGCACUUUGACAUGCAUCAGCAUCGGAUGAUAGCCGCUCCCAUUUUUGUACCGGAGGAGUUUGUUGGUCCGGAAUUCGUAAGUAUAGGCAGCCGUGUCGGCGGGAUUCUGCGACUUGGUGCGGAUGGCUGUGCUCGUCUUUUGGACGAGCAACUCAUCCUCCCAUUCAUGCUCAAGUUGGAUCAGGAAAAGAUGCCAUUCCGCAUCUUGGGUCCUCUCCAUUUGGGUUUGGGCGGUACGGAUCACUUCAAGUCCGCCCAUCACAAGCAAGAGCACAAAUGUAUUGACGGUCAGGGCUAAGACCGCUUCGAACAAGGUAAAACCUGCUUGUGACUUCCUAACGGUCUUCAGUCUGGUCUGCGUUCCCAUGGACAACCACCCUUUCUGCGCCGGCAUUUCCGCUGAUUUCCAACUGCGCUGUUUCCGCAUCCCAGCUUGUGGUGAAAGUAAUUCCUCCCGAAACGUGACUCCCGAAAGGGUUCCCGCCCUUGGCGACAGCCCGCAUUUGGUCUUGUGCGACUCGCCAAUAGGCUACUUCCGUUUCCGCCGCUUCUAAUACCGCAAAAAAUUGAACGGCAUGCGGCAGCAGCACGCAGAAGGAAAGACUGACCAAGGCCAAAGCAAUCAGGCUUUCGAAAAGCAUAUAACCGCUGCUAUCGUGCAGCUUUGUUGAUUUCAUAACGACCGCUCCCCAGUUGGAUUGUGAUGGUGUAGCGAGACCGGGCCGUUUCCAUGAUGAUAGUGUUUGGCUGAAGAUAGCCGCUGCCCCCUUUGAUGAAUCCGGUGUAGCCUUGGAUCACCCUGGCGCCUUCAGGCAACAGCAGUUUGCGGUUGGCGUACCGAUCCGAAACGCUUCCGUCUUUGAAAACAGCGUAAUGCGUCGCACCGAUCGGACGCGCGACAUCCAUGUUGACGCCGUUUCCGGUGAUGACCGCAUAGCUCUGCGCCGUGUGCAGCUCCGUCAGGAAAUCAUCCAAAAACAGAGUGAAGGCGAAUUCGUCCAUCGCGGUGUCCAGUCGUGGAGUCAACAGCAAAAUCAGGGAAGCGAUCGCCAGCACCAACAGGCUUUCGAACAAAGUGAAUCCGCUCUUUCGCAUCGGUCAGGCCGUCAUCACGGCGUGGUUGCAGGCGUGAUCGUUCCCACUUCACCGGCGCUGAUCGUCAGUUUGGCGUUCGCCUCAGCCAAUUGUUUAGCGCUGAUGUAUCCUUCGUCGCUCAGGACAGUGAAGCUCGCCGCCUCCGUCCCCGUGUCCAGUUCGUACAUAUCCGCUUGGGUCUGCACGACCACCGCCAAUGCAUCGGUCCCUUUCGCCUCCACGCUUUCCUUCGUGUUCGCCACAUUCGGGAUGAUCAUCAGCAUCAGCACCGAAAUGAUGAACAGGACGAGGACCAUUUCCAUCAGUGUGAAGGCUUCCUUAUUCUUCAGCGUUUUUUUUAUCGUUUCCAUUUAAUACAUUCCUCCUAAUGAACUAAGCAUCGGCAUCAACAAUAUCAGAUAGAUCGCCAUUACGAUGAUGGCGACCAUAAGGAACAAGACGGGCUGCAGCCAGCCGAUUUUCUGUUCAAUGUCAGCAAUCAGCAGCCGGAAACAUUCUUCACUGUACAUGCUCAAUUUGAUCGGCAGCUGGCUGGUGAGCUCGCCGUGGUAAAUGAUCCAACCCAUUUCCUCUUUGAAGAUUGGAUAACGUUUGAUGAUCGUCGUCAGGCUGUCGCCCUGCGUCAGCCCCUCCUCCACCAACCCGGAUAUUUCCUUCAUCCAGGCCGUCCCCUCGUCUCCACGCAUCAGCGAAACGAUUUGAUUCAACUGCAUCCCGUUGCGGAAAAAAUAGGCGUAUUCCCGGCAGAAGAAAAAGGAAUAAUAGAGUUGGACCCAUCUGCUCAAGAGCGGAAUCCUGCAGAACAACAAUGAUUGCCGGAAAGCGGAUUUCCGCUUCAGAUACAUUUUCGCCAGCAAAAACAAACUUGCCCCCAAAGCCGCAGUCCCCAGGAUAAUGAGCGGCAGGUUCUUCAAAUAAGCCAGGGUGAUGCUGGCCAUCCGGCCGGGCCCGUCUUCUGCAGGCUGCAGCAUCGUCUCCAGGCUCGGGAGCAGUACCUGCCUGAUCGCAAUCAGCAUGCCAUUCGCGAACACGAGCAAAAACAGCGGAUAGAUCAAAACUUUUCUGAGCUUUUGCAACUGUUUGUCCUUUUCGGCCAAAAAGUCGGAACAGAACAGCAACGUUUCCGUCAGUUUUCCGUGAAGGAACGAUAACCGCAACUGCGAAACCACCUGCUCCGAAAAACCGCACCCGGCCAAAGCCUCCGCCAAAUUGACGCCCGUUUCCAGUCUUGCAAGCAUGCGCUGGAUGUCGUCCGCACGUUUCGGCUGCAUCAUCUUCAGAAAAGACAGCCCUUCGGACAGAGAAAAGCCUUCCUGCAGCAAUUCACCCAAGCGCUUCAAAAAAUAAGCCUGCUCUUUAGCUUGCCAACGCUUUUCAGACAAGAUUCUCCAAGUAGUGCUUUUCCGUAAUAUAUCCACACGCAUAGGCUUUACGCAAUUUGUCGUUCAAAGAAACAAAUCGCUUUCCAUCCUCCUUAUUCUGCAGAUGGUUCUGCAGUUCCUUGCCCGCCAGUAUUUCGUAGAUGGCGGCUGACUUUUCGUUCACCUGAUAGUGGGAGCAGUGAAUCGUGCAUUUGCCGGCGCAAAGCGGACAAAAUUUUGCGACCAGCCGUUGCGAGACGACCGCAAGCAGCGUCUGCUUCAUUUGUUCGGAAGAAAUCGCCAAUUCCCGCAGCCUUUCCAAUACCCCGAACGACUCUUUGGCAUGGAUCGUUGCGAUCACCAGAUGCCCGGUCAAGGCGCUCCUCACAACCAUUUUGGCGGUUUCCUCAUCCCGGAUUUCGCCUAUCACAAGGAUGUCCGGAUGAUGGCGCAGGCAUUGGCGGAUCAGCAGGUCGUAAGUGAUGCCCGCAGCCUCAUUCACUUCGGCCUGCAGAAACAGCGGUUCUUCGAUUUCGACCGGAUCCUCCAUCGUAAUGAUCUGCAAAGGUUCAUCUGCGUAUUUUCUGCGCAGCAAAUGAUAGAUGGUGGUCGUUUUUCCGGAGCCGGUAGGUCCGGAAAAGAGCACCAAUCCACUUUUGUGGUCCAACAGGUCCAGCAAUGCCCUUUCCUGCUCCGGAAAGAAGGCAUGCAAUCCCGGAUCGGAAGCCGGGUUGGCGUAGAGCAUCCGGAUAACGAGCGACUCUUGAUAACGGAAAUUUGCGAUUGUCGACAGCCUCAAUUCUAUCUUUCUGCCAUCCAGGCGGUACCUGACAGCUCCGGAUUGGGGUUUCCGCCUUUCCCCUACGUUCAUGUUCGAAAGAAAUUUGAAGUAGGAAAUCAGCCGUUCCCCUUUCUCGAUGGAAUAAGCGGAUAUUUUCGACAAUCCGGUACUCACGCGAAAAAAGAGUUCAUAGUGGUCUUCGUAAGGGAGCAGAUGGAUAUCGGAUACACCUAACCGCAUCGCCUCCGCCAACAGGCUCUCAGCUUUUUCUUCCAUAUCAUCACCUCGUUUCUUUUUUGCCGUCACUUAUAGCUUCUGCAAAAUCCAUGCAUCUGCUCUUUCUCCGACGAGAAACUUAUUAUAAAAUAGGUGAUAUUGAUUCAACUUGCGGCCCCAUCCGCAAGCAUAAGACGAUUUCGGAAAGGAAGAGGUGAAUUUUUUGAAAAAGAACAUGGCUUCAUCCAUUCUUUUGAUCAUGAUCGGAACAUUUCUUUUCUCGAUAGGCAUCAAUAUGUUUUCUGUGGCAAACCACCUGGGUGAAGGAGGUGUCACUGGUAUAAGUUUGUUGGCCUUCUAUACAUUGGAUAUUCCCGUAGCUGUGACGAGUUUCCUGCUGAACGCCGUCAUCCUGAUCGUCGGAUUCCGCUUUUUGGAGAAGUCGACCAUGAGGCUGACGCUUCUCGCUACCUUAUUGAUGUCGGUGUUCCUGCACCUUACGGCUGCUUGGCGGUAUCCGAUGGAAACAAUCAUUCUAGCGCCGCUCUGCUCCGGAUUUUUGGUCGGCACCGGUUUGGGUCUCGUCAUGCAGGCUGGCGGCUCAACGGCCGGGACCGAUAUCAUCGCCCUGAUUUUCAAUAAAUACCUCGGUUGGAGCACAAGCGUUGCUCUUGUUGUGUUGGAUAUUUUCGUUGUCGGCCCCUCCAUCUUCGUCAUCGGGUUGGAGAAUGUCGUUUUGACUGCCGUGCAUCUUUAUGUGCAGACGAAGGUGCUGGACUUUAUCCUGGAGGGAUUCAAUCCGAGGAAACAGGUGCUGAUCAUCUCGGACCGACACCAGGAAAUCGCGGAGGCGAUCGAUAAAAAAAUCGGCCGCGGCAUGACUUUUUUGGAAGGGGAAGGCUACUAUUCCAAGCGCCAGAAAAAAGUGCUGUUGAUCGUCGUCAACAGGCAGCAACUGAUGCCGCUCAACCGGAUUGUCACGGCCAUCGACCCGAAAGCUUUCUUCACGAUCAGCGAAGCCCAAAGCGUCGUAGGCGAAGGUUUUUCCUAUCUUAUAACGGAUGAAUCAUACAAGCAGAAAAUCAAUGAUUUCCUCGACGAACAGUCGGAAUGACCGCAAACAAUCGCCAGGACGGCAAAGAACGGCAAGGCCAUUUUAUCUGCCCUUGCCGUUCUUUGUGUCUUCGAUUCACCGCAAUACCGCUUCAGGAAAGCAAAAGAACAACUCUCUCCAUGAUGUCCAUUUUCUCCACUGCAGCACUAUAGAUCAACUUGCCGAUCUUAAGGUUCCGUUCUUCCUCACGCAUAGAAACAAGCUUUUCCUCCGAAUUGUCUUUGAUCCAUUCGCCUUUCACGUCAGCAAGUGUGAUUUCCUGCAGAUCCACUGCUUUUUUUGCUUCCAGCAGUUCAAAUUUCAGCAUUCCGAACAUUCUUUCCAGUUCCUGCAUUCUGACGGGAUCCCGUUCCAUCAGUACAUCGAUUCUGGCUUUCAACUCUUUCAUCUUCCAUGCCGCCUCCAUUUCGCCCGCAACACUCCUGACGGUUUAUUUCGACAAAAAUCCACAAAUUUCCUGGCCGAAUUGUUUCGCUUGAUCCGGCCCGCUUGCGGUGAUGAGGUUCCCGUCGACGGUGACGCCCGACCCGGAAUAGACCGCCCCCUUGGCCUCGAUGGCCGCAAUUUCCGAAUUGAAAACCGUCGCAUUUUUUUUCUUCAGCAGACCGGCAUUGGCCAAAAUGACAGGAGCGAUGCAGAUGGCGGCAACCAUUUUGCCUUGGCCGUUCAUCGCUUGCGCCAACAUCCAGGCAUGCGGAUCGUCGAAGAAAACGCUGCUUCCCUUCCCACCGACGAACACCACACCAUCAAAACUGUUUGUAUCGACAUCUUCGACCAAAAGAUCGGACUGCGCGAUUCCGCCAUGGACGCCCAUGCAUGUCCCGGUUUUGUGGCUGGCGAUCCACAUCUCAUGCCCGCAUUUUGCCACUUCUUCCUGGGUCAUGAACAAUUCCUCGUCGCGGAAGUCUUCCGGUGCAAUCACAAAUAAUACCUUUGCCAUAUGCUGUUCCCCCAUUCAUUGUUUAGACCGAGCAGUUCUCGCUGGUGUGCAAUUGUACUUUUGAACGAACAACCCGGGCGAAUAUCGGCUCUGCCUAUCUGAUUUACAUUAUAAUUAUACUACAAGCCCGUCGAGAAAGCGAUUACACCGGAGCGACCCUUUCCAUCAAAAUAAAAAACGAUCGCUCUCCGCACCAAGGGCCUCGGAGGACAAUCGUUUUUUCAUUCUCUGUCGAAUUCUAUUCUUCGUCCAGAUCGGCGUUGUGGAACACUUCGGAGACAUCAUCGUCGUCUUCCAAUUUUUCCAGCAUCGUUCUGAAUUGCGUUUCUUUGUCAGCAGCGAUAGCCGACAAAGUUUGCGGUACCAUCGUGACUUCCGCUUCAGCCAGCACAUAGCCUUCAGCUUUCAACGCUUCGCAAACAGCAUCAAAAUCGGCUGGAUCUGUAUAAAUUUCGAACACUUCAUCGCUCGUCUGCAAUUCCUCACCGCCGGCUUCCAAUACGCUCAUCAGCAUCGUGUCUUCGUCCACUUCCAAAUCUUCACGUUCGAUCGCGAUGUAGCCUUUGCGGUCGAACAUAUAGCUAACGGAACCGGACUCGCCCAAUGAUCCGCCGUUUUUGUUGAAUGCGACUCUGAUGUUGGUCGCAGUACGGUUGCGGUUGUCGGUCAAGGCAUGUACAAGGACAGCCACACCAUUCGGGCCGUACCCUUCAUAGGUGAUUUCUUCGUAGUUUUCGCCUUCUCCAGCUGAAGUUGCUUUCUUGAUGGCGCGGGUGAUGUUGUCGUUCGGCAUGUUGGCCGCUUUGGCUUUUUCGAUGAUCAAGCGCAGGCUAGGGUUAGAUGAGGGAUCCGGACCGCUGUUCUUUGCAGCCAUAUAGAUUUCUUUCGAUAAUUUCUGGAAAAUUUUACCUCGUUUUUGAUCUGCAGCGCCUUUCGCGCCUCUGAUUUUACUCCAUUUUGAAUGUCCUGACAUUCAGAUCCCUCUUCUCAUCUAUUAAUUUACUCAAUCAUUUUAUCAAAAGUAGCCUCUCAUGGCAAUUCACUUUCUUCCUUUUCUGGCAGUCAGGAAGAACCAGCCGGCGAUCACCGCCAAAAUAGCGCCGCUGCCCGCCAAAAUGACAUCUUCCUUCAUCGCAAAUGCCGGAGACACGAGCGAUUGAUGGAAUUCGUCUGCCGCAGCAUAACUCACCGAUAGCAGUAAAGCCACCGUGCUGGGCGUAAAGGCAUCCCGCAGCUUCCCGGCAAGGCCGCCAUACCACAGAUAAGCCAGCAGGAAAUAGAUCAGGAAUGACCAGAUUUUGCUUCCGAAAAAUCCCAGAAAGCCGAAAUAGCCCAAAGCCCCGAUGCUGAUCGUCUGCUCGCCGUACUGGAAGGUGAACAUAGCGAACAGGCCGGACAACGGCUGCGACUGGAGCAGAUUUGCGAGGAUGUUCGGCAGCGCAUAGAAAUUUUGCUCGAAAGUGGCGCGGUAAUAAAGAUAGACCAUGAUCAAGACCGCUCCUAACAGGUAUGAAUUGCUUUUUUGUUCUCUUUGCAUAGGGCUUUUUCCUUUCAUGAGACGAAUUCUUUUUCAUAUUUUUGUCGGGGAUUGCUAUAAUGAAAAUAUCGCAUUUUACGAUAGACCACAGAUAUCGAGAGGAUGAGCAGUAUGAAAUAUAGCCUAACCUGGGAUUUGGACUCUUUUUUUGAGGGCGGCAGUUCUUCACCGGCCUUGCAUGAAAAAAUAAUAUCCAUCCAAACCGGAUUGAAUGACUUUGAAACCGCGGCGAAGGAUUGGGACCCCGAACACGAUAAGCCGGAAUAUCCAGCUUUCCUGGAAUUGCUGCAUAGCGAAGAGGUGUUCGCCAAAGCCUUGAUGCAAUGCAACAGCUUCAUAACCGGCGUCCAAUCAGCCGACGUCUCGGAUUUGGAUGCAAGCGCAAUCCAUGCGCGAAUAAUCCAAUUGUACAGCAAAUUAACGAUUAUUCAAACGACUCUGAAGAAAAAAAUAACCGCCAUCAAUGCCGGCGAUUGGGAUUUGCUGUUGCGAAAACCGGACUUUUCACCACUUGCAUUCGCCCUCACGGAAUGGCGCCAGCAAGGCGGCCGGCUCUUGUCCGACAAGGAGGAGGCGUUGUUGGCGAACCUGCGUGUCGAUGGCUUCAACGGUUGGAGCGCGCACUACGAUACGCUCGUAUCCUUCGUCAAGAUUCCUUUCGAAGAAACAGACGGCAGCCUGAGCCAACUGUCGGCAGGCCAGGCGAUGAACCGGAUGUAUGCCGAUCCCGAUCCGGAUGUCCGGAAAAGAUUGUUCGUUGAAUGGGAAAAAGCUUGGGGAUCGCUUGCGCCGGCAUUCGCCGAUACGCUGAAUCAUCUGCAGGGAUUCCGUCUGGCCGAUUUUGAGGCGCACCAGGAUGAGGAUUUCCUGGCGGAAUCGCUGCGCUACAACCGCAUCAAGCGCGAGACUUUGGACUCGAUGUGGCGGGCCAUCAGCGCCUACAAACAGCCGUUCCUCUCGUUUCUGGACCGUAAAGCCGCUCUCAUCGGCAAAGACAAGUUGGCUUGGUACGAUGUCGAUGCUCCCGUAUCGCUCGGUGAUUUCAAAUCAAAAACCUUCAGCUUCGACGAAGCCGUAGACUACAUCAUCGGACACUUUACAUCAUUCGGUCCGAAACUGGCCGCUUUUUCCUUGGAUGCAGUCAAGGACCGGUGGAUCGAAGCCGAGAAUCGUUCCGGAAAACGCCCCGGCGGAUAUUGCGAAGAUUAUCCCGAAUCAAAGGAAUCGCGUAUUUUCAUGACCUUUACAGGUUCAGCCAGCGACAUGAGCACACUGGCCCAUGAAUUGGGCCAUGCUUUCCAUUCCCAUGUGAUGCGCGACCUCCCUGAUCUGAAUACGCGCUACGCCAUGAACGUUGCCGAAACCGCAUCAACUUUUGCGGAGACCAUCAUCAGUGCGGCUACGGUCAAAGAAGCGAGCAGCGACGAAGAAAAAAUAGCGCUUUUGAACACAAAACUGGAAAAUGCGACCGCUAUGUUUUUGAAUAUUCAUGCCCGUUACAUUUUCGAAAAAUCCUUCUACACAGAAAGAAUGAAUGGUUUCGUCACGGCGGAUCGUCUGUCCGCACUGAUGGAGGCAGCCCAGAAAGAGGCUUACCAGGACAGUUUAAGUGAAUACCAUCCCCUGUUCUGGGCGAGCAAGCUGCACUUUUUCAUUGAUGAUGUGCCCUUCUACAACUUCCCUUACACGUUCGGUUUCCUUUUCAGUCUCGGCAUUUAUGCACAGUCGAUGCAGCAGAGCGGCAACUUCGAAGAAACCUACAUUUCCCUCCUGCGGGAUACCGGCUCGAUGACGACGGAAGACCUUGUGCUGAAGCAUCUUGGCGCCGACAUCACCCAGCUCGAAUUCUGGAACCAAGGAUUGGAGAUCAUGGCUGAAGACGUUGCAGAAUUUUUGCGUCUGACCGAAAAAUAUAUCUGAAGAGAGCGGGACAGAACGUGUUUAGCGCCGGACCACCGGAGCGGAUGAGACUGGGACAAAAGUCUUAAAAAAAGAAAAAAUCGCAUGAAAUCAAGCUUACAAACGUUGAUUUCAUGCGAUUUCUAUUUUUACUGUUCAGCUAUUUUCAACCAAAAUUUGAUUUAUCUCUCAGCCUCGUUGUUCGUGAAGUGGAGCCGGUGCAUAAACUUUGAGGAAGGAAGGCAGUAUCGCUAUUUCGAGCGGAAAUGCCGGCCCUUCGUCCCCGUCCACAUUGGUGAUCAGGCUAUCGCCAUCCUCCAAACCAAUGGUGGCCCGCUUGAACGAUCGAUAAAUGACGCUUUCGGAAGCUUUGAUUUCACCCCUGAGCACCUGCGCCAAAAGUGUGAGCGAAUCAAGCAGACUGGACUCUUUUAAGACGACCAGACGCAUCUUGCCGUCAUCAACCUGCGCCUCCGGCAUGAAGCUUUCGAAGCUGGCGAGCGAAUUCGUGAGCGCGAUCAAAAGGAGCGGCGAUUCCUGGGUAAAGGUCUCCCCGUCGACUGUGAUCCGGAAGCGAUGCACGGUCUGGUCAGCCAGCGCCUUUCCCCCUUCGAUGAAAUAGGCCAGAGGGCCAUACUUCGUUUUUUUCUCAAUGCUGACCGCUCCGACCGCUUCGGGUAUCGCGCCUGCAGCCACAUUCGACACAAAAUGGCGGUCGUUGACCUUGCCUAUGUCGAGAUCGACCAAGACAGCGGAGCCCAACAUGCGGAUAGCCUCCACGGGGUCCAAAGGGAUGCUGAUUGCUCUUGCAAGGUCAUUGACGGUGCCCAAAGGGAUGAACCCGAAAGCCGCUUUUCCCCCUGCAGCAGCCAAACCAUUGAUUGUUUCGUUAACAGUGCCAUCGCCGCCCAUGCAAAAGACCGCCUGAUGUCCUUGGUUUGCCGACUCGUAGGCGAAACGGAUGGCAUCUCCCUGUUUUUCGGUUUCCUUGACGUUGAUUUGACCAAACAGUUUGCGCAACUGUUCCGUCAUUUGCUCCAGAUACUCCGGUGCUUUUUCGCCGCCUGAAGACGGAUUCACGAUCAGUGUACAGUCUCCCAUCACAUUCCCUCGCUUUCGUUCUUUUUCCCCGAUAGUGUAGCACGGAUGGCCCUCCAGCACGAAGCAAGUUGCCCUAUUUCCUAUUUUGAGCAUAUCCUUGGCUUUCUGCUUACAAAAUGUGUAUAAUUCCAUAACGUUCGAAUCAAAACACAAUGACAUAGGGGGAGCAGUAUGACAAAAGAAUAUCGUGUCCUACUCUAUUAUAAAUACACACCAGUAGAGGACGCAGAAAUAUUUGCACAACAACACCUACAGUUCUGCAAAAAAAUCGGUUUAAAGGGAAGAAUUUUGGUUGCGGCAGAGGGAAUCAAUGGGACGGUUUCGGGAACGACGGAACAAACGCAAGCAUACAUCGAUCAUAUGAAUGCAGAUCCACGUUUCAACGACAUCACUUACAAAAUUGACGAAACGGAUGGCCAUGCCUUCAAAAAAAUGUUUGUCCGUUAUCGUCCGGAAAUCGUCUCCUUGCACUUGGGCGGCAAUGACCUCAACCCGAAUGAGGUCACGGGUGAAUACCUAUCUCCAGAAGCGUUCCGCGAAGCUAUCCUUGACGAAAAUACAGUCGUCAUCGAUGCGCGCAAUGAUUACGAAUUCGACCUCGGCCAUUUCCGCGGAGCUGUCCGUCCGGAUAUCCGGAACUUCAGGGAAUUACCGCAAUGGAUCCGCGACAAUAAGGAAAAAUUCAUGGAUAAGCGCGUUGUAACCUACUGCACAGGCGGAAUCCGCUGCGAGAAAUUCUCGGGUUGGCUGGUGAAAGAAGGCUUCAAAGAUGUCGGUCAACUGCACGGCGGCAUCGCAACCUACGGCAAGGACGAAACCGUCAAAGGCGAUUUGUGGGAUGGGAAAAUGUAUGUGUUUGAUGAGCGUAUCGGCGUCGACAUCAACCGCAUCGAACAUGUCGUUGUGGGAAAAGACUGGUUCGACGGCACGCCUUGCGAACGCUACGUGAACUGCGCGAACCCGAGCUGCAACCGCAGAAUGCUAUGUUCGGAAGAGAACGAGCACAAGUAUAUGCGCAGUUGCUCGCAUGGAUGCCGCAUCCAUGAACCCAAUUAUUACGUCCAACGCAAUAACCUGUCUCCUGCGGAUGUAGCCGCACGUUUAGCAGCCAUCGCAGAGCCGGUCGUAAAUUCCGCCGCAUCGCUUGCAUAACAAAAAAAUCAGCAAGGGAGGUAUCCUUGCUGAUUUUUUUGCCCUCUCCGACUUGGAGGGUGUUCGUUCUAUGGAAUAGUCAGCGGAAAGCUUUUUUGUUAUACUAGUAAGCGACCACCUGAAAAGGAAAGAGGGAAUAUAUGAAUAAUCCAGAUGGAAUUAAAGCGGGAAAAUGGCUGAAAAAGACCGGUGCAUUCUUCAGAGGUCUUGGGCAAUCGAUAUAUGGCAGCCUCCAGCGGAUUUUCACGAAAGAAAAUGCCAUGAACACGAAAGAAAAAGCCUUGCUUUGGGAACAAAGGACCCACAAACGGAUGGACCAAGGCAGGCUGUCCUGGCGAAAAAUGCGGGUUAGACUGGAAACCGAAACAAACUUGAAGCCGCUUCUGUCCAAAGGAGCUUUUGGUUUCAAUGUAUUUGUCGGGGUGAUCCGGAAUAUUUUGACCGGAAUUGUGCUUUUGGUUCUUUUGCUAGGGAUCUUUGGCGGUGGCGCGGGCUUGGGCUAUUUCGCCAACUUGAUUUCUAAAGAGUCUCCGCCUUCUUACGAAAGCAUGGCCGAAGACAUCGCGAACGUUGAGCUUGUUUCCACCAUGUACUACGCCAACAAUGAAGCCAUUUCGGAGAUCCGCACCGAUCUGGUCAGAACGACCGUGGGCUCGGAAAGCAUUUCGCCGCUCAUCAAAGAAGCCCUUAUCGCAACGGAAGAUGAAAAUUUCUACGAUCAUAACGGCAUCGUACCCAAGGCUAUACUGCGGGCAUUGGUGACCGAGCUGACCGGUUUCGGCAGCCAAUCCGGCGGUUCCACAUUGACGCAGCAACUCGUCAAACAGCAGAUAUUGACGAACGAAGUGACUUUUUCCCGCAAAGCCAAUGAAAUCUUAUUGGCACUGCGGCUUGAGAAUUUCUUUACGAAGGACGAAAUACUGACUGCUUACUUGAACGUCUCUCCUUUCGGGCGAAACAGCAGCGGUUCCAAUAUCGCCGGCAUAGAGGAAGCCGCGAACGGCAUUUUUGGCGUGCAUGCGGCUGACGUUUCGUUGACUCAGGCCGCUUUCUUGGUAGGGAUACCGCAGAAUCCCUAUACCUAUACCCCUUUCACCCAGUACGGUGAAAGAAAAGAAGAUUUGACCGCAGCGCUGAACCGAAAGAAUACCGUGCUCUUCCGGAUGCUCAGCGAAGGCUACAUAACCAAGGAUGAGUAUGAUGCCGCGGUCGCCUAUGACAUCACUCAGGAUUUCGUGCCUGCCCAUGUCACACAGGAGGAUCGGAACAGCUACCUAUACCAAGCAGUCGAACGCGAAGCAAUUCUGGUGCUGAUGGAACAGGCGGCAGCCGCAAACGACCUUUCGAUGGACGAUAUUGAAGCGGAUAUCGAAUUGUACAACGAAUACUAUGCGAAUGCGGACAACCAGUUGCGGCUUUCAGGCUAUAACAUAUACAGCACCAUCGACAAAGAUAUCUACAACGGCAUGCAGGAAGUCGCUGCCGAUUACGGUUACACUUUAGGGGACACCUAUGUGGAUACAUACGUUGAUGCGGAUGGCGUGACGCAGGAAGUCACCGAGCUCGCCCAAACCGGCAGUGUCCUGAUCGAAAACCAAACCGGAAAAAUCAUCGGGUUCAUCGGGGGCCGGGACUUCUCGGUCAAUCAAGUCGAUCACGUGUUCAGCACGAACCGCUCGCCCGGUUCAACAAUCAAGCCGCUGUUGGUCUACGCACCGGCAAUCGAGCAAGACUUCAUCUAUCCUGCAUCAAUGGUGCCGGAUACAAAAAUCAGCAUCAAACAGCCGGAUGGUUCGCUAUGGGAACCGACCAACUUCGGCGAUACAAUUUCGAAUUCAUACAUGACGGCUCGCCAGGCGCUCUAUCAAUCGAAAAACAACCCUACAAUCAAACUCUACGUCGCCAUGAACGACGAAGGUCUGGAUCCGGGGCAAUACCUCGAAAAGAUGGGCAUAACCUCCAUCGAUGAAUCGGAAUACGGUAAUCCAUCCUUGGCUAUCGGAGCAACGAACGACGGCCCGACCGUGCUGGAACAGACGAGUGCCUUCACGACUUUCGCGACCGGCGGCGAUCAUGUUUCUCCGUAUCUGAUCGAAACAAUCACGGACAAACAUGGAAAUGUAGUCUAUCAGCAUGAAUCCGAAACGGAAGAAGUAUUCUCGGAACAGACUGCCUAUCUGACUUUGGAUAUCCUCCGCGAUGUCAUCACGGACGGCACGGCACGAUCAAUCAACAAUUAUCUGAACUUCAAUGCCGAUUGGGCAGGAAAGACGGGCACAUCAGAGGCAAACCGUGACAUCUGGUUCAUCGCCAGCACCCCUACCGUCACCCUCAGCUCCUGGAUGGGAUAUGACAAUUACAAAGGCGAACACGUCUUCUAUGAUCCGAACAAUCAAGGACUUCCGACCGGCCGAAACUUGAAUUAUUGGUCGCAGAUCGCCAACAAGAUCUACAGCAUCAAUCCGGACAUCCUCGGCACCGAUCAAAAGCAUCAGCAGCCGGAAGGGAUAGUGGAAAAAUCGGUGUUGGCCGAAACCGGAACUUUGGCCGGAACCGUGUCCUUCGCGAACGGAUUGUCCGUCACGCUUAACGGCAGCACAAGGACCGAUCUGUUCAAAGCGGAUGCAUUGCCGAAAGAACUCUCCUAUUACUUCUCUCCAGGCGCUACCGACAAGGAUCUGGAAGACUUCUGGGAUAACUAUUUGGCUGAAGCCACAGCGAAACGCAACGCUUCAGCUGCCUCGGCAAACCGGAGCAACGCAACCGACGCUGAUGCAGAAACGGAAGCUGAAAACACCACGGCGGACGACGAAGAAACACCAGCUGAAGAAGAAACGGCAACAGAAGAGGAAUCUCCACCGGCUGAUGAAACACCAACCCCGGCCGAGUGACGCAAGAGAGAGCGGGACAGAACGCGUUUAGCCCCCGACCACUGGAACGGACAAACGCAGGCUGGCUGUAAGCCAUCCGAGCAUUAUUCGUGAAGUGGAGCCAGGGGCUGCGUUCUGUUCCGCGUUUACGCAAACUAUGCCCGGACUCUUUCCGUUUGCGGCUGACUUGCCCGCUCCUGUUCCAAAAAUCUUGCUCAGCGCAGAAAAAAGCCAUGCACCCGACGGGGAUGCAUGACUUUUUUUAGCUUGAUGGCUUUUUCACGGCCGUUUACUUUUGAGUUAAUGUCGUUCCUCUGUUGACGAUUUUGUAAGGAAGGAUGAUUGAUUUUUCGUCAAUCUCUUCCUUAUUCAUGAUUUUGGUCAGCAGACGCAUCGCAACCGCACCGAUAUCAUACAGCGGAAGCAUGAUGGACGUCAACUUCGGACGAGCCAUUUCGGUGAUGCGGGAAUUGUUGCUGGCAGUGACUUCGAACGCUUCGGGAACAUUGACAUCUGAAUUGAUGAUGCCGUUCAACAAUCCGAUUGCAAGUUCAUCCCCAGCCACAUAAGCAGCAUCCACACCUGCUUCAAGUAGUUGGCUGGCCAAUAACUCGCCAUUUUGAAGCGUCGGCUCGCAUUCGAAGACAAGCGACUCGUCAAAUGCGAUAUUGGCAUUGACCAAAGCAUUCUUGUAGCCCUUCAAGCGGUACUGGCCAUUGAUCGGGUUCGCGAGCGCUCCGGAAACAAAAGCAAUUUUUUGCUUUCCGUUCGCGAUCAUGUUGGCUACAACUUCUUCUGUCGCCGCGAUAUAGUCGAUAUUCACGCUCCCCACUUGUUGCUCAGGAUCGAUUGUGCCCGCCAACACAACCGGCGUUUUCGAGCGGGAAAAUUCCGCGCGCAAUUCGUCGGUGAUUUUGUUGCCCAUGUAGAUGAUGCCGUCAACUUGUUUGGCAAGCAAUGUGUUCAGAACUUGAAUUUCCUUUUGUUCGUUCUGAUCGGAAUUCGCCAAAAUGAUGUUGUAUUUGUACAUUGUUGCGAUAUCAUCGAUUCCGCGCGCUAAAGAUGCAAAGAACAAGUUCGUGACAUCGGGGACAAUGACCCCAACUGUCGUUGUUUUUUUGCUGGCCAGACCGCGGGCAACCGCAUUCGGCCUGUAAUCCAAACGUUCGAUGACUUCCAAAACCUUUUUCCUUGUGGAUGGCUUUACGUUGGGAUUACCGUUCACUACACGGGAAACAGUUGCCAUUGAGACGUUUGCUUCGCGAGCGACAUCAUAAAUUGUAAUCGUUUGUUUUUCCAUUUAUGUUGCUCCUAACUCUAAUUGUAUUUCAAUUUUUUAUUUACCAUCAUUCAACAUAAUGUUGUAAAUCUUGAUUGUUUUACAAGCUUAUAAAGAAUUUACCAUUGUUUCAUGAUAUAUGCAAGCGUUUUAUAAAAGUUUUCAUGAAAAUUUCACAUUGCAUUAUUCAAAAAUCGAACCCUAAUUAUAUGCUAUAAUACUAAAGAAAGGAAGGUGUGCUAUUAAAAAUGGCUCUUAAUAAAAUUAUCAAUUUGAUGAAAGAACAAGAUAUCGAUAUCGUUUUUCUCAACGAUCCCAAAAAUGUAUUUUAUGUUUCCUCAUACAUGAGCGACCCUCAUGAGAGAAUCUUGGCAGCUGUUCUGUUCCGGGACGAGAAGCCUUUACUGUUUGUCCCUGCACUGGAAGAAGGCGAUGCGCGGAAAACCGCCAAAGAAUUCGAUGUGUUCAGUUAUAUGGACACGCAAAAUCCUUGGGACGUGCUCGCAGCCAAAAUCAAGGAGCGCAAGACCGCGCUUUCGGAUUGGUCCAUCGAAAAAGAUUUUUUGACGGUUGAACGCAUGGAAGCUUUGCGUGUCCGUUUCCCUGCAGCAACUUUCCAACACAACAUCAGUGCUGCACUUCAGGAAAUGCGCCUGAUCAAAGACGAGCAGGAGCUGGCUUUCAUGAAGCAGGCGGGUUUCUGGGCGGAUGAGGCCAUCAAGAUAGGCGCCAAAACGCUCAAAGAGGGCAUCACCGAAAUGGAAGUCGUAGCCGAAAUCGAAUAUCAACUGAAAAAAAGAGGCGUAUCUGAAAUGAGUUUCGCGACGAUGGUAUUGUUUGGCGAAAAUGCAGCCAGCCCGCACGGUAUCCCUGGGGACACCAAACUCAAGAAGAACCAGUUUGUUCUGUUCGAUUUGGGGACCAUGCACGCAGGUUACGCCAGUGAUGUAACACGCACCCUCUUCUUUGGCGAUAAGCCUUCUGCGCAUCAAAAACAGAUUUAUGAUCUGGUGUUGGCGGCCCAUGAUCAGGCGAUGGCUGCGGUUCAGCCCGGCAUCAAAGCCAGCGAGCUGGAUGCCGUUGCGCGGACCAUCAUUGCGGAUGCCGGUUACGGAAGCUAUUUCAACCAUCGUUUGGGCCAUGGUUUGGGACAAGGUGUCCAUGAAUACCCGUCCAUCAUGGAAGGCAAUGAAAUGAACUUGAAUGUAGGCAUGUGCUUCUCCAUUGAGCCUGGCAUCUAUAUCGAAGGCGAUGUCGGGGUCAGGAUCGAAGAUUGCGGUUUUGUGAACGCCAACGGAUUCGAAUCGUUCACGCACACCCCCACUGAUAUCGGCGCUUAUUCGAAUCUGAUCGGGUAAAGCCGUGACGAGUGCGGUGGGUCACCCCGGCUGCAAACGCGUUCAGCCCGUUGCCACAUUUGCAUGUCAACGCAAAGAGAGCGGGACAGAACGCGUUUAGCUCCGGACCACUGGAGCGAAUAAGCGCAGAAUGGCUGCAGGCCAUUCGAGCAUUGUUCGUGAAGUGGAGCCAGGGGCUGCGUUCUGUCCCGCGUUUACGCACACUAUGUUCGGAUACAAAAAGAGACUGGGAGUUUAGUCCCAGCCUCUUUGCGUUCAGAGAUCUUCCACGCUGUCCUUGAGCUCUUCAAUCUUUUCUUCUACCGCGGAUUUCUUCUCUUCCGUUACGGCUGCGGCCUCUUCUUUGCCUUCCUCAGCAAUCACAGAGGCGAAUUCUUUUACGUCGGCAGCUUUCUCUUUGAUGUCGUCUUUUGCCUUCUUAAGGUCAUCUCCGACAUGUUUGGUUGUUUCGGAGAAUUGUGUUUUGAUGGAGGAUGUUGUAUCCUUCAGAUUGAUUUUGAUGUCUUCCGUCGUUUCUUUGGCAACGUCCAUGAACUCGUUGCCCUUUUCCACUGCGAUAUCAGCAUAAUCGCGCGCCGUAUCGAGAAGAUUGUUAACUUCCUCGGUUAUCUCAUCGCGCAACUCCUUGCCUGGUUUCGGCGCAAACAACAAAGCGGUAAUAGCCGCAGCCGCCCCACCGAUGAUCGCUCCCAAUACAAAUCCGCCUUUAUUUUUUGUCAUAAUCCUCAAGCUCCUUUUCUUUUAUGUAUCCUGUUCAGUAUGUUUUGAAUUUCGUGUCCUUCGAUUCUUUUUUGGAUUGACGCUGACGGGCCAUCGCCAUUGCCGUCCUUCCCAGCUUUCCGACAGUCGAGGAGCCUGCAACUCCCUUUGCGCCCUUCCCUCCGCCUUUAAGUGAUACAGCCAAAUUUCUGGUUGAUUGGUUCACAUCAGAGACCGUCACACCCAGAUCGCCGAUAGCGGUGAAUAAAGGAUCCGUCUUGCUGAUUUUGCCGUUCAGAUCAUCCACCAACGUAUUUGCCUUGUUCAGCAAGCCUUCCACUUCGAUCGAAAGAUGGUCGACGUCCUUCGUGAUGACUGCCAGGCUCUUGUUCGCUUCCUGGGUCACUUUUUCGACUUCGGCUAAGAUGUCCGUGACUUUCCUUAAUGCCAAGAUGAUGAAAACCACCAAUACCGCAAAAGCUAGCGCAGCAAUCAGAGCUGCAAUUUCACCAUAUCCCAUUAUUUGUACUCACUCCUUCUCGUUCAUACAGACAGCUGUCAAAGCAUUGUACGAAUUUUUAUAAGAUUUAUACUAUUUAUAAUAAAAUGAUACCAUAGUCAUUUCUGAUAUGCUAUUGAAACCCCUUUAAGUUCCACCUGAUUUACCCUUCGCGAAUCCCAAACCGGAAAGACAUGUUUUCUUCAACAAAAUGUAAACCUAUCUUCAUUUUCAUACCUUGGGUAAUUUGAUACAAUGGAAGCAGUUGUUCAGAAAUGAGGGAUUUUAAUGAUUGAUGCAAGCAUGCAAGACAGCGCUCUUGCGCAAGAUUUGAUAGAGGAGGUAGUGACGAAUCCGAACAUAUUCGUCAAAUGGUGGAACAGCAUCGCCUGGGAAGAAAUCGUGGGCCUAUUCAUUUCCAAAGGCAUCACCUUGCUUUUUUUGCUGCUCGUCUUUUUUGCCUUAAAGCGACUGUCCAGUUACGUGCUGCACCGCACCUUCGAAAAGCAAAUAUUGACGAAGCAUAUCACCCAAAACCGCGCCACAACCAUCCAUAAAAUAGCCGAAAACGGCUUGCGCUACAUUUUGUUUUUCUUUUUGAUCUACGGCAUCCUUUCCAUCAUGGGCGUGCCGAUCGCGACAUUGGUCGCCGGUGCUGGUCUUGCCGGUCUGGCCAUCGGACUUGGGGCUCAGCAAUUCAUCAAUGACAUCGUCAACGGAUUCUUCAUCAUCCUGGAAUCCCAAUUCGAUGUCGGGGAUCACGUCAUCAUCGGGGGCAUCGAUGGCACCGUCGUGAACGUAGGGUUGCGGACGACCCAGAUCAAGAGUUUCGACGGGACGCUGCAUUUUUUGCCGAACCAUACCAUCACGACAAUCAGCAAUAUGUCCCGGAAUGACAUGCGGGCGAUGAUCGAUAUCCUCAUUUUUCCGGAUACCGAUUUUGAUACAGUCGAUCAGGUCAUCCAUGCCGUGAAUAAACGGCUUGUGCCUGAACAUCCGGAGAUCGUCAAAGGGCCCAAUGUUGUGGGCAUUACCGACAAAGGCAACGGACAGCUUGCCUACCGGGUUGUGUUCUACACAUUGAACGGCCAGCAAUUCGCGAUCCAGAACUUGUUUCUGGGAAGCUACCGAUCCGCAUUGUUGGAAGCUGGCAUCCAGAUUCCGGCCAUGCCCUACACCGCACCGAAAGCCUAGGCAAAAAAGAGCUUCGCCGCCAAGAUACGAUUUGGCAGCGAAGCUCUUUUGUUAGUCUUUUUGAAAAGAACCGGAUACCGGAGGCUCGCCGGCUAUUUUUUGGCCGCCACUUCUUCCUUCUCGGCUAUCUUUUCCAGUUUAUAGAUGCGGUGGAUGCUGUGCGCCAAGUGAUUGACCCUCGUCAAAAUUUCUUUACGGGUGAUGAUGCCGAUGAAUGUGCCAUCGUCUUCCGUAACGCACAAAAAAUUGUGGUCGAUCAGAUCAUUCAAGAUAUCCUCAAGGUCCGUCCAAGGGCGGAUGGUUUGGACAGUUUUGUCCAUCACCUCUUCCACCGUGAUCGUUUCCAGACGAUCAUACCGGAUCGCAUCAAUCUCCGUGAUGGCCUUGAUGAUCAUCGGUAUCGAAAUCAACCCUUUGAUACGGGACUUCGAAUCCAAUACCGGGAUGACCGAAUACUUCACUUGCGACAACACAAGAAAUGCAUGGUUCAAGUUGUUCGAGCAGUGCACGUUGGCGACAUUUUCUGCAUGGAUCAUCAGUUCGCCGCACGCAUCAUUGUCGAGCAACAGCCCGGCUACUUCACUACUAAUCAUUAAUACGCCCUCCUAAAAGGUGUCUUCCAUCCCGCAAGCGUCCGAACAGCAAAAGCCUCGGGGUGUGAGCCGAUGCGGUCCGGUCAACCCCUUGCAUGUGAUCAAAAGAUUUGAAAUUGUUUUUCCAUUCCAGGCAUUUUCUGAUGCCGUUCAUUGUAGUAGGCCACUGUGAGGGUUUGCCCCUCAACAGUCGCCACACAAUAGGUCUUUUCCAUCAGCGUGCCCCGCGGCUGACUGAUGCUUCCGGGAUUGAUGAAGAUGAUGCCAUCCUCCUGUUCCGCUUUGACGAUAUGCGUAUGGCCGUAAAAAACCAGGACAGCACCUGCUUGCUCUGCCUCCCGUUUCAAACCGGCAACGGAACUCCUCACGGAAUGAUGGUGGCCGUGGACAACCAACACAUUCAGAUUUCCGGCCUGGAAGCGCAACGCUUCGGGAAACUGAUAAUCAUAAUCGCAAUUGCCCCUCACCGUGGACAUGACUCCCCAGAUCAGAUCGUCACUGCUCAAUUCCGAAUCGCCGCAGUGGACGAAGUGAUCAACCUUAUUCAGAUAGCGCGAAGCCAAUUCGUUCAGAAUCUCUUUGUUCCCGUGGCUAUCGCUGACAACCAGUAUCUUCAUCAUCUAGUCCGCAUCCUUUUCCAACCAAGCUGCCCAACUCUUUUCCAGAUUCUUAAGGGCAUUUGCACGGUGGCUGAUCUGAUUUUUCUCGAUGUCGCUCAAUUCCGCCAUCGUCUUGCCUAAUUGCGGCAAAUAGAAUAACGGGUCAUAACCGAAUCCAUUGUCUCCGCUCGGAAACUCCGCGAUUUCACCCGCGACAUCCCCUUCGACAACCAAACUUUCCCGAUCCGGAUGCGCCAACACUAAAGUACAGUGGAAGUGCGCCUUGCGGGAUGGAUUCUUCUGGGCACCAAGCAUGGCGAGAACCUUUGCGUUGUUGGCGGCAUCGCUUUUCGGCUCCCCGGCAAAGCGAGCAGAAAACACACCCGGCUGUCCAUCCAGGGCAUCGAUGCAAAUGCCCGAAUCGUCCGCCAAAACCGUCAUGCCCAAUAGAGCAGCGAUUGUUUCUGCCUUUUUGCGGGCAUUGGCUUCGAACGUAUAGCCAGUUUCCUCAACCUCUUCUAUUUCCGGAUAGUCCAGCAAGGUCACGACUUCGUAGCCUUUCGGUUCGAAAAGGACCGCAAAAUCUUUUGCUUUCCCUGGGUUUUUUGUCGCAAUGACAAUCUUCUUUUUUUUGUUUGUGUUCAUCGUAUCCCUCGUUUCUCGAUCUUACUCAGUUAUUUUCAAUCAAAUGGGCCAAUUCGACUUUUUCCACCGAAAAGCCGGCAUUGCCGAGCCAGCUUUCUGCGAUGUCCGAAAACAGUUUCGGCGAACCCGUUGUAUAGAAACGGUAAUCGGAGGCUGCUUUAUUGUGCGAACUUUCCGCCAAACGGAAGUAAUCCAGCAAGGUGCUCACUUCGGAGACCGUUUCGGCACCGGAGUCGAUCAGCGUCACCUCGGGGCCCAUCACAUUUUGGAUCAGCGGCGUCAGCAACGGGUAAUGCGUGCAGCCCAGAAUCAAGGUGUCGAUCGACUCCUUCAGCAAGGGUCGCAGCGUUUCCGCGACCACUUUUUUGGCGAUUGAUCCAUUGAAUUGGUUGCUUUCCACAAGCGGCACAAAUUUGGGACAGCUCAUGCUGAUGACCGAGAUGUUCUUGUCUUUGUCCUUGAUCGUUUUUUUGUAGACAUCGCUGUUGAUGGUUCCUUUUGUGCCGAUCACGGCAAUGCGCUCGUUUUUCGAAUGUUUGAUGGCUGCGCGGCUGCCGGGGUUGAUGACACCGAUGACCGGUAUGUCAACCCGCUCACGGAUGAUGUCAAGAGCGGCGGCAGUCGCUGUGUUGCAGGCGAUCACCAGCAUCUUGAUGUCUUUUUUCAGCAAAAACUGUGUCAUUUCCCAUGUGUAUUGAAUCACUUCUUCUUUGGGCCUAGGUCCAUAGGGGCAUCUGGCGGAAUCACCCAGGUAAUAAAUCGAUUCAUUGGGAAGUUGUUUCAUUGCCUGUUUCACGACUGUCAGCCCGCCGACACCCGAGUCAAUAAAACCGAUUGCUUUUUUACUCAUGCAGUUACUUCCUUUGUUUUGUUUUCAUACCUCUAUUUUACCUUAAGAUGCACCGAUUUGGUGAAAAUGAGGCAAAUUUCAUGCUGACAUGCUUCACUUUUGCGGAAGUUGCAACCAUUGGUUCUGUGCAGCGGCUUCGAAUAUUGGCCGUCCCCAUUUAUUUGUGCUACAAUGGUUUCAAUUUCAGGGCAGCAUUUUCUGUUCUGUUGCGGCUCCCUUCGCAUCACGGGAUGCCAAUCUGGUAAAGGAGUGGGAUCAUAGAUGAGUCAUCAGUCGAUCAUCACAGUCGUGGAUAAGGGCCUGAUCGACCGCGUGUCCGAAAGUGCGCGGGGCGGAGAAUCCUACUGCGGCACCGUGAUUGCCGGCCGCGGAUCCGGCUUGCACGAAAACAAGAAACUGUUCAACCUGGCAUUGGAACCGGAAAAGGAAAUUCUCCUGUUGUUGACCCAAGCGGAGCAGUCCGAAAAAAUCAUCAACCGGAUUGAAGAGGCGGUGAACAUCACCGCUCCCGGGAACGGUAUUCUUUUUGGCAUCAACCUCAAGAGAGUCCGUGGCCUUUCUGGUUAGGACAAAGGAAACUCGUUAUACCGCGACCGGCGGCAUAACGAGUUUUCUUUUUUCCCGGAUGGGGCAGACCGGUUCAACCGUUCAGUAAACGGCGCUGCUCCUCUUCUUUUUUCCAAUCCGAAAUGUAUUUAAAAACCGGAACCAACAGCAGGAUCAGUCCCAAAACUUUUUUGGCAGUCCACAUAAACAUCUUCCUUUCGCAAAAAAAUAUCAGGUUUCUUAUCCCUAUUAUGCCUGAUGUGGGAAAAAAACGCCAUUGAUAGGCUCCACCUGAAAAUAGUCUCUAUCCACCACUGAAAAUACGUGUAUAAUGAAGUGUAACUUUAAGGGGGGAAAUCCAAUUGAAUCCUGAAAAUGAAAAUGCCCGCAUCAUCGAUAACGAACAUUUUUCCUAUUUGUUGAUACGGGAUUACCUUCUGGGGAACAUACUGGGCGAACACACCGAUGAAAUAUUGUAUUGGGCCGGCAAGGAUUUGGCUCGGCAAUUCCCGCUGAAAAGCCAGGCAGAUCUGUAUGAAGCGAUGAUCUAUUGCGGAUUCGGACAGCUGGAACUGAUCAAAAAAGAAAAAAAUGCGCAACAAUACCGUCUGGAAAGCGAUCUGGUCACAGUCCGCACCCAAAACGAACAGGCCUCCUUCCAACUGGAAGCAGGAUUUUUAGCGCAGCAGAUCCAGAUGACGACCGGUCUCCCAUGUGAAGCAAAAGCAGAAAUCAUGAUCGGAAAAGACAAAAAGAAAGAAGUCAUCAUCACGUUGUUCAUCGAAUAAGCCUGAACGCACAAGCAUCACAGCGGCUAAUUGCCGAGAUGCUUGUGCGUUUUUUUGGAGAGCUGCUCGGCUUGCGUGUUCAUCGACGAAAGCCGUCUUGGCCGGAGGUGCAAACCCGCUGCGGUCGCUCUUCUCAGACCAGAUGCUUGUCGUUGACAACCUGCCCUUCACCAGGGCUCCCAACAAAAAAAGAGUUGCCGCCGCCUGGAAAUGCUGGGCAGCAGCAACUCGUUCUUCUUGUUUAGAUAUACUUUUCAAGCUUGUCCUCAAGCAUUUCUUUCGCAUGAUAGCCGACCAAUUUUUCCACGACUUCCCCGUCUUUUUUGAUCAAGAGCGUCGGGAUGCCCAUGAUGCCGAAUUGGCUUGGGGUUUGCGGGUUAGCAUCCACGUCCAUUUUCGCGAACGUCACUUUGUCGCCUAUUUCCUCAUCCAAUUCAUCGAUGAUCGGGGAUUGCAUCCGGCAUGGUCCGCACCACGUUGCCCAGAAAUCAACCAAGACGACCCCGUUCUUUGUUUCUGUUUCAAAGUUUGCAUCCGUUAAUAUUUUUACCAUUGUAUUUUCUCCCUUCCAGCUGUUUCAUCAUGUCUCAAUUAUAGCAGAGGUUGUGCUUCGCACCAAUCAAUCUGCUCAGCCGCGGAAGGUUACGAUUGUCGCGCCGUUUCCGCCUGCAUUCACCGGUGCAUACUCAUAGGACAGCACCUGCGGAUGGCGCUUCAGCAAAUCGCCCACCCCUUUGCGCAAGGCACCUGUUCCUUUCCCGUGAACGAUGGUGACUUGCGGAUAGCCUGCCAAUAAAGCGGCAUCCAAAUACUGAUCGACUUCAGCCAAGGCUUCUUCGUAGCGCUUGCCUCUGAGAUCAAGCUGCGUCGCCACAUGGCUGGAUGAAGCGGAUUUGACCGUGGCGAUCUGCCGUUGCCGCUUUUGCUGCUGCGGCUCUUCCUUGAUCAGCCUGAGGUCCGCUUCCGGCAGUUUCAUCUUCAUGAUUCCCAUCUGCACAACCCAUUCGCCAUUGCCUUUUUUCUCGAUAAGCGUACCGCGCUGGCCGUACGUCUCAGUGAUGACUUCAUCGCCCGGCUUCAGCAUCUUUUUCUCUUUUUCUUUGCGCAGCACUUUGUUUUUGGCCAAGGAUUCCUCCUGGCGCAGAUCGUUGAACUGCUUGCGCAGAUCGAUCAGCUCGUGCUCCUUGAUGCUGCCCGAUGUCCCCAUGUUCAGCUGCAUUUCGCGGAUUUCCUGCAACAGAAAUUCCGCUUCUUCUUUCGCCGUAUCGACCAAUUUGUUGACCUCUUUUUUGGCAUCCUCGAUUAUCUUUUCCUUGCUGGUUUCCAGUUUUUCGUUGGCGCGCUUGAGAUCAGCCAGCAGUUUAUCCGAUUCCUUUAAUUGCGCUUCUAGGCGAAGUGCUUCUUUUUCGGUGGCGCGUCUCUUCUGUUCCAGGUCUGCGAUCAUUUCGUUCAGAUUUUGGCUGUCCACAUCAAUGAAGCUGCGGGCUUGAUCGAUGAUGCCGGGCUUCAGUCCGAGCCGUUUCGAAAUAUCGAAGGCAUUGCUUCGGCCCGGAACGCCUAUCUGCAAGCGAUAAGUCGGCGCUAACGUUUCUCCGUUGAACUCCAUGCUGGCAUUGAUCGUUCCGGAGCGGUUAUAGCCGUAUGCCUUCAGUUCGGGAUAGUGCGUUGUGGCCAUCACAUAGCUGCCGAUACCGCCGAUGUAGUCCAGGAUCGAAAUGGCAAGCGAGGCCCCUUCCUGCGGAUCCGUACCGGAACCCAAUUCAUCCAAAAGCACCAGACUUUUGUCGUCGAUCUGGUUCAGGAUCGAAACGAUGUUGGUCAUGUGCGAAGAAAAAGUGCUCAGGCUCUGUUCGAUUGAUUGCUCAUCGCCGAUGUCGGCAAAAAUUUCCGUAAAAAUACCGAUUUGGCUAUCUUCAUCCGCCGGUAUCUGCAGCCCGGACUGACCCAUCAUUUGGAUGAUCCCGAGGGUUUUCAGCAUGAUCGUCUUCCCGCCCGUAUUCGGACCGGUAAUGACGAUGGCUUGAUAUUCUUCGCCAAGGAUCAGAUCAUUCGCGACGACGGCAUUCUGGUCGAUGAGCGGAUGUCUGGCUUUCCAGAUGGCGAUGUGAUUCUCCUUGCUGAUGAUCGGACGGGUCGCUUUCAGGGAAUCGGCAUAGCGCGCUUUGGCAUUGAUGAAAUCCAAAGUCGCCAGCACUUCGCUGUUAGCAUACAGUUCCUGCGUGAAGGGUUCGAUUUCCAUCGACAAUUCAUACAGGAUCCGUUCGAUUUCCGCUUUUUCUUGGGCAGCCAACUGGCGCAGAUGAUUAUUCAGGUCCAGGAUAGCUUGCGGCUCGAUAUAAAGCGUCUGACCGGUUGAACUUUGGUCAUGGACGAUGCCGCCGAAUUGAUUGCGGUAUUCGACUUUGACCGGAAUCACAAAACGGUCGUUGCGGAUCGUGAUGAUGGCGUCGCUCAAAUAAGCUGCUUUGCUUCUGAUGGUAUCAUCCAGUUUGGUCCGGAUAUUUUGCUCGCCUUGCUUGAUUCCGGUCCGGAUCCCUUUCAAUGCGGGAGAAGCAUCAUUCUGGAUCGAACCAUCCUCAUGGACCGUCGCUUGGAUCCGUCUUGUGAUUUCAGGCAAGACGACCAGCCUGUCCACCAAUUCAUCCAGGGCAAAGAAUGUGAUUUCGUUGUCUUCGAACCAUUGGAAGAAUUGGAUGAUUUCCCUCGUUGUCGAUAGUACCCGCCCGAUUUCGGCGAUUUCUUUGCCGUUCAAAGUGCCGCCUAUCUCAAGACGCUUCAGAUGGCUGCGGAUGGAUUUCAGUCUUGGCAUCGGUAUGCCGCCCUUCAGGCGCAGUACCUUCCUGCCAUCCUCCGUUUCAUUCUGCAAAGCAGUGACUUUUUCCGGAUCGGUUUCAGGCCGCAAUGCCUGAAUCUGAUCCUUCCCUUGGUCAGUUGCCGCAAAAUUUUGGAGUUGUUGUUUGAUUUUUUCGAACUCUAACGUUUUUCCUAUUUUAUUAUUCAUCGGAUUCUCCUAAAAAAUGCUUCUCCAAAAAAAGCGGGACGAUACAGCACAACACUGUACGCUCCCUCUUGUUUAACUGACGACCUUUACUGAAUGAUGCCGAUCCACCAGUCGUAGAUCAAAUGCGAAAAAUAAGGUGUCUCGGAUACCAUCCAAGCUGCAAGGUCGCUUUCGACAUAAAGUUGUUGGACGAAAUCCAGCGGAAUCAUGGAUGCAAGCGUCAACAGCAGGAAGAUCCCGAUAUAUUGCAUCAGGAAUCCGAGCACGCCCCCGCCCAGCUGAUUCAGCUGCUUGAUGAUCGGGAAAAAUGCCAACGAGUUCAGCAUACUCCCGAUAAAUCUCGUGACGAGCCAGCCCGCGAACAACAGCAGCACAAAUGCCAGUCCGUUGUAAAACGCCUGAUCCAGUACGAAGGACACCUGUUCAGAGUAAAACAGCAAUUCUUUGCCGAACUCGACCGAUGGAUACGGCACCAGCAGAUCGAUUUUUUCCGCAACGACGGCAUAGUAUUCUCUGGCGACCAAGAAAGAAAUGAAAUAUCCCACAGUGUAGACAACUUGCAGAAUAAGUCCCCUUCUGACGCCUGUAUAGAUGCCCCACAAUAAGGCGAGCACUAUGAGCAACGUAAGCAUUUUUUCACCCGAUUUCUACAGUCUUGUUGUUAUUUACUACUUUUAUCGUCCGCUUUGUUUUUCGCAAACGGCGGGAUGGUCGUUUCGGCAUUUCGGUUUACGCCCAGUGCAGAACGCACUUGGUUUCUGUGCUGUGCCCGCUUCAAUGCCGCCUCGGAGGCGGUUGUCGGCUUCGAUAAUUUUGAAUUGGAUUUUCUGGCCGGCAGUUCGUUUGCGGCACGGGCAGCCUGCUGCAGUUCGCUGAUUGUGGCAGGCAUUGAAGCGACGACCCGCUGAUCCUGUUUGCCUUCGCCGGACGAAUCGUUCCUGGAGGCUUGUUCUUCAGAUGGCGCUGCCUCAGGGGGAGUUUUCGCCGCUGACUCGCCUUCUUCCGCUUCGGCAGCAGAAUGAGUUGCGUCGCCGGAUUCUGCCGGCUUUUGCUCCGCUUCCGUUGUGCCUUCCGCAGUUUCCGGAACAGCAGUCGGUUCUGCCGAAGCUUCGCUUUCCUGCAACGCCUUCUCCAACAUCGCCACUUUUUGCAGCAGCUCCUCGAUUUCAAGCUGCUUCGUGAGCUGAUCGGAAAUGGCGUUCACAGCCACAAGAAUGCCGCGCUCUUCCCGACCCAAUGCCGGUGCGGCUUCUUUGAUCUGUUCCAAUUGCGCAUUGACCAAUUCCGAGACCGCAGUCAAAUGCUCGGGUGCUUUAUUUCCUACAAUCGUAUAGGUCUUUCCUGCUAUGAUUGUUUUGAAUCUUCUUUUGUUUUCUGUCAUAUUCAAAGACCUCCAUUUAAAAACUGUCUAGUAUAUUCUAACAUAAAUUCGCUGAAUUGCAGUAUAAACCUCCGCGUCUUCUCCAAUCCGAUCCCGUUGCCUAGCCCUGUCGGGACGACUCGAUGCACAUUUACUCGUGAACAAGGGAACUUGCUGUGAUAGAAUGAAGGUUCCCAACGCCGAUCAGGUGUAAAGAAAAAUCAAAUUGAGCAAGGAUGAGAAUAUGUCGAAUGUCGUAUUGAAAGUGACUACGGGUCAACUGAAAAAGAUGGCCGUCUUUUAUCAGGAUUACGUUGUGAAGCCCGUACCCUACAGCCUUUUCACAGCCAAAAAGAACUUGACCACAAUCACCGGAUACAAUUCCGGAAAGGUGCUGUUCCAGGGUCAAAACGCCGCCAGCGAAGCAGCGCAAUGGCAAUCGCCCAGCGCGCAGGCAGCGGAUCAAAAAGCUUCGGUCAAAAAAAGCAGCCUUAAAAAAGAGUCCCCAAGCAAAUCCGGCCUCCCGGCAGGCUUUUCCGGUUGGUCCGUCAUCGGCAGCGAUGAAGUCGGCAACGGUAGCUAUUUCGGUCCGUUGACGGUCUGUGCUGUUUACGCGUCCGCCGAGCAAUUGCCGUUGCUGCAAAAGUUGGGCGUUCAGGACUCAAAGGCGCUGACGGAUGCCCGCAUCAUCACCAUUGCGAAGCAAUUAUUGCGGCAAGUCCCGCACAGCGUCAUCAACUUGAUGCCCGAAAAGUACAAUGAGGUCCAGCCGACCAUGUCCCAAGGCAAAAUGAAAGCCUUGCUGCAUAACCAGGUCCUCGAUCAGCUUUUGAGGAAAAUAGCUCCGGAAAAGCCGAAAGCGAUUCUGGUCGAUCAGUUCGAGUUGCCUUCGACCUAUUUUAAGCAUAUUUCCGACCAAAAAGUGCAGGUGAAGGAGAAUCUGCAUUUCCAGACAAAAGGCGAAUCUCACCAUCUUGCGGUUGCGGCGGCUUCCAUCAUCGCCCGUUACUACUUUCUGAAGACUUUGGAUGAAAUGGCUGUUGUGUCAGGAUAUCCGAUCCCGUCCGGCGCCGGCGCCAAUGUCGAUCUGGUCGCCGCGGAGAUGUACCGUCAAGGUGGUUUGGAACUGUUGGGCAAAUACACGAAACUGCACUUCGCCAACACCCAAAAAGCCAUCCGGCUGGCAAAAAUAUAGCUUUUUGGCAUGUCGUACGGCGGAUCCGACUGUGAGCUCCGGUGAAUGGGGGCUUUGCCGGAACCGAGAGCUGUUUCCGCAUUUCACCUCCGGCUGCCAAGCCCAACCCCGGCGCUGAUUACGCUUAAACAAAGAGUGGACUGCCUCUUUACGAGACAGCCCACUCUUUGUUUGCAUAUUAUUCUUAACGGAUGGCGGCGCCGCAUUCCGUUUCGAGAGCCGAAACCAAUUUGGCGAAGGCUUUAUUGAUGUCCUCGUCGACAAGCGUCGCUUCAGGAUUAAGGAAUGACAUGGAGUAAGCGACCGACUUUUUGCCGUCCUCGAUGCCUUUGCCCUGAUAAAUGUCGAACAGGUGAACGGCCUUCAGGAACUUCCCGCCGUUCUCCUUGAUGGUUUUGACGAUCUGUUGGUGGGUGACCGUUUCAUCCACCAACAAAGCCACAUCACGGGUCACGCCAGGGAAUUUAGGGAUUGGCUGUUGCGUGAUCACUUCCUUCGGUGCGGCGAUGAUCGCUUCAAAAUCGAUUUCGAAGGCAUAGGUUUCCUUCAGGUCAUAUGCGUUCGCUGUUGCCGGAUGGAUCUGCCCGACAUACCCGAUAUAGGCAUCUCCCAAAUAAACAGCGGCCGUUCUGCCCGGAUGCAUCCAUUUCAGGUCUUUGGCAGCUUCGAAACGGAUCUGAUCGCUCAGGCCCAUCGUCUCGAAAUACCCGUCCAAUACCCCUUUGGCAUGGUAGAAAUUGACUGGUUCAGCAGCCAUCUGCCAAUCUUUUUGGCAGGCCAUCCCUGUCAUCACACCAGCCAGACGUUCUGCUUCAAUCGGCAAUACGCGAGCUGACGACGGGAAGAACACCCGACCGAUUUCGUAAAAUUGGAUAUCGGAGUUCUUGCGGGCAACGUUGUAAGCAGCAUUGUCCAACAAGGUGCUCAGCAAGUUCAUCCGCAAUGUGCUGCGGUCUUCGCUCAUUGGCCAAGCCAAGCGGAUGCCUUCCUUGUCUUCGACUGCAUAUUCUUUCGCUUUUUCGGCUGUGGUCAGAACGUAGCUGAUGUUUUGGGUCAGUCCCGCGCCUUCCAUGAAUCUUCUGGUGAUGCGCAUCGUGUGUUGCUUCGGCGUCAAUGCUGUCGGCACAGCCGGCGUGAUCGGCAAGGUUUCCGGAAGGUUAUCGUAUCCGUAGAUGCGUGCGACUUCCUCGAGGAUGUCCGCAUAGAUGGAAAUAUCCCAUCUUCUCGGCGGCACCGAGACAGUGAACGUUUUGCCGUCGAAGGACGAUGCAAAGCCCAACUGGUUGAAGAUGGCAGUCACUUCUUCGCUGGAAACGGCAGUGCCUAAUGAACGGUUGAUUUUUUCCAAAGUGAUGGCUACCUGCGUGUCCUUCACUUCCACCGUAUCGACGGAAGCCGUGCCCUCGACGAUCGUGCCUCCAGCCAACUCAUGGAUCAAUUCAGCGGCAUGUUGUCCGGCCGUGAUGAUCGUCGCGACGUUGAUGCCUUUUUCGAAACGGGAACUGGAUUCGCUGCGCAAGUUGAAUUUCCCUGCAGUCUUGCGGAUCGAAACCGGAUUGAACAAAGCAGCCUCCAGAGCAACCGUAACGGUCGCGUCCGUGAUUUCUGAAUCAAGUCCACCCAUGACGCCGGCUAGCGCAAUCGGGGCCGUGCCGUUCGUGAUGACGAUGUUUUCCGGAUCCAACGUCCGUUCGACUCCAUCGAGAGUCGUCAAUGUUUCAUUCGCUUUGGCGCGACGGACGAUGAUUUCCUUGGAACCGAUCUGAUCAUAGUCGAACGCAUGCAAAGGCUGCCCGUAUUCCAAAAGAAUGUAGUUUGUGAUAUCGACCACGUUGUUGAUCGGACGGAUGCCGCCAUUCAUCAGCUUAUUCUGAAGCCAAAGCGGGCUCUCAGCGAUUUUGACAUCUUUUAUCACUUGGAUAUGAUAAGCAGGCGCAUCGGCUGUGUCCUCAACGGCAACCUUGAUAUAAUCCGCAACAGAACCGGUCUUUUCGGAGACAGGUGCAGCCGGGAAUUGCAAAGGCUUGUUGUAGAUGGCUGCGACUUCAUGGGCGGAUCCGCGCAUGCUAAAUGCAUCAGCGCGGUUCGGUGUGAUGUCGAUGUCCAGGAUUGCAUCGUCCAGUCCCAACAAUUCAACAACUUCCGCCCCGGGAACUGCUUCAGCCGGCAGGACGAAAAUCCCGUCCGCAUACUUUUUCGGCACAACACUUUCCGGAUAGCCCAAUUCAGCCAAGGAACAGAUCAUCCCAUGCGAUUCCUGGCCGCGCAUCUUGCCUUUUUUGAUUUUCGCAUUGCCGGUGAUCCGUGCGCCGUGCAAAGCCACGAUGACUUUUUGGCCGGCAGCCACAUUCGGUGCACCACAGACGAUCUGGAUCGGUUCCUCAGCUCCGACAUUCACUUGGCAGACAUGCAGAUGAUCCGAAUCAGGAUGAUCGAUCACGGACAACGUUUCGCCGACAACGAUUUUGGACAAACCUUUGCCGGGAUAGAUAACGUCAUCGACCUCAAUCCCUGUGCGGGACAUUUUUUCAGCCAACUCAUCGGGUGUUACAUCGGAUAAAUCCAGAUACUCUUUUAACCAUUUAUAGGAAACUUUCAUCAUAUUACUCCUUUACAUCAAAUUGACUUAAGAAUCGGAUGUCGUUCUGAUAGAAAUGACGGAUAUCAUCGACUCCAUAUUUCAACAUCGCUACUCGCUCUUGCCCCAGUCCGAAAGCAAAACCGGAAUAUUUCGUGGAGUCGAUCCCGGACAUUUCCAGCACGUUCGGAUGCACGACGCCGGAUCCCAGAAUUUCGAUCCAACCGGUUUGUUUGCAGACGUUGCAGCCAGAGCCACCGCAUUUGAAGCAGCUGACAUCGACCUCGACGGAAGGUUCCGUGAACGGGAAAUAGCUCGGACGCAAACGGAUUUCACGUUCUUCACCGAACAGUUUCUUGGCAAAGACGGCCAGUGUGCCUUUCAGAUCGGCCAAAGUGAUGUUCUCGCCGAUGACCAAACCUUCGAUUUGGUGGAAUUGGUGCGAAUGGGUCGCGUCAUCGCUGUCGCGGCGAUAGACUUUUCCCGGGCUGAUCAUUUUCAACGGCCCUUUGGAAAAGUCGUGCUUUUCCAUCGUACGCGCUUGGACCGGCGAAGUGUGCGUGCGCAACAACAACUCAUCGGUGAUAUAGAAAGUGUCCUGCAUGUCGCGGGCAGGAUGGUCUUUAGGAAGAUUCAUCUUUUCGAAAUUGUAGCUGUCUUGCUCCACUUCCGGUCCGUCCACAAUCUUGUAGCCCAUCCCCAGGAACAGGUCUUCGAUUUCUUCAUUGAUCUGCGUCAGCACAUGCGUCGUGCCCUGGGCGAUCUUUUUGCCCGGCAAAGUGACAUCGAUCGUUUCGGCCGCAAUUUCGGCUUCCAUUUUCUUGAUUUCAAGAGCUUCCUUUUUGUCUUGGAUUGCGGCUUCGAUGUCAUCGCGCAAUUCAUUCGCCAAAGUUCCGAUGACCGGGCGUUCUUCCGGGCUCAGAUCCUUCAUCCCUCUCAAAGCCUCUGUGAUUGGCCCUUUUUUCCCCAAGUAGGAAAUGCGGACUUGGUUCAAUGCCUGCAGAUCCGCUGCAGAUUCGACUUGCUGUAUGGCAUCUAUUCGUAACGCUUGUAAUUUUGCUUUCAAUUCCAUGUUCAAUCCCCUUUUCAUUAAAAAUGCAAAAAAAUCCCGUCCCUGGUAAGGGACGAGAUUUUCGUGGUACCACCCUUGUUUCGUUGCAGGCAACGACACUUCAUUUGUUUAACGGUAAUAAACCGGAACUUUAUUCAUUGCGCGGGGCAAAUCCCAAAGUCAGCUCAGGGAGUGAAAAACACGAUCGGCUUCUAUAAAGGCUCGCAGUCAUUGGCCAAUAUUCCCUGAAAAAAGCUGCAGAUCGUGAAGGUUCCCUUCAACGCUUUUCGUAUUCAUUUAGCAUACUCCAUCAGUUUACCCAGAAAUGCCUUUCCCGUCAAGUUCGGAUUCAGACCCAAGCGUCAGACCAAUUUUGGAUUUCCACCAUCACAUUGUUCAACGCUUUCCCUUUUUCGGACAAUCCGUACAUCACUUUGAUUGCUGCCGCGGGGUUUUCGGUUCUCACCACAAUUUUUUCAUCUUCCAGCUCUUUUAAGCGUUCAACUAAUACUCGAUCACUGACAUUAGGUAUUUGCACGGCCAAUUCCUUGAAACGUUUAUCUCCGUCCAUCAAGACUUCGAUGAUUAAGCCGGUCCAUUUUUUCCCUAAAAUAGAGAAUGUUUUUUCAAACUUUGGACAAAUACAUUUUUUUACUUCCAGCAUUUCAUUCACAGCCUUCACCUCUUUGACCUAUUAUAAACACCCACAUUUCCCCUGUCAAAGGGAAUGUGCCUUUUGUCACAAAAAGUUUACAAAAAGUAAGCAUUUCGAUCCGUGGCCCGCAACAGCCGCAGCAUUCCCUCAAGGUAAUGCUUUAAGGCGCCAAUCCCUUCCGUCCGAUAAAGAUAAAGGCAUUGGUUAGGAAGGAAAGAACCCGACAGCCGGAUUGCAGGCAUACAAAAAGUUCAUGUCUGUUUCCUAUAAUAGGAUAGGAAUUUCACAAAGGCAAUACUUUUUCACAUCUUUUCAAGAAAAUCCUCCUGAAAAGACUGUUUCUUCAGCCAACGAAGUGAUAAAGCAAGAUGCCCGCCGCCACCGCGACAUUCAAGGACUCGGCUUCGCCGAAUAUCGGGAUAUACAGGUUCAGAUCCGUCAGAGCGAGUAUUUCUUUUGAGACGCCAUUCCCUUCGUUGCCAAGAACCACGGCAACAGCCUCCGUUGGGGAGACGGUCCGGUAAUCGACAGCCGCUUCAUUCAGUUCGGUCCCAUAGACCGGGAUACCAUUCCGCUUCAAUUCCGGAAUCAGCUGCUGCAGGUCGCCCCGGUGGACGGCCAGAUGAAAAUGGCUACCUUGCAUGGAGCGCAGCACUUUGUCGUUGUAAAAAUCCACUGAUCCUUCUCCCAGAAAGACUCCAGCAUAUCCAGCCGCAUCAGCAGUCCGGAUGAUCGUUCCGACAUUGCCCGGAUCCUGUACCUGAUCGAGCAGAAUAUACUUGCCUUUGUAGUCCAGAACCGGCGUCGUUCCGGGAAUCCGGACGACUGCAACGACUCCUUGCGGUGUUUCGGUCUGCGCCAGACUGGCAAGGAUUUCCGGAGAAACGAGAAUGAUCUGUUCGUCCGCAAGCUGAAGAUCCGACUGUUGAUAGAAAGUUUCUGUCAUGAUGACAUCCUGGAUCUGCGCUUCAGCUUUGAUGGCCUCUUUCAGAAGGUGUGUUCCUUCGAUCAGAUAAACUCCCGCUUCUUUUCGCCCUUUCGCGGUCUGCAGUUUUUUCCAUUGUUUGACUUUCUGGUUCUUCAUCGAUAGAAUUUUUUCCAUUUGGUACCCCCACAGUUCAACAUAUUUUCAUUAUACUCCAUAAAGUUUGACCUUUUCAUAAAAAGACAGAAAAAAAGAGAUUGGGGACUCCCAACCUCUUCGAAUAGUUAAAAAUACUAACCGCCUAUAUAAGUAAGUGGAUCAACUAAUCCGCCAUUUUCUUGAACUUCGAAAUGGAGAUGGACCCCGGUCGAAUCGCCGGUUGUUCCCAUUAUUCCUAUCUGUUGGCCUUGGCUGACGGUUUGCCCAGGCGCUACCAAUAACCCUGGUUGCAUGUGGGCAUAUAGAGUUUUGACGUUUACACCAUUGAUCGUACCGUGGUUGAUGACGACAUAAUAACCGUAACUUGCGUGAUAGGUAGCUGUCUCUACAGUACCGGAUUGAGCAGCCGAAAUGGCUCCACUACCCGCAAUGUCUUGCCCUCUAUGCAAUUCAUAGCCGCCGGUUAUUGGUGAUAGACGAUAUCCGAACGGAGAUGAAUAGUAUCCACUGGCUGGCUUAAUGAAACCACUUGAGUUUACCGUAUAACUGCUGGAUGCAGUCGUAGUCGGUGCUGCUGAUGCUGUCAGGUUAUUGGCGGCUGUUGCUGCAGCUGCUGCGAUGGCGGCUGCUUCAGCUUCUGCUGCCGCGGCGGCUUCGGCGGCGAUGCGUGCUUGUUCCGCUGCCAUGUCAUUGCUGAUGGAUUCUGUCUGGGCAGCCAAGUCAGCUUUGGUUGCUUCCAGGCCAUUUUUCUCAGUUUCAGUCAAUUCGUAGUUUUCGAUGACCUGUGCGAUCUGCACAUCGAUUUCGGCUUUCUGGGCGACAACGUUGUUUUUGGAAACCAAAAUGUCUUGUCUCAAUGCCUCAGCAGCGAGCUUUUCCUCUUCAACAGCCACUUUGCUGUCUUCAACUUGUUUUUGAUCUGCUUCCUGUUGUUCCACAAUAUCCUUGUUGGCAGUCACAAUCUUUGAAACGACCGUGAUUUUGCCGACCAAGUCGGAAAAAUUUUCGGAAGACAACAGUAUUGAAGCUAUAUUCGUAACGCCCGCAUCCGUCUGGAUAUAGCGAGCUUGCGUAUUCAAUUUUUCGGUCCUUUGGUCAAUGACCACUUGUAAGGCAUCGAUUUCCGCUUGCAGUUCCAAAAUUUUGGAUUCGAUGGCAGCUAGUUUUUGUUCUUGGUUCGCUAGUCGGGUCAUCAAUUCAUCCAAUUGCGAUUGCAGUUCGUUUACUUUCGUUUCCAGAUUUGUUUUUUCGGAUUCCAAAGUAUGCAAUGAAUUUGUUUUUUCGUCAAUCUGCGAUUGAAUCGUGUUUGAUUCUGAUUGCAGAGCAUCUUUUUGUUGUUGCAAUUCUUCCAAUGUAGCCGCUUGAGCAGUAAAUCCACCUGCGAUCGGACUAAGCAAUAAGAUUGAUGAGAACAACGCGAUAUGUUUUUUUCCCAAUGAUACUUCUCCUCCUGUUUCUUCUACGCAUUGAAGUAUAUCAAAGUUAAAAUACCAUUGCAUGAUAGAAAUAUGACAAUUGUAUUUCAAUUUGUUACGAAAAGGAAAAAAACGCGAAACUUUGUUCAAUCAUCCACAACGCCUUAGGAAGACAGCCCCCAUUUGAUUGCGCGCGCUUUCAGCGCUAUACUUAGACUGUGCCAAGCAACCAUCCGUCCGUCGCUCAGCAGGAAAGAAAGGGGCAAAUAAGCAUGAAAAUCGAUCAAAAAAAUCUGCAUAAACCGGGUACAGAUAACCUUCCUCCUGGUGUCUACAAAGAAGUCGGCCCUAGAGGAGGAAAAAUAACAGGAAGUAAGGAAGUCCACAUCGCAGAAGGACACAGGCUUCCGCCCACAAAUAAAGCCGGAAACAAAUGGAUCAAAAAAGACUGAUUAUUCGUUUGUAUCUGAUCACUUGAACGUUUCAGGGCGGAGGAAACUUGGAUUCACUUCAGAAAAGGACCGUGCAGCAUUACGAGCGGAACGGUCCUUUUGAUUAGUGAUGGUUUUAUUUUGCUAACAGCUCUUUGAUGAUUUUGGAGACAAGUGCUUUAUCGGCUUUUCCGUCCAACACUGGCAUCGAAAACUUCAUAGCGUCCUUCAACGGCAUAUCGGCUACCCCAUUUUCGGCCAAAAAGAAACGGACUUCCUUUUCGUCCAUCAUUUUGGGGACAUAACCCUCAAGGAUGGCCAAUUUUUUCUGGUUCUCUUCAAUCAGAUCCGUGCGGUCGACCUGUUUCGCAUAGGCGAUUGUUUCAUUCGUCUUCUUGAUGUCCUUCAGAAAAACAUGAAUUUCUUCUGCUUCAGUCAUUUCGCGUUUGUUGUCGAUCAGGAAAGAAUCGUACUCCGUUUUGAUGAGGCGCAGGACGUCCGCCUUCAGUGUAUCCUUGUCUUUCCUUGCCUGGAUGAAGUCCUUGUUUACUUUUUCUUUCAUUGUCAUGCUUACAGGCUCCUUUCGAUUCUCAGUAUGGCUGCCUCACGCUUGAUCCGAUUCAAACAGCAGCCCUUACCCUUUAUUCUAGGGAAAAGAAACAGAAUAGGCAAAUCUCUUCUCCUAAUUCCAGCUUUUGAUUGGGCAAAACUCUACCGCCAUGCUGUUUCUGGCGUUUUAAGGGUGUACGCAGUACAAUGAGGCAAAGAAAGUCGUUUUUGAGCAGAUGCCGUUUUCCCAUUCGCAGGAGAGGGUGAGCAUAUGGCUAAUUUUUGGACUUUUGAAUCAGACUUGCCAAGCGGGAUCGGCGUCGAAACCUUCAGUUCGGCUCAUCUUGCCUUGCUUGUCCUGUCUGCGAGCAUCCUCCUUUCCACCAUCUUGCUUUAUCGCAAGCAGCCCGAGCGGAAUCGGAGAAACAUGAAGAUCAUCAUCGCCGCCCUGUUGAUGUUGCUUUAUUUUUCGCGAUGGGUGUGGUGUGCCUUCUUCGGCGAUUUUUACUUCUUUAUCAGCAUGAUGCUUCCUCUGCACCUCUGCAGCGUAUCGGCGAUAGUUGGGACAGCCGCCGUUUUUUCAAAUAAUCGGCUUCUGAAGGAGUUUUCGUACGGCAUCGGUUUGCCGGGCGGAUUGGUCGCCCUGGCAAACCCCAAUCUGGGCCCUUAUCCCCUUUUCAGUUUCUUUUUUGUCGAAUUCUCCAUGACCCAUUUGUUGCUUAUUCUGCUUCCUUUGCUUUACAUAUUCGGAGACGGUUUUCGGCCGGACAUCCGAAGCUUGCCGCAUUCCAUCCUGUUGGCGGCACCUUUUGUGGUGUCAGCGUUUUGGGUCAAUCAAACAAUCGGCAGCAACUACAUGUUUCUGAACCAUAUCGAAAGGGGCACGGUCCUUGUGCUUUUCGAUCGUUGGCUGGGGACGCCCGGUUAUCUGAUCGCGGUCCUUGGGUCCAUUCUCCUCAGUUGGAGUAUCCUUUACACACCCUGGGAAAUUUUGAAAAGAAAGGCUCUCCAUUGAAGACGCAACUUGUCCUGUUACUUCGUCCAUGACCUAAAAAAACGAGAGCGGGACAGAACGCGUUUAGCUCCGGACCACUGGAGCGGACAAGCGCAGAAUGGCUGCAGGCCAUUCGAGCAUUGUUCGUGAAGUGGAGCCAGGGGCUGCGUUCUGUCCCGCGUUUACGCACACUAUGUUCGGAUACAAAACGAGACUGGGAGUUUAGUCCCAGCCUCGUUUUUUUAGAUAUGCGCCUGUAAGACUACUUGUUUAUUUCAGCAAUUCGUACAUGGCAUCCGCAUAGAUGGCGGCAGCGCGGAAAAGAUCAUCCAAAGCGAUGAACUCAUUCGCCUGAUGCAUCGUGUCAAUGCUGUCCGGGAACAUUGCCCCAUAGGCAACCCCACGCUCCAACAAGCGUCCGUAUGUUCCGCCGCCGAUGGAUUGUUCGUGGCCUUUCAAACCGGUAUGUUUUUCGUAUACAGCCAGCAACGUUUUGACCAAUGGAUCAUCAGCCGAAACAUAAUGCGGCAACUUGCCGUGGCCGCCUUUUGCGAUCGUCACGCCAUAGGAAGCCAAAGCCGCCUCAAGCUUGAUUUCGAUGCCUUCCUCGGAAACGCCUUGCGGGUAGCGGAAAUUCAAAGCCACUUCCCCACCGGUGGUCGGUGUGAACGUGAAGAUGCCCGCAUUCAUGGUCAGUUCGCCCAUAAUCGGAUCCGUAUAAGCCAAGUUCAGCUUUUUCGCAUCAUGCUGCAGAUGGAUGCGGUCCGCGAUCAAUUCCAGGAAAGUGGCUGCUUGUCCGCCGAAGAGGAAUUUAUUCAGGAAAGAAGCCAGAUAAGUGCCCGCGUUCACGCCGGCAGCCGGGUUCAUGCCGUGAGCCGCUUUUCCGAUCAAUUCGAUCGUGACUUGUUCUCCCUGAACCGAGAGCGUGCCCUUGACCGGAUUGUGCUCAAGGAAGUCAGCGAAAGCCUGCUCGAUUCUGUCUGGCUCCUGGCUGAUGAAAACAGCGGUCGCAUCCUGAGGGACCAUGUUUUCACGCAGUCCGGCAUCGAAGCUCAACAACUCAUUUUUGCCGCCUUUGUUGUCGCCUCUGAACUGUACCAUGAAUGUCUGCAUCCCUUUUUCACCGUUUAUGAUCGGAAACUCGGCAUCCGGAGAAAAACCGAAGUCGGGGAUCUGCUCAUUCUGGAGAUAGUGGUCCAUGCAUUUCCAACCGCUCUCUUCAUCCGUUCCGAUGAUGAUGCGGACCUUUUUGGUGAUCGGCAGUUUCAGAUCGCGGAUGAUUUUCAGCGCAUAAUAAGCAGCCAUUGUAGGCCCCUUGUCGUCGCUUGCUCCACGUGCAUAGAUGCGGUCAUCGAUGAUGACCGGCGCGAAAGGAUCCGUAUCCCAGCCGGUUCCGGUCGGCACAACAUCGACAUGGCCGAAUACGCCCAUCAAUUCUUCCCCUUCGCCGAAUUCGAUAUGUCCGGCCAGAUUGCCGACAUUCUUCGUGAUGAAGCCAUCCCGUUCGCCGAUCGCCAAGAAAGCUUCCAAAGCCUCUUUAGGGCCCGGUCCGACCGGGGCAUCAGGGGUUAUUUUCGAGUCAUCCCGGACACUGUCGAUACGCAAAAGCGUGAAUAAAUCCUCGAGCAGCUCUGUUUUUCUAGCUUCCACUUCUUUUUUCCAAUUGAUUUCCAUGGGCACACAUCCUAACUUAAAAUAUCAUGCUAUCAUCAUAUCACUUUUGGCAAAAUAACCAAAUAAAAGCUUGGCAUUUGGGGCCAACAACCCGCAAACUCUUAGCCUUUUUUAAUCGACUCCGGCAGGUGCGCCCGCAAGACCGCAAUUUCCUCUUCGCGCAGCGGACGAUACUCCCCUUUUUCCAGGUUUUCGUCAAGCCGCAAAGGGCCCAUCGUCAGCCUCUUCAGAAAGGUGACCUCUUUCCCGCAGGCCACGACCAUGCGCUUGACUUGAUGGAACUUCCCUUCUUUGAUCGUGAUUUCGACCUCCGACACAUCCUUUUUUUCAUCAUAGGAACGCAGCUCCAGUUUGGCCGGCAGGCAACGAUAGCCGUCCUCCAGGACAAUCCCGUCAGCAAAAGCGAUCCGGUCGUCUUCGGUCAUCCGGCCCGCUACUCUUGCGAAAUAAACCUUGUCCACAUGCCGCUUAGGCGACAGCAGGAAAUGGGCCAGCUGGCCGUCGUUCGUCAACAGCAGCAAGCCUUCUGUAUCCUUGUCCAGCCGCCCGACUGGGAAAAGUUCCUGUUGGUGCAGAUCGAAGGACAACAGGUCAAUGACCGUCUUUUGGUGAUUGUCCUCGGUCGCGCUGAGCACGCCUUGCGGCUUGUUCAUCAUCAGAUAGAGAUAUUCCUGAUAGCUGACGGGCUCAUCGCCGACAAGAAUAAUGUCCUUUUCGCUGUCCACCUUGGCUUCGGCUUUCGUUUCGACUUUUCCGUUCACCGUCACCCAUUUUUUCUUCAGCAACAAUUUGACUUCUUUUCUGGAGCCGAAGCCAGAAUUCGCCAACAGUUUAUCCAAACGCAUAUAAUUUUCUCCCUUUAUAAACCAAAAAGCACCCCCUGAGGCUGCUUUUUGGUUUCGUUUCUGUUAUUUGAUGCGCAUUUUCCUGCGCAGUCCUUCUGCUUUGGCGCCCAGAAUGUCAUCAGCGAUGCGCAAUUUCAGGGUCAGGAACAGGUAGACGAAUCCGCCGACUGCCGCCACGAUAGCGACAACGAUGAGUGCCGUCAGCUUGCGAUCGAUCGGAAUGAUCAGCAUGCUGGCCUUCAAAGCGACGAACGCACAUACCGUCAUCAACAAUGCGACGGCGAAAAUUUUCCCGGUUUUCCGCAAAGUAUCGGCUAAUCCGAAAUGGGUCAGCUGAUAAAUUUUUCGACCGCUCAAGAGCACCGUCGCGAUGAAUCCGAUUGUCGUUGCAACCAAUGCCCCUGGUGUAUCGAACAAUGCCAGCAUCGGAUACUGCAUGAUCGCUUUGACCGUCAGCCCGACCAACAAAUAAGCGAUCAUCGUCUUGUGCCGGCUCAAUGACUGCAGAAUCGAACCGAGCACGGUGAACAGGCCCAAAACGAUGCUCAUCAGAGCAGAUACUGCCAACAAGGUAGGCCCUUCCGGAUGCAGCGGAUAGAACACAUUGUAGAUCGGUUCGGAAACGAUCAUCAUACCCAGCGAAGCCGGAAGCAUGAUGAAGGCGAACAAUUGGAUGAUCUCCCGGACCUGACUCUGAAGAACACGGAAGUUUCCUUUCGUGAACUCGGCAGCAAUCAGCGGAACGGCUGCCGUUGCCAUCCCGACAGCCAAGGAGACAAUGAUCAUGAUCAAUUUGUCGGCAUUGAAACUGAACAGGCCGAAGAGGUCUUCGAUUUCUUUUCCCGAGUAGCUCGUGAGGUUCUCCAUCAUCGGUUUGAACGUCACCUGAUCGAUCAGCUUGGCGAAAGUGAUGCCUGAUCCGAUCAGGAUGAACGGGAUCGAUUCCUGCAACAUGCUUUUGAUGGCCGCAGUCGUCUGGAUAUUGCUUGAAGGUUCGCUAUUGGCGAUCAGAGGCUGGUACUCGGCCAUUUUCUGCUUGUAAUAAAAGAGAAGGAUCACAGCCGCUACAAUCGCGCCUACAAAUGCAGCAAAGGUGGAAUGCGCGACCGCGGUGGCGAUAUUGCCGUCCAAGAGCUGCAUCACGAUGUAAGUCGCGCCCAAAAGGUAUACGACCCUGCCGAUCUGUUCGAAUACUUGCGAAAUCGCAGAUGGCACCAUAUCCUGAUAGCCUUGAAAAAAGCCGCGCAUCAGACUCAUGCCCGGAACCAGCAAUAAAGCCGGCGCCAGAGCCCGUAUCACCAAAGCCCCGUCUUCAGGGGAAGCGGCCGGACUGUUCUCCGCAAUCAUCGGAGCCAACCCGUACAUCAAGGCGGCACUGACCCCACCCGUCAAAAACAUGAAAAACAUGCUCUUUUUGAAGAUGUCGAUGCCGGUCCGGUAUUGAUUUUUGGCAUUGUAUUGGGCAACCUGCUUGGACAUCGCCGCAGGGAAACCCGCUAUUCCGAUCGAAAGGAACAGCUGAUAUGGGGUGUAGCCUAUCGAAUAGAGGGCAUUGGCGGUAUUGGCCGCAUCCGUUGAACCCAUCAAGGCGUUCCAAGGAAUGAUGUAGAGCGCACCGAUCAAGCGGGAAAAAAUGCUCCCGAAAGUCAUCCAGAAUGUUCCCUGCACCAUCUUAUCGUUGGUUGUUUCUUUUACUUCAUUGACUUUUCUAUCUGUUGACAUUCACAACCUGCUUUCUCUCUGAUAAAUGAAAGAGAAGAAUAAUAAUACCAUCACUCAAGUAUUUUACCAAAGUUCCGUUUUUUUUCAAUCUAUAGCAGUCUUAUUUUGCAAAAUCCUAACAAUUACAGCAUAAUUCCUGACAUUUCCGUGCUGAACACCCCAUCUCUUUGUGCGCGUUUUCAUACCAUCACUUGAGCGUUUAUGGUAAAAUGUAAGUGUGAAGUGCAACUGAGUCAAUCGCUGUUUCCCUGGACCAUGCGCAUGUAUUUGGCUAUCGGAUAGAGCCAGUCAACCGUAUCGCAAAAACUGCACAAGAAAAGAGGACUUAAAAAUGGACACCUUAAGAAAGGCGUUCAGACAUUUAUUCGGAGUCAUCCUUUCGCUCCUGCUUUUCUUCACCCUUUCGGCAACACCUGCUUUGGCUGCUGCCUCGCAGAUCAUUUACCAAGGUUCUGCAUCCAAUAAGGUUGUUGCCUUAACGUUUGAUGAUGGAUCGGACGGAUAUUAUAUCCAAUCAAUUCUGAACACAUUAUCAGCCAAUAAUGUAAAAGCCACAUUCUUCCUCACCGGUCAAGGGGCCGAAAAUCACCCGCAGGCAAUCAAGAACAUUGUCGCAGCCGGACAUGAUAUCGGAAACCACUCCUACAAUCAUCCGGACUUUACGACCAUAUCGACAACCGAGAUGGCCAAUCAACUGAGCCGCACCGAAACGAUCAUCACAAACCUUACAGGCAAAAGCACAAAACCUUUUUUCCGCGCUCCUUUCGGAUCCUAUAACAGUACCGUCCUGCAAACUGUCGGAAACGCCGGUUACACCUACACGUUCCAGUGGACAAUCGAUUCGCUGGACUGGACAGGCAACUCAGCCACUGACAUCUAUAACCGCGUCGUCAAUAAUGUCGUACCAGGCGCCGUCGUACUGAUGCAUGCCGGUUACGGAGCAAACGGCACGACUACCGCGUUGCCGAACAUCAUCAGUCAGUUGCGGGCGAUGGGCUACUCAUUCGUGACCCUUUCUCAGCUAAUGAACACAACAAGCACUCCGGGAACAGGGACUGGAACCAAUUACACUGUCCAAGCGGGUGACACCCUUUAUGCGAUCGCUUUGCGUUACGGCGUGACGGUGCAAGCAAUCGUCAAUGCCAAUGGCUUGGCCAAUGCCAACCUGAUCCGCGUCGGUCAAGUGCUGACGAUUCCGGGAACAGGCACGCCGACAACGCCUACGACUCCUACCACUCCGACUACGGGAACCAGUUAUACCGUCAAAGCCGGGGAUACCCUUUAUGCCAUCGCCUUGCGUUAUGGUGUGACCGUCCAAGCGAUCGUUAAUGCUAAUGGCAUCGCCAACGCCAACCUGAUCCGCGUCGGUCAAGUGCUGACGAUUCCAGGGACAAGCACGCCGACAACACCUACGACUCCGACCACUCCGACCACUCCGACGACAGGCACGAGCUAUAUUGUCAAAGCCGGGGAUACCCUUUAUGCCAUCGCCUUGCGUUACGGCGUGACGAUCCAGCAGAUCGUCGCCGCCAAUAAUAUCGCCAACGCCAAUCUGAUAAGCGUCGGUCAAGUAUUGACGAUACCAGGAACCGGAACGCCGACUACUCCUACGGCACCGACAACCGGAACGUCCUAUACCGUAAAAGCCGGGGAUACUUUAUAUGCGAUCGCGCUUCGAUAUGGCGUAACCAUCACACAGCUUGUGAAUGCCAACGGCAUCUCCAAUCCGAACCUGAUCCGAGUCGGCCAAGUUUUGAUCAUCCCUUAAGGAUUUCCCCAUUUCCUGUCGAUACAAGCAGCACAAAAGAGAACGAGAACCCUACUGCUUGGGUUUUCGUUCUCUUUGUUGUUUCUUUUGAUUAAUUUGCUACGAUAUUGACCAGUUUGCCUGGGAUGGCGAUGGUUUUUCUGACGGUCUUGCCGGCAAUUCCUUCUUUGAUGAUGCUGUUUUCCAGAGCGAUGGCGAUCAUGUCCUCUUUGGAAAUAUCGGACGCCACCAUUUCCUUGGUUUUCACUUUUCCGUUGAUCUGGAAAACGACCUCGAUCUCGUCUUCGACAAGGAAUGCUUCAUCGUAAGUCGGCCAAGCAACGUAAGAAAUGCCUUCCGGUUUGCCCAAUUUGACCCAGAGUUCUUCGCUGAAGUGCGGCGCGAUCGGUGCCAACAGCUGAACAAAACCAGUGAUGUAUUCGAACGGCAAAGCAUCCACUUUGUAAGCUUCAUUGAUGAAGAUCAUCAUCUGCGAAAUCGCCGUAUUGAAGUGGAGAUUAUCAUAAUCCUCGGUAACCUUCUUGACUGUCUGAUGGUAAACCUUGUCCAAUUCAUGCGUGUUGACGGUUGUGAUGCGGUCGCGCAUCUUGUCAUUUUCAUCCAGCAGCAAGCGCCAAAUGCGGUCCAGGAACUUGCGGCUGCCUUCGAUGCCGCUUUCGCUCCAAGCGGAGGAAGCAUCCAACGGUCCCAUGAACAUUUCGUACAUGCGCAACGUGUCCGCGCCGUAGCGUUCGACAAUGUCAUCCGGAUUGACGACAUUGCCUUUUGAUUUGGACAUUUUCUCGUUGUUUUCGCCCAAGAUCAUGCCUUGGUUGUACAAUUUCUGGAACGGCUCUUUCGUUGGCACGAUGCCGAUAUCGUAAAGGAAUUUAUGCCAGAAACGCGCGUACAACAGAUGCAGGACAGCAUGUUCGGCGCCGCCGAUGUACAGAUCCACAUUCUGCCAGUAAGCCAGUCUGUCUUUUGAAGCCAAUUCGUUGCGGUUGUGCGGAUCCAUGAAGCGCAGGAAGUACCAUGAGCUGCCCGCCCACUGCGGCAUUGUGUUGGUUUCGCGUCUGCCUUUCAUGCCUGUCACCGGAUCGACCACAUUGACCCACUCAUCGAUGACCGCAAGCGGGGAUUCCCCUGUGCCGCUCGGCUUCACCUGAUCGGUCUUCGGAAGCAACAACGGCAAUUCGUUCUCGGGCACCGUUGUCGAAGUGCCAUCUUCCCAGUGGAUGACCGGAAUCGGUUCGCCCCAAUAGCGCUGUCUCGAGAACAACCAGUCGCGCAGGCGGUAGGAAACCACUUUUUCGCCCAGUCCUUUUUCCGACAACCACUCGUUCAUCUUCGCGAUCGCUGUCGCUUUAUCCAGUCCGUUCAGGAAACCAGAGUUGAUGUGCAAGCCGUCCUCGGUGUAGGCUGCUUCUUCGACAUUUCCGCCUUCAAGAACCGGCACGAUCUCCAAAUCGAAUGUUUUGGCAAAUUCAUAGUCGCGGGUGUCAUGGGCAGGAACAGCCAUGAUGGCGCCGGUCCCGUAUGUCGCCAACACAUAGUCAGCGAUCCAGAUCGGAAUUUCCUUUCCAUUGACCGGAUUGAUUGCAUAAGCACCCGUGAAUACACCGGUCUUUUCCUUUGCAAGUUCUGUCCGGUCCAGAUCGCUCUUCAAUGAAAUGGCAUCGAUGUAGGCCUCGACUGCUUCAGCCUGUUGGUCGGACAUGAUUUCCUUGACCAAAGGCAAUUCAGGCGCCAUGACCGCAUAAGUCGCACCGAACAAAGUAUCCGGUCUGGUCGUGAAGACGGUGAAUUCUUUAUCUGUAUCCUUGAUUUUGAAAGUAACGUUCGAUCCUUCCGAACGUCCGAUCCAGUUCCGUUGCAUCUCCUUGAUGCUCUCAGGCCAGUCCACCAAUUCCAGAUCGUCCAAAAGACGCUCAGCAUAGGCAGUGAUCUUCAGCAUCCACUGUCUCAUCGGUUUGCGGUAAACCGGAUGUCCGCCACGCUCGCUGACGCCAUCAACGACUUCCUCGUUGGCCAGCACAGUGCCCAAGGCCGGACACCAGUUGACGGAAACCUCCGCUUCAUAUGCCAAUCCUUGUUCAUACAAUUUUGUGAAGAUCCACUGCGUCCAUUUGUAGUAGCUAGGGUCGGUCGUAUUGAUUUCGCGGCUCCAGUCAUAACUGAAUCCCAACGAUUGGAUUUGGCGCUUGAAGGUUUUGAUGUUAUGCUCGGUAAAAUCUGCCGGAUCGUUACCGGUAUCCAGCGCAUAUUGCUCAGCCGGCAACCCGAAAGCAUCCCAUCCCAUCGGAUGCAGGACGUUGAAGCCUUGUGCACGUUUUGCCCGGGCAACGAUAUCAGUCGCCGUGUAGCCUUCCGGAUGGCCUACAUGCAAGCCUUGGCCGGAAGGGUAAGGGAACAUAUCCAAAACGUAAUAUUUCGGUUUCCCGCCUUCUUCGGUCGUUUUGAAGGUCCGGUUGUCUGCCCAAUAUUUUUGCCAUUUUUUCUCGAUCGUCUUAUGUGUGUAACCCAUUUCCAGCAACAUCCUUUUCUUUUCAUUCAUCCAAACAGGCGGUUGGCCAUAAAAAAAAUCCCAUAGGCAGCGCCCAUCACUGGUUCUGCCUAUAGGACGAAUUUUCCGCGGUACCACCUAUAUUGAAUGUCUUUGCAUUCCUUAUCAUGCCUGUAACGCAGCGAUGCGGUCCCGCUUACUGAUGCUUUCAGCGGAACAACUCAAAGGCGAGUUCGAGAGGCUCUUUGCGCAUUUUCACCACCCAUGCGCUCUCUUCAAAAAAAGCUGCUCCCUACUAUUCCUUCUCUAUGUCUGUUUCGGUUAUGAAUUGAUUCAUCUGCUAUUUUAACAAAUAAAAAUCAUUUCAUCAAGACUUGAUGCCUGUCGGGGCCAAUCUGUUUCGGCCUAAAGAUUGAUGACUUGGCCGACAUAAAUGAUAUUGGAAUUAAUAUCAUUCGCUUCGAUCAAUGCGGCUAAGCUGACACCCUUUUUCUUGGCGAUGCCGUAAAGCGUGUCGCCUUUUUCGACCGUAUAGGUAUCGCCUGUUGUUACAGGCACGGUUGUCGAUGGCGCCGUUGUCUGAGUUGUCGUUGAGGCCGCAGCCAACUUCAAUGCUUGGCCCACAAAAAUGAUAUCCGUGUUCAGUCCGUUCCACGUCUUCAGGUCGGCGACCGAGACGCCAUUUGCGGAUGCGAUUUUAUAAAGCGUAUCCCCUUUUUGGACGGUGUAGACUGUGCUCGUGACAGUCGGAACGGAAGGAGUUGUCACAGUCGGCGUCGUUACCGCAACAGAAGCAUUGUCGGUUGCUGCAGUAGCCUUCACCUGCAAUGAUUGACCCGGAUAAAUAUAAUCGGAAUCCAAAUUGUUCAGUGUCUUCAAUUCCGUUACCGUAAGGCCGUUUGCAUUUGCGAUUUUCCAGAGCGUAUCCCCGGAUGCCACUGUGAUGGUGCUCGUUGUGGUUGAGGUUCCCGGCGCAGUUGUCGUAGGCAAGGUAACGGUCGGCGCUGUGCUUGUUGUGCUCUUGAGCGUCAGCGUUUGUCCCGGAAUAAUGACAUCUGAAGUGAGGCUGUUCAGUGUUUUCAGUUCCGCUACGCUCACUCCGUUCGCAGUCGCCAAUUUCCAAAGGGUAUCGCCGGAUGCUACCGUGAUCGUGGCUGCAGUUGUCGGUGCAGCAGGCGUUGUCGGCUGAGUAACAACCGGUGUUGUCGGCGCCGCGGCCGUAGUUUGUUUAAGCAACAAUGUUUGGCCAGGAACGAUGACAUCACUACUCAGGUUGUUCAGAGUCUUCAGCUCGGCUACGCUCAAACCAUUCGCAGUCGCGAUUUUCCAGAGCGUGUCGCCCGAAGCUACUGUUACAUUGCUGGUUGUUGUUCCCGGAUUUACGGCAGGCGUUGUCGGGGUGGUUGGCGUCACCGUUGCGGUGCUCUUCAGCAACAGCACCUGACCGCUCAGAAUCGCAUCGCUUGUCAAGUUGUUCAACGCUUUUAAUUCCGCUACCGUCAAACCGUUCGCGGUAGCAAUCUUCCACAAAGUAUCUCCGGAAACGACGACAACGCUGCUGCCGUUGGAUGGUGUCGCCGGUGCGGUCGGUGUACUUGCUCCAGGUGCCACUGUGAUGGUGCCAUUGAGGUAGUUCACCGGAUUGACGACUGUCCCGUUUUCCUGCACUUCGAAAUGCAGAUGGACGCCUGUUGAACUGCCGGUUGUUCCCAUCACGCCGAUUUUUUGGCCUUGGCUGACUGUCUGCCCUACCGAUACCGAAAGUCCUGAUUGCAUGUGCGCAUACAACGUUUUGAUAGUCACGCCGUUUAUUUUGCCGUGAUUGAUGACGACGUAAUUGCCGUAGCUGUAAUGAUAUGCGGCGACCUCUACAACCCCUGCCUGUGCCGCAUUGAUAUUGCCGCUGCCGGCGAUAUCAAUGCCCCGAUGGAAAUCCAACGCGCCAUUGAUAGGCGAAGUACGGUAUCCGAAGGGAGAGGAAAUGUAUCCGCUGGCCGGUUUGAUGAAGGCUCCAGUGACCGUUGUUCCCGUUGUUCCCGUGUUCGUUCCGGUAGUCGGCGUUGUAGCGCCCGCCGAGGUGCCGGUAGUUUUCAAAAUCUGACCCGGAUAGAUCGCGUCGGAUGUCAGACUGUUUGCGUUCUUCAAUGUGGCAACCGUCAUGCUGUUCGCGGUCGCGAUUGACCACAGUGUGUCACCAGAUUUCACUGUGUAGGAUUGGGAAGGCGUUUGCCCCGUAUUACUGCUUGCGCCGGUUUCGGUCGUAUCGGGACUAGUGGUUGUCGGUUUGUUCAACAACAACUUUUGGCCUACAUAAAUGGUAUCGCCGGUCAGAGAAUUCAGGCUCUUCAAUCCACUGAGCGUCAAGCUGUUCGCCGCGGCGAUUUUGUAAAGGGUAUCGCCAGCUACGACCGUAUAGACUGAAGUUGCCGUAUUUGAAGGUGUCUCACCUGGUGCUGUCGGUGCAGAUGUCUCUUCCUUCGCAGGCGCCUCUUGCUCGACCACGACACUGUUCGGCAGCACCAGGCGAUCGCCUACAUAAAUCAUAUUGGAACUCAAUUUAUUCAAAGCAAUCAGAUCGACCACCGAAAUCGAAUAUUUUUUGGCGAUCGCGGAUAAUGUGUCGCCGGCUUGGACCUCAUGGACGGCAUCCCCCGCUUGAACCGGAGUCGCUGGUGUUUCAGCGUCUUCCGUAUCCUCAGCAGGUUCAGUUGGUGUUUCUUGUCCAGCAGUAUCUUCACCGGAAUUUUCAGGAAGCUCUACAGUCGGCAGCUCAGGUGUUUCUGUCGGCUUUUCGAAAUCGAUAUUGCCUGCAUCCGGUUCCUCAGUCUCGUCUUCGACGACAGGUAUAUAGUUGUCGUAUUGAUCCAAACCGUAUUGCGCAAUGAUCCGGUUCAGUUUGGUGCUGUAGGCUGUGUCCGUCGCAUAGCGGCCGGUCAGGUAUGCAGUGGCAUCCUGAUAGGUGGCUGCGUUGCUCUUCCAGGCACCCGCAUAAUAUGUCGGAUUCCAACUGGUUCCGUUCGCCAACAGAUCCGCGUAAUCCUGCAAGGACUCCGCAUAGGACGGAUAUUUCCGGAACUCUGCGUUGAUGGGAUAGUAAUUCUGCCCGCCGCUGUCCUCUAAGGUUCCCAUGUUGACGGACUCGCCUUCGUAGUUUCCCUUGAUUCCGAACAGGUUAUAGUUAGGCGCCGAUGCCAGAGCACUGGUUCCCCACCCGCUCUCCAGAAUCGCUUGAGCCAUCAUCACGGAGGCGUACAGGUCAUUCUGUGCGGCGAUCACAGUGGCAGACGGAAUGAUUUGAUUCAAAAAGGGAUUGGUGGAAUAUACUCGUGUAUCCGUUGUUCCAAGCGUAGUCGACUCUGCUGCCAAAACCAAUUGGGUCGGCUUGACGACAGUCGUCAUAAACAAUGAGGUACUCAGCACCGCUACGCUGCGUUUCAGUCUUUUAUUCGUGGUGAUAAAAGAAUUGAUCAAUUGUUCUUUUUUCUUUUGGUUGAUGCGUUCGUUUCUGGAUAACACCAAAAUAUACCACUCCCUGUAUCAAAAAUACUGCCGAAUCGGCAGUGAAAAACAUCUGGAUAUAUAAAAAGAUGGAUUUUAAUUUAAAUUUCUUUUAAGAAAAUGAUCCAACAUGUCUAUUAUAUGUUUGUUUCCCAAAUUUUUGAAUGGCUUUCAUAACCAUAUUUAAUAUUUAACAAUUGAAAUGAAUCUGUAACAAUCCUACCACUACAUAAAAGUAAGCCUUUCUCGGCAUGCUUUCUUACAAAAUGUAGUCCGGAUCGUCAAAUGGGCUAUUGACUUAACAAAAAUCAUGAUAAAAUACCCUUUGAGGUGAAAGUAUUGACAAAUCAAUUUUUAUACAGCGACACAAACAAGCGUUACCAUACAUGGAAUUACCAUCUGCAGCAGCAUUUCGGCGAAAAGAUUUUCAAGGUUGCCAUCGACGGCGGUUUCGAUUGCCCUAACCGCGACGGCACCGUCGCUCGCGGCGGUUGUACAUUCUGCACCGUGUCCGGAUCCGGCGAUUUCGCCCAGAAUCGGAUCGAUCCGCUGCCUGUCCAAUUGCGCAAAGGCAUCGACAUGAUGCACAAAAAAUGGCCGAACGUAAAGAGCUACAUCGCCUAUUUCCAAAAUUUCACUAAUACGCAUGCCCCGGUGGACAUCCUUCGCCACCGCUAUGAGCAAGUGGUCAAUGAGGAAGGCGUUGUCGGCAUCAUGAUCGCAACAAGACCGGAUUGCCUGCCGCCGGAAACGAUCGAAUAUUUGGCCGAACUGAACAAGCGUUACUACAUCUGGGUGGAACUGGGACUGCAGACCAUUCAUGAAGAAACAAGCAAAGUCAUCAACCGCGCGCAUUCCUAUGAGACAUAUCUGAGAGCGGUGGAACAACUGCGUACGCAUAAUAUCCCGGUUUGUACGCAUCUCAUCAAUGGACUUCCCGGGGAAAACCAUGACAUGAUGAUGGAGAGCGUCCACCGGGUGAUCCUGGAUUCGGAUAUUCAAGGCAUCAAAAUCCAUUUGCUGCACUUGAUGAAAAACACAAAAAUGGUCCGUGACUAUUACCAAGGCAGAUUAAGAUUGCUCGAAAAAGACGAAUAUGUCGAACUUGUCUGCGAUCAGCUCGAAGUCAUUCCGCCAGAAAUCGUCAUCCACCGCAUCACCGGCGAUGCACCUCGCGACACAUUGAUCGGUCCGAUGUGGAGUCUCAAAAAGUGGGAAGUGCUGAACGCAAUCGACCAAGAGUUGGAACGUCGCAAUACAUAUCAAGGCAUUCAUAAUAUCAGGAAUAAGGGUGAGGAACAUGUUGUUGUCCGCAGUGGAUUUCAGCCAUAAACUGCUGAAGGAAACAGUAUCCGAAGGGGAUACCGUUAUUGAUGCAACGGUCGGAAACGGAAGCGAUACAGUGCUGCUGGCGACUUUGGUGGGGUCAAAAGGCCAUGUCAUCGGGUUCGAUAUCCAGAAACAGGCUAUCGAAAACACAAAGCAAAAGCUUUUGUUGAGCGGGUUGACGAAGCAGGUCACCCUUCUUCAUCAAGGGCAUGAAACAGUUGCGGAAGUACUGGAGGAAGAUGCCCGAAUCGGUGGCGCCAUCUUUAACUUGGGUUACCUUCCGGGGGCCGACAAAUCGGUCAUCACCCAAAAGGAGACGACCAUUUCGGCGGUGGCUGCCUUGUUGCCCAAAUUAAGGAUCGGCAGCUAUAUCAUUCUGGUCGUGUACAGCGGCCAUUCCGGUGGCAUGGAGGAGAAAAAUGCCCUGCUUGAAUAUGUCAGCGAGCUGAAUCAAGCGACCUACAAGGUGUUGCAAUAUGGUUUCAUCAACCAAAUCAAUCAUCCGCCGUUCCUGAUCGCCAUCGAAAAGAAAAAAACACCUUAUAUGAAAUAAAAAAAGCAAAGCAGAUUGGUUGAUCCUGAUCUUGUUAAAAAAACAGAAAUAAGCACAAAAAAACUGCAAGCGCGCUUGCAGUUUUUUUUGUGCUUCCUAUUAUUUGCCAGCUUUGACGUACGCAAGCAAAGCUUCCGUUUUGUCCGUUUUUUCCCAAGUGAAGUCGGCGUCAGAACGGCCGAAAUGACCAUAGGCCGCUGUCUUCUUGAAGAUUGGGCGACGCAGGUCCAACAUUUGGAUGAUGCCUGCCGGCGUCAAGUUGAAGUUUUUGCGGACUGCUUCAAUCAGCAACGCUUCAGGAUAUUCGCUCGUUCCGAACGUGUCGAUGGAAAUCGAUACCGGUUCAGCAACACCGAUUGCGUACGCCAAUUGGAUUUCGCAUUUUGUGGCAAGUCCAGCGGCAACAAUGUUCUUCGCGAUAUAGCGGGCCGCAUAACUAGCGGAGCGGUCAACUUUUGUAGCAUCCUUACCAGAGAAUGCACCGCCACCAUGACGCGCAUACCCACCGUAAGUGUCAACGAUAAUUUUUCUUCCCGUCAGACCGGAAUCACCUUUAGGCCCGCCGAUAACGAAGCGUCCAGUAGGGUUGAUGAAAUAUUUAGUAUCUGCAUCCAGCAAGGAAUCAUCGAUGACAGGAUGGAUGACAUGCUCCAAAAUAUCCUUUUUCAAUUGUUCCAAGGUGACGUUCUCAUCAUGCUGUGUGCUCAAAACAAUCGUGUCCACACGUUUCGGUUUGCCGUUCUCGUCGUAUUCUACGGUAACUUGCGUUUUUCCGUCCGGUCUCAGGUAUUCCAAUGUGCCGUCUUUGCGAACCUCAGAUAAACGUUUCGCUAACUUGUGACUGAGCGAAAUCGGCAAAGGCAUCAGCUCUUCCGUUUCGUUGAUCGCAAAUCCGAACAUCAACCCUUGGUCUCCUGCUCCGAUUUCAUUGUAGUCCGUAGUCACCAAUUCUCUGCGUUCCAGUGAUUCAUUAACGCCGAUUGCGAUAUCGUCAGAUUGUUCGUCCAAUGAUACCAUCACAGCCAAGUUAUCAGCAUCAAAGCCAAAUUUACCACGCGUAUAACCAAUCUCGGUCACGGUAUCGCGGACAAUCUGUUGGAUGUUUACGUAGGCGCUUGUCGUGAUUUCACCAAAGACAACCACCAGUCCUGUCGUAACAAUCGUUUCGCAAGCAACACGCGCGUUUGGAUCAGCAGCCAACAGUGUAUCCAAAAUAGCAUCGCUGAUCUGAUCAGCGAUUUUAUCCGGAUGACCUUCCGUUACUGACUCUGAAGUAAAUAAUCUUUUUUCUACCAUUUUUCAUUCCCCCAUUUUUUGGUUACAAGGCGUCUUCACAUAUUGUGAAUCCUAUCGGGAUAUUGCAAUUAGCCUCUGAAAUGCAACAUACCUAAUAUACGCUAUCAUGGCUGAAAAUGCAACAAAAAAUAAGUGUAUCUGAACAGAAUCCGCAGAAUUCCUUCUCAGAACAAAGCUGCUUCAGUAUCAGGAUUCUGAUCGGCUUGACAUCACAAAGACGUUACCCUAUGAUGAAUCUGCGCAAUUAUAUAUGAGAUGAUAGACUCAUUCACCAAAAAAAUGAAGAAAGAAGAGAUUAUGCUGAAAUUCAAAAAUAAAUUCAUGUCCCUGAUGAACCAUAUUUUGUUGGCGAUGCUGACAGCUCCCCUCAGCCUGUUGCUUUUCGGAGCUUGGAGAGGAAUUACUUUCAACGGACCUAACUAUGAACUGCUUUUGUGGCUCUACUUGUUUCUGCUGUUUACCCUUGCAUUGGAACGCUUGCUUUCAAAGAGCGACCAGGCAGGCACGAAAUUGCCCUAUAAACCGGUUUUAUUGUUCGGAAUCUUUUCGAUCGCUCUGUUGGGCAUCCUUUUCUUUGCAUCGAAUCCGAUUCUUUUCGCCAUCCUACUGUUGUAUUUCAUCUAUACGAUUUUGCAAUACCGUCCGUACAGCAUGGCAAACACCUUUUACGAAAUCCUCCUCAGGCCUUUCUUUAAGAUAUUCAUCUUGUCUGCGCUGUCAUUCUUCUCGCAAGCGAACUUUAUUCCCUUGCAACUGCAAUAUGAAGUGGUUCCGCUCAUUCUGUUCCACAUUUUUGGCAUCAUUCUAAUCCAGAUCCGUAACACAAAAAAGAACAGUCAAUCAUUAACUUCUUACCAACACUUGCUGCGGAGGCAUGGAAAGAUCCUUAAAUUAUUCAGCUUUCUUUUGGCCUAUGCAACUGGUAUUUUCCAGACCCUCAACCUGAACAGCCCUGUUUGGGCUCUUAUUCUGUUCCUUUUGUCAGCACUGUUGGCCUUGCCUGUAUUCAAGAAGAAAUUCCAGCAUGAUCUCAGACUCGAGCAAUAUCUCUCCAACUAUAGUUUCCUCUUUACGCUUGCAUAUUCGCUGCUCUUUUUGAAUUAACCUAAAAAGUCAGAAGCGCCGGUCACAACCGACUGGUGCUUCUGACUUUUUACAACAAAAAAAGCACUCGUAUGAGUGCUUCAACAGAUGACCCGUACGGGAAUCGAACCCGUGUUACCGCCGUGAAAGGGCGGUGUCUUAACCGCUUGACCAACGGGCCGUAUUAAAUGAUGAAAAUGGGCCUAAAUGGACUCGAACCAUCGACCUCACGCUUAUCAGGCGUGCGCUCUAACCAGCUGAGCUAUAGGCCCUUUUUGAAAAAAGCGGGUGACUAGAAUCGAACCCACAACAACAGCUUAGAAGGCUGUUAUUUUACCAUGCAAGUCAAUAAAAAAAUAUUCCCUAUCCAACUGGCUUAAGAAUAUCAAUUGCGGGGACAGGACUUGAACCUGUGACCUCCGGGUUAUGAGCCCGGCGAGCUGCCAACUGCUCCACCCCGCGAUAAUAGUACUAUGGCCUGAGGCCACAAUAAAAUGAUCCGUACGGGAAUCGAACCCGUGUUACCGCCGUGAAAGGGCGGUGUCUUAACCGCUUGACCAACGGACCAUGUGUUUAUUUUUCUGAUAAAGCUACGGAGAAGGAGGGAUUUGAACCCUCGCGCCGCGUUAACGACCUACACCCUUAGCAGGGGCGCCUCUUCAGCCACUUGAGUACUUCCCCAUAACAAGAAAUUUUCUGCUAUAUUCGUUGCUUUAUCAAUGGGCCUAAAUGGACUCGAACCAUCGACCUCACGCUUAUCAGGCGUGCGCUCUAACCAGCUGAGCUAUAGGCCCUUUUUGAAAAAAGCGGGUGAGGAGAAUCGAACUCCCGACAUCAGCUUGGAAGGCUGGGGUUUUACCACUAAACUACACCCGCAUGGCGGCUCCGACGGGAUUUGAACCCGCGAUCUCCUGCGUGACAGGCAGGCAUGUUGACCCCUACACCACGGAACCAUGCAUAAAAUUUUUAUAUCGUUUCCUAUACUAGAAAGAAUAGGAAGCACUGUGGGCUCUCGCCCAAGUGUACCAUCUCCGUAAUGUCGCUGGAGCGCCAACGGUUAUGGCAAUUGCGGGGACAGGACUUGAACCUGUGACCUCCGGGUUAUGAGCCCGGCGAGCUGCCAACUGCUCCACCCCGCGAUAAUGAUAAGGAAACACUACAAUGGCCUGAGGCCAUCUAAGGAGGAUAAGGGAUUCGAACCCUUGCACGCUUUUACACGCCUGACGGUUUUCAAGACCGUUCCCUUCAGCCGGACUUGGGUAAUCCUCCGUAAGCUGAUCAAAUUUCCAUGGACCUUGCAGGACUCGAACCUGCGACCGGACGGUUAUGAGCCGUCUGCUCUAACCAACUGAGCUAAAGGUCCGAAGCAAGGCAUUAU